Molecule: long non-coding RNA, 113163 nt
Filed under: Arabidopsis thaliana (thale cress)
Lineage: Eukaryota; Viridiplantae; Streptophyta; Magnoliopsida; Brassicales; Brassicaceae
Description: long non-coding RNA (ATHA_LNC000618)
Source: RNAcentral
UAGAAAUAGGUUAAGCACCUGCUUUUGCUCCAGUAGAGAGGCUUGUAUCUGUGGAAUGGCACCAGAAAAAAAGGUUAGUAUUCGAACUAAAUACAUACCUGUGAAUCUUACUGGAAAUGAAAAACUUGAAACUCGAAGGAGUUUCUGUAUAUAGUUAUCAGAAACUAAGAGAAUUUUCUGUAGAUGAUCCAAUCAAAAAGUCGAUUUAGGGAAGGGACUAGUGGUGAUUCUUGUGGAAGAACCAUUAGGAAAUUAGAACAUGUAGGAAAUAAUACCCUUGUUUCUAGUAGGGUUUUGUGGCUCUUGCCUAUAAUAGCAGACGAAUCUACUUGAGGUUUGACUAAAUCCACAAGCACCCUUAGAGUCUAUGCACGUCCGGCAAUCUGAGUUAACUUCAAGCGCGAAACCAUCUUCAAGUGCAAUCUUUAGAUUAUCUGUACUUGGAGUACUCUCCAGUGUGUUCAGCGCGGUUCUAGAAGCGGGAUUACUGACGUUUCUACUGCAAGAUCCCCCAAAGUCGUUUAAAAGGAAACUAUUCCCUUCAAGUUUAAGGGACGGCGGAAGGAACGUGAGGUUUCUCGUCAGAUAAUAAUUUCUUCUAUCAUCAGUCCCAUCAUCUGGACAAUCAAGCUCUUUAACAAAAGUAGAAACAAACGAUGAAACGUUUCGGUUGCAGUCGUAAUAAAUGGUUAGCAGGUCGGUGGUAGAAGCAAGUGGAAGGACGGUUUCGUUGAAUGACGUAGUGAAGGAAUUUGGGAGACACGGAUCGUCGAUAUUAUCGGAUCUGGCGAGUGUUAUGAUACCAGAGUCAUAAUCCGCACCUAGGAUUCUAAAUUUGACAGAAGAAAUGCUAAGCUCUGGGACUCCUGCGUUACAGUCAAGCUCGAAGUCAGGGUGACCGCAUUCUUUUCUGCCAGCAAUCCAGAAAGGGUACAAGAGACCUCUCUGAUUACCACAAGUAAACGAGGGACUGCAGAGUAUGUGAUUCCCAUCGGCUGAUAAAACACAAGAUAUAUGGAUCACAAAGAGCAUCCAUAUGAAGCUAUAGGACAUAGAUUUGGUCAGAGAAAGAGAAAAAUUGAUCAUCGUGUUGCAGGUGAAUGAUAAAAAAAAGAUGGUGAAGAAGAGAUAAAUCGAUAAGAAGCAAGUGGCCAUGGUGAAGGUCGAAAAGGAUCAAGUCAAGGAAAGUUAGUUGACCCAAAGUCAAGGAAGGACAGUGACAUAUACAAAGAGACUUUUUUGGAGUCCUUAUUAGUUUCAGAUACUAAGUUAUUUCUGAAAACUAAUGAGAAUCUAAAGAUAUUACAGAAAAUAUUGGAGUGUGAAAAAAGGCAAAGACCGUCAUUCACUAUUGAAACUAACUGAUAUCGAAGAUGAAAAUUCAAUUUGUGACUAGUUCAUGCCAAUUUUCAAAUCAGUUAAGUUAGAACUCUUUCUAAGCUCAGUAACAGGAGAACAAACACAACCAUACGUCCUGAUAUAUAUACUGCUCCUUUCCGCAAAGAUUACACUUAAUCGGUCUUACACAACCCUAACACACUUGUUAGUUUGUUCCUGGCCAACUUCUAACUCAUGACCACAGAUUGUCCCCGAUCACUCUACAAAAUUACCGUGCAUAACGGUCUUCUCUGACAACUACGGUCUCUUUAGAAAUACCACCAACAGACCCUCUCCUCAUAAACUGAGAAGACAUUGCAUUCUUGUUUAUUCCAAAAGUCUGAUGUCUCCAUAAGAAGGUUCAGGCCACCUUGCUUACCAAGUUACCAUCAAAUUAAAAUUCAUUCCUGUUUUUUCCAAAUGCCCCAUACAAUCCAAGGAAUUGCCAAUUGCAGAUCACGGGGAAUGUCAUUGUUUUCCAUCAACUGAAAGAUAAAUUACAUGUUCUCUUUAAGAAAAUCUGAGAAAUGGUAUAUAGGAAUAUCACAUACUUUAAGAAAAAUAAAAUGAUAAUUACAUAAACUAAGAAUGUUUUUGAUUGAUAUAUGCAUAGUCCAUUUGAGUCCCCUCAUGAAAAAUAAGUACAUUUAAAAACUUGAUAGUGAUCUAAAAAUUGAAGAAAUAAAUAGGUCCAGAUUAAAACCAAAACGAGUAUGUUGCUUCCUUCUGAGUAUGGAUGAUAUCACUACCUUCCUUCUCGAAACAACUAUAUCAUUUCUAAUCUAAUUCUCAUUCUAUAUUCCUAAUGAUAUAUAGUAUCUGUAAUAUCUACAAAUCAAAAGUUAGUUUCUUUAGUUUUUCCGAAUAGUAAUAAUACAGAAAAUUAGAGUUAUCAAAGACGAGUCAGUUUAAUUUGUAAGAAUUUUCUAGGAAGUUGAGGCAAAACAUGGAACUAAAUCUUGAGUGGGAAUGGAAGGACUUAUUUGUAAACAUAGACCACACUUUCUCCUAACCAAAACCUGUUUUUGUUCAUGCAUUAAAUACCGUCUAUGACUUACUGACCUUAGAAAAUUCAACAAAUGUGUUCUAUUCUUUUUUAUGCAAAGAAAAUUUACGUUCAAACGACAGAGAUUUACUCAUAAGCUAAAAGCUUGCGAGUUACAGUUUACAGAGAAAAUCAUAUCUCAGAGGAGAUUGAAUUUUCCUCUGAAAUCCAGGAAGAAUCGAGAUGAGGCACUACAGAGCAUUGCAAAACAGGCCUAGGAGGCACUUCAAGAGCAUCCAGGUUUCCUUCCAUCAUCUCUACCACUCUGUUCAUCGCCGGGCGAUCUAAUGGCCAAGGCUGAAUACACCACAAACCUACCAACGUCAUCUUCUUUGCUAUCUCAUCUUCUUCGCUUCUAUUCACGAUAAGCCUUCCAUUGUCUCCCUUCUCAAGAUCCUUAUAUAUCCAUUCGGGAAAGUACAUUGAGCUUGUGCUAGAUGUAGUGUCCUCGGUUGAUGUUUUGUUCCUAGCUCCUAUUAUAUCAAGAACCAACAUUCCAUAGCUAUACACAUCUGACUUGUGGGAGACGCUACCGUACACUCUCGAAAACACUUCAGGUGCAAUGUACCCUAUCGUUCCUCUUGUGUCCAUUAGUGACAAGAUACUUUCUUUCCUCUCGCAUAGCUUAGCAAGGCCAAAGUCUGAUACUUUCGGGGAAAGAUUGUCAUCUAAGAGUACAUUCUGUGGUUUUAUGUCGAAAUGUACAAUCCUUGUUCUGCAACCAUGGUGUAAGUACUCUAGACCACGAGCAACGCCUAACGCGAUCCCAUAUAGUUCCCUCCAGUCCAUAGUUGAUGACUUCUUGCUUGAGAUGAACUUAUCAAGAGACCCGUUUUCCAUAAAUUCGUAAAUAAUUGCUCUCUUGUAACCUUCAGAGCAGAAUCCUAGGAGGGUAACAAUGUUGACAUGUGAAGUUUGGCUCAUGCUUGCAACUUCAUUGAUAAAGUCUUCACCAUUAUUACCUUUUAAGUCUUUCAAAACCUUCACUGCAACCAUACGGCCAUCAGAAAGGGUUCCCCUAUAGACAAUUCCGAAUCCGCCUCGCCCCACCACUUCUGCGAAUGAGUUUGUAAUUCUCUUCACUUGUUCGUAGCUAUAUUGCUUCAGUUGAAUAAGUGCUUUGAUUCUUGGUUUUGGAAUAUGUUCCUUGAGGUCUUGUUGACCCUUAUCAUUUGAAGUUUUUUGCUUUCGGAUAAUAUGGACAACCAAUGUUAAGACCAAGAAUGGAAGUAGAGAAACACCUGCUAUUGUAGCUGAAACCACAAAAUUGUUUGGUUAAAAAGAUCAAAAACAGUAUUCAUAACCAAAUUAAGUUUAUUUGAAAGAAUAGGAGAAGGUAAAACACCUAUUUUCGCUUCAGAAGACAAGCCUACAAUAAUGAUUUUCAGUUUCAUUUCAGUAUAAAGUUGUUAAAGAAAAUGGAUAUGAAAGGAUUAAGAUACUUACGAGUUGGUAGAUUGAGUGGCCGGCAUUUAGUUUCUAAUGGUAAGGUUCCGGUAAAGCCGCAAUAUUUAUGAGAAGAUGAACAUUCUUGACACGAAUUUUCAUCGAUUCUCAACCUCACCUCAAAUCCAUUUCUUACAUCCCUUACCAAACUUGUUAUAUUCAACCUUUUCUCGUUUGGAACGAAACUCGUAGGAAUGUUCACGGUGAAACGGGCUUCGCAGCUAACAGGAUUUUCAAGGUUGUCAGACACUGAGACCGAACCUAUCGCAGGACAUCCGUACCUUGCAAGGUCAGGAAUAACAGGGUAGCAACGGUAGAGUGUGACGCUCUUGUAGGUUGGCAAAAUAUCGAAUAUUUCUGGUGGCAAAGUCGCGUUGGCGAAUGGGAAUGGAGAGAGGCAAAUGGACUGUAAAAAGUCUGUUCUGGCAACUCUUAGAGUGUUAUAUGUAUGAUUUAUACUAAGAACAUGGUACAAAUGGUCUGAGAUGGUUAAAGAGGUGAUGUUAUCAAGGCAGUGAAGCUCCAGCAAUGGAUGACCGCAAACUUCGGGACGAUUCCCUCCCCAGAAGGGAAAACCGGCAGUGAUGUUUCCACACUGAAACUGAGAUUCGCACCAUCCAAGUGUUUGUUUACUUGAAGCACAAGGAAGAUGGUAAAAUAAAGAGAAGAAGAGGAACAAGACCAAACAAGAACUGGGGAGAUAGUACAUGAUCGGUUUGAUCUAUGAACAAUGUGUCUUGUGGUGAGAUGUAGCAAAAAGAGAGAGAUAUCGGAAAGGAGCACCCUAAGUCAAGGAAUGAUAGUGACAGAUACAGAGAGAUUUGGAGUCUUUUUUUUUAUCACGUCUAUAUUAGUUGACCCUAAAAAUGGUGUUUCUCAAUUAUUUUCUUUAGAUUUUGGUUUUAGUAAAUUGUGGAGUUAAGUCUUCAGUGGGAAUGAGAGGGAUUUGCCAAUAAAGCUUUACCAUACUAUCUCUUAUCUCCUAAAUCUGUUUGUCUUCGUUAUUCUAAAGAUGACAAAAGAGAAUAUAGGAGAUUGGAAAAGUCAAUAAUUUGUUCAGUCAAAGACUUAGGUUCACACUUUCAAUUAUACUAGAUUAGGAUGUGUUACCAAACGGGUUUCUUAUUUAAUAAUUCAGUAACAACAUUAAACUAAUAUAAAUAAUGUUAAGAAAUAAUUAUAAUUGAUACAUUUCUUAGAAUGAAAAUUAAAAUGUAUUUCAAAACGUGUAAAUUUUUAGGUGCAGGAACCAACCGAGGGAUGUCGACAAGAGCUACAACUGGUAAGAAGUUAUGUUCGAGAAACGUUUUGAGACUCAUGUCUCUGACUCCAGUGAACUGUUGCAGCAUUGGUGGCACUGAGGAAUUUGUUCCUUCUCUUUGUUCUAGUUUAGUCUUUCGGAUGACAAUAAGAUGAUGGUUUAAAAAUAGAAUAGAGCAAAAUAAAAAGGAAACAUUUUUGUUCUUAUUUUCUUGAAAAUUAGACCAAACAAGACACGUAUAUCUACAGUCAUGAUAAAACCGGAUGACAUUGUACUGAUUACUGAGGAUGUCUCCAAUAUUAUGACCAAUAGUGUUUCUAGAAACAAGCUCUGGUUUGAGUACGAAUCGGUUAUGAGCUCUAUGACGAGUUCUUUAUUUUUUAUUUUUUUUAGAAGAACACAAAGUUUAGAAUAAGAAAACACUCCUCUGGUUUAGUAGUGAUUCGUCAUCAGUGAAGCAUUAUUUUGUUGGAUAAAAAUAAGGGUUUUAAUAUCACCCAAUCGGUCCACUUGCAUUUUGUUUCCUAAAUUAAAAUAUAGUUUCUCCAAACUAUCAUGUAACUAUGAGUAUAUUUAUAUGUAAUUAAUUACUUCAUUAAAUCAAUCCACAUUAAUGAAAUAAGUUUCUGAAUGUUGACUUAUUAUUUUAAUACUUGUGCUUUUGCAUGUUCUAAAUAUAAAAUAUCUGAAGCAUUAAUUUGUUGGGUAAACGAGAGGCUUUGAUCUCACAUGGUACACUUGACAUUUUCUCUUAAAAAAUAUGUGUUCCCACAAGAAAUGUCAUCAUCUAAUUGUUGUCACAUGUAACUAGUACAUCUAAGUUAAAGUCUGGUGAGUUACUUGUUUAACGCUUGAUAGUGCUUUUGUAUAUUCUAAAGUCUAAACAUUUGAGUUAUUAACUUUUGGGUAAAAGAAAGUUUUUAUUUUACCCCAUUGGUCUAUUUGGCAUUUGUUUUUUCUUAAAAUAUUUUUUUUCUUUGAAAUAUCAGCUAAUUAUUGUCACAUUUAAUUAGUACAUCUAAAUUUACAAUUAAGAAAUCAAUUUCUAGAAUGUUGAAAAUUUUGUUCAAUUCAUGAUAAUUUUGCUUGUUCUAAAUUCUUUAACAUCAAUUUAUUAGUUACGACAAUGUUGCUUGUUCUAUUCACAUUAAUUUGUUAGUUACGACUUACGACAAUGGUUUUGACCGUUGACAAAAAAAAACAACACAUUAUAGGGAUCCACUUGACAUUUAUUAUUUUAAAUAAUAAUAUUUUUAUUUUCUGCAAAAAAAUUAUUUGAUUUCCAUUGACUUUGGAAAACUUAUGUAUUUGAUGUUAAACUGUUUUUUUCUUUUAGAUUUAAUUUAACAUUAUAUUUCAAAUAAAUAAAAUACAGUUGAAUUAUUCGAAUUGUUUCUAAACCCGGUAAACAAAAUCCAAACUACCCAAAAAUAUAUGAAUUACUCAAAAUAUUCCAGUACAAAAAAAAAUUUCCAAACGAAUUUAAAGUACUCAAAAAGUAAACUAAGUACCCGAAACUAGAUAAAAAUGGGUUAAUUAGAUUUUUUUUUUUAAGUACCCGUUUGGAUCAAAAAGUUUCGGUGCCCGUAAUACUGGCCUCUAAGACCAGUUCGUAUCAGAUAUUUCUAAUUUAGUUUGAUUCGAAUUUUUGAGUACGGGUAUUUUGUACGUUUGCUUGUUUAAAAUAUUUAAAACACUAUUUGUUAGCUACGAGAUGAGUUUUGAUAGUUGACAAAAUAAAAAUAAAUAAGAGUUUGGAUCUCAUUUUAAUGAUCCACUUGGCAUUUACUAUUUGAAAUAAAAUUAGUUUUCCUUCCCAAUAAAAUUGUUUUAUUUCAUUGUUACUGGUAAAGUAAUGUGAUCAAAGUAAGAUCUUCGUAUUUUUGUAUAUGUCACCUGUCUCUAUGCUUCUCUCUCUCACGCUCUCUAUCUAAAGUCAAUUGCUCCUCUCCGCUCAACACAAACCAAACGCAGGAGACACACUGUUCACAAAUCAUGUCCUAUAUGCCUACUUCUUGUCUGGUCUUGUUCUUCCUCUUAUUCUUAUUCCACCCUCUUCCUUGGGCCCUAAGUAAAGAAGACCUAGGGUGGUGUGAGGCUCUGUUUCAGUGUGGUAACAACACUGCUGGUUUUCCCUUCUGGGGUGGGAAUCGUGCCAAACCUUGCGGUCAUCCGUUGCUGGAGCUUCGCUGCCUCAAUAACAUCACCUCUCUAAACAUCUCAAACCAUGAGUACAACGUUUUUCAUAUAGAUCAAACAUCUAAUACUCUUAGACUUGCUAGAACAGACCUUCUAGGUUCUUUUUGUUCCGCUGAAUUCAAUACCCCAACUUUCCCCCGCGAAAUCUUUAAGCUAUUCCCAACUUAUAAGAGCCUCACCGUUUUAUAUAACUGUGAUCCAAAGCUAUCUUACCGCUCAAGUUAUACAUGUCCUGAUCUAGGUCUUUUCUCUAUGUCUCAAAGCCUUGAUUACCAAAAUUCCUGCCAAGACAGUUUCAAAGUUAACGUUCCAACUAGUUUUGUUCCAGAGGAGAAAGAGAUGAAUCUGACCCAUUUGGAAAGUGCUCUAAGAAAAGGUUUUGAAGUGAAGCUGGUGAUCGAUGAGAUACCGUGUCAAGAAUGUUCAUCCAGUCGUGGAAUCUGUGGUUUCAACAGUACCACACAGAUAUGCUGCAACGUAACCUCACUUUCUGGUGGAGUUACUUGCGUACCACAACAUCAACCUAGCGGUAAGUUUCUCACCUAAUCCUAUUGAGUGGCCUCCAAGGAAACAAAACAAGAGUAUAACAAAAUGAUCAAGCUAUCUCUGUUGUUGACGAAUUCUCUGUCUUAAAGUCAAAUGAUGCUCUUUGUGAUCCCAUUUUUGUUUUAUGUUUCAGCUGAUGAGCUUAGGCGCCGCUGUAGUGAACGGUUUAGCUGCGGCAAUCAGAGAAAUCUCUAUUACCCCUUUUGGAUACCUGGUCGAGAAUAUUGUGGCCACCCUGACUUCAAGCUUGACUGUAGCGGAGGAUUCGCAGAGCUUAACAUAGCCUCCGUGAAUUUCAGAAUCUUAAAUAUGAGUUAUGACUCUUCUAACAAAAGACUUGCCAGAUCAGACUAUCUCAACGAUCUUUGUCCCCCAAACCCACUAAAUGAUGAGCCUCUCAUCGAAACAGUCCUUCAAUUCAGUGCUGACACAGAGUUGCUAACAUUAUAUUACGACUGCCAACUUAAUUCAUCUGCUACUUCUCCUUUUCCUAGUAGCUACUUUGGAGAGCUUGGUUGUGAUGAGGGAAGAAGUUACUAUGUAACGAGAAACCUCUCAUCUCCUUUACUUGACAGGUUUAGAGGAGUUUUAAACAACUUAAGAGAAAUGUGCAAAAGAAAAGUCAGUGUUCCUGCGUCUGGACCGGCGUUAAACACACUUCAGACAAAUCCAAAUUCAAACAAUCUAAAGAUGGCUCUUGAACAUGGUUUUGAGCUUCAAGAUAACUCAAAUUGUUCUAUGUGUGUUUUGUCUGGCGGUUCUUGUGGAUAUAAUCAGAACUCAAGUUUGUUUGUAUGUUAUUGUAAAGAUGGGCCGCAAGAUAACCAAUGCGAUAUAAACCUAGAUGGUAAGUUCUCUUCCAUCUUAUUAAGUUUAAUUUCAAAGGACAAAGUUCUGUUUUCAUUUCUAACUGACUUUGUUUUUGGUACCAUUUGAUUGUUGCAGAUAUUAUCGGGAAUCGAAUAGGUACUUAACCUUUCUUGGAGUAACUGAUUUAAUCUUCGGAGCAAAUCUUUGUUCGUUUCAAAAUUUUAUGCUGACUAAUUUUACUUAUUUAUUUGUUCUACAGUGGCUAUUAUCAUCGGCAUUUUCGUAGGUAAGUUAAAUAACUAGAGAUAUUUCUUUUUGCUCAAUCAAAUAAAGUUACUAAUAAAACAGAGUUUCUCUGUUUUAUUUUUGACAGCUUUGUGUACAAUAGGAGGUUUCAUUGCUUUCCUUGUAUUAUUGUGCCCUUGUUGCAAAGUCCGAAUUUUCCGGAAUAGAAAAACAUCAGAUGAUCGGAGACAAGAGAAGCUAAAGGCCCUUAUUCCACUCAAACAUUAUACUUAUGCACAAGUAAAGAGAAUGACAAAGUCAUUUGCGGAAGUGGUUGGGAGAGGCGGGUUUGGAAUAGUUUAUAGAGGAACUCUUUGUGAUGGCCGUAUGGUUGCGGUGAAGGUCUUGAAAGAAUCAAAGGGUAAUAAUAGCGAAGACUUUAUAAAUGAAGUUUCUAGCAUGAGCCAAACAUCUCAUGUCAACAUUGUUUCUCUUCUUGGAUUCUGCUCUGAAGGUUCAAGAAGAGCUAUUAUAUAUGAAUUUUUGGAGAAUGGGUCACUCGAUAAGUUCAUCUCGGAAAAGACUUCAGUGAUUUUGGACUUGACGGCACUGUAUGGGAUCGCGCUAGGCGUUGCUCGUGGUCUAGAGUACUUGCAUUAUGGCUGCAAAACGAGGAUUGUGCAUUUCGACAUUAAACCUCAAAACGUUUUGUUGGAUGAUAAUCUUUCCCCGAAAGUUUCUGAUUUCGGACUUGCUAAACUAUGCGAGAAGAAAGAGAGUGUCAUGUCAUUGAUGGAUACAAGAGGUACAAUAGGAUACAUUGCACCAGAGAUGAUCUCUCGAGUUUAUGGGAGUGUUUCUCACAAGUCAGAUGUGUAUAGCUACGGAAUGUUGGUCUUCGAAAUGAUAGGUGCAAGGAAGAAAGAACGAUUUGGUCAAAACUCUGCGAACGGAAGUUCAAUGUACUUUCCAGAAUGGAUAUAUAAGGAUCUUGAGAAGGCAGACAAUGGGGAUCUUGAGCAUAUCGAGAUUGGAAUCAGCAGCGAGGAAGAGGAGAUAGCAAAGAAGAUGACAUUGGUGGGUUUGUGGUGUAUUCAGUCUUCCCCAUCAGAUCGUCCACCGAUGAACAAAGUUGUAGAGAUGAUGGAAGGAAGUUUGGAUGCUCUUGAAGUUCCACCUAGACCUGUUUUGCAGCAAAUUCAUGUAGGACCUCUUCUUGAAUCUUCUUGGAUUACUGAGGAAAGUUCAAGCAUCUCCGAGAUUGAAAAUAGGAAUCUUCAAGUUUGUGAAAAAAUAUUGUCUUGAAAGUCAUACUCUAGACUCUAGAGAAAUGAUCCUAUAAAGUUAAUGUCUGUAAAUAUUAUUUGCAUAACAAAUAGAGAACAAGUAUCAGUAUACAAGAACACAAUUCAAAAGUUCCACGGCGGCUUCUUAGAUCAAGUCCGUGCUUUAAUAUCCUCUGAAAGUGUUGGUGAUUCUUUAAUAGGUCUAGGAGGGACUUCAAGAGCAUCUGAUGAUUUUUUCUUUCUGACAAUCUUGGCUCGGCAACAUAGGCAAAGAAACACCAAGGAAACAAUAAUACCUGAUACUAAAAAGCAAUGCAGAAAAACAGAGAAAAUGUUUGGUUAGUAACUUUGUAUAUAUAAUCUAAGAAUAUAAAAAAAAACAUUUUGAAUAGUCUCGAGGCAAAAAAAACUAACCUAUGAGUAUCAAGAUCAACACACCACCUGUAUAACCAUUAAACAAGUAAAAUUUGUCAGCAUAAAACCAAAGAUUAAAGAACAAUAAACUCAGAGAGGAAAGGUUAACGGUACCUAUUAUCCAUCUAAUAUUAGAUUCUGUAUCGAUAAAAUGGCGCAAAAAAAAAAGAAAAACAGUUAGCGCUGAAUGAACACAGAAACUGUGAAACCGAAAUCAUGAAACUAAAGAGAGUGUCUGUAAAUGAACCGAUGAAAGAAAUCUUACUGCCCGAACUGCAUGAUAGGCUAUACGGAUCCUUACAAUAGCAGAGGAACGUACUUGAGGUCUGAUUAUAUCCACAAGAACCCUCAGAGUCUACACACAUUGAAAAGUAUGGUGUGGAACAAGUCAAAAGCAAGAAAACAAAGUAGUAGAGGAAAAAGAGUAAUGCUAAGUUAAGCUUAUCCCUUGUCCUCACCUUUUCUCUUAAGCUCAUUAGUAAGUAAUUUAUGUCUAUAAGUGUAUGAAACUUACCACUUGGUGGACGACAUUUAACUCCUGGUGUUAAGUUUUCGUUGAAGACAUGACAUCUUCCAAGAGAGGAUAAACAUUCCUGACAUGUAUUCUCAUUGAUCACCACCGUCACCUCAAAUCCUUUUCUUAAAACACUUUCCAAAUUGGUCACAUUCAACUCUUUCUCUUUUGUAUCGAAACUCGUGGGAACCUUCACGGUGAAACUGGAACGACAGCUCUCAGGAUAUUUUUCAGGGCUUUCAGACACUGAGAUGGGACCUAUCUCAGGACAUGUAUAGCUAGAAAGGUUAGGAAGCACAGAGGAGCAUUGGUAGAAUAUAGUGACGCUCUUGUAGGUCCGUGAAAGCUCGAAAGUUUCGGGAGGCAAGGUUGUGUUUGUGAAUACAGAGGAGCAAAAAGAACCUAGAAGGUUCUGUUUGGCAAGUGUAAGAGUGUUAGAUGUUUGAUCUAUACGGAGAACAGAGUACUUUUGGUUUGAGAUGAAUAAAGAGGUGAUGUUGUUUUUGUUGCAGUGAAGCUCCAGCGAUGGAUGACCGCAUUCUUUAUGACGAUUCCCACCCGAGAAGGGGAAACCAGCGGUGAUGUUUCCGCACUGAAACAAAGUCUCACACCAGCCAAGUCCUUGAUUACUUGAAUCACAAGGAAGAGGGUGAAAUAAGGAGAGGAGGAAGAAUAUAACUAGACAAGAAGUGGGAAGAUGAUACAUGAUUAGUUCGGUUCAUGAAAAAUGUGUCUUCUUAGUUUGGUUUGUGUUGAGAGAAGCAGAGUAAAUGAAUUAGUGAGAUACAGAGAGAGAAAGAGAGACAAGAAGCCUCAGGACCAUGUCAAGUGGGAGACUGUCCUGAGGACCAUGUCAAGUGGGGGAGACAGAAGCGUAGACAUGUGAUGAUGUCAAGUUUACUUUUGAAAUUUCUUUGUUUUUUUCUCCAAGUUAAAAUUUUGAAAUGUCUCUCUAAUAAGCACUAAAAAUUCUCUAUACGGUCCUACCACGUAGUUGAUGAGGUCUCAGCAUUGUUCGAACUGGAUAUGAUUAUGGGAACACUAUUAAUUGUUCUAUCUUAACACAAUUUUUCCUUGCAGUUAAUCCAAUGUGGAGUGAAAAAACAUCUUGUAAACACAUCCCAAAGAAGGUGUGCCAUGGAAACACAAGAUUCAAAUCUUUGAUGUGACAUAAUUGUGGUACAGUAAUGAUUAGUUCUCCGAAUAUACUAGCUCCCUCCAAUAACUAGGGAAAAAUUGUUGGUAUUGGAUUUAGCACAAAUCCAGCCAGCCCAAUGAAAACCCAUUAAGUGUCAACGACAAAAUAAACUAGGAGAUGAGGUACAUACGACGUAAAUAUAAAGCCCAUGAAAACACGAAGAUGAGUCAUAUCCAGAUUGCUCCAGAUGACCUCGACACAUUCUAAUUGCUGAAUCAAAAUGGUCAAAUUUUGAAUUUAGCGAUAUAUUUAACAUGUUAAGACAUUUUGAUCUGAGCAUUUAAUGACUUCUGACUAAGACAGAAUAUCAAACCAAAAAUCACCAACUUUUUCUAUCCUCGAUAUUAGCUUUUCUCUUCAUUUCCCUUUGUAAUUCAGUUCGAGGAUCAUCAACAUUCAACAAAAAGACAAAAUCAGAACUAUUUAAUGAUGAUGGUUGGGGAAACGAUCAGAAUAUGAUCCAUAGGGGCCCUAUUUUCUUUCUUAACACGCCAUAGGGAAAUGGCGACCUUAUAUCAAUAUAUACCGUGGAAUCAAAGUUUUGAAAUUUUUACAGGUCAAAUCUAAUGAAUGUGCAUGGUUUUAAAUUCUAACGUACGAAAUGAUGUAACCGUUUCCGUUAUAUAAAUGUCCAAAAUAAUGAUACUCUACCCACUAAAGAAGAAAUUAAAUAGGGAAACAAACUAAAAGUACCUCUUUCAGUUUGAUCCAAAAAAAACUAAAAAACAAAAGUACUUCGUGUAAAACUCCGAUUUUGUAAAUAUGGUGAUGUAUUUCAAGAGGUUUAAAAGAAUUGAUUUGAGUAUUUAUGUUACAAAAAAUGCAUUUAUUUUUUUGGGCCCUCACAAACAAAAUGCAUCAUUUCAGAACCCCACAACUAAGCUUUUUUGAGAUGGAACAAUUUCAUGAUUGAUGACCUACCCCAUAGUAACUUUUGGUAAUGUGUGAGUUGAAAACAAAAUACAAAAAAAAAAACUCAUGGUAAUUUGUAUGGUUAUUAAACAAGUCUUUUUAGAAUAACGCAUCAACCAUCGGAUGAGAGUGUAGCCCACAAACCAAAAAAAACGUGGGAAUGGGACAUUAGCAGUACAGUCGGGGGUUACACUUUGUCAUUUAGGUGUCGCUAUACAUGUGCAUGCGUGCUUUUUUAAAUUAAAAAAUAAAAUAAAAAACAGGUUGAAUAAUUCGAUAAGUAAAUAAAUACACAAGUAAAUUCACUAAUUUCCUGCCGUGAUUUGGUUUAAUGCUUUAAUACAAAUGUUUUCUUUUGAAAUUAAGGUUGCGACUUGUGAGUUCUUCCAAAGUUGUUUUUUUUUUCUUUGAAAAUAACGUUAAUUUAUAUUCCAAAAAAAAAACAUAACGUUUUUACGUCGAAUGCAACGUGAAUUUAAGAGUCUGAGCUUAAAAGAAAUAUGAAAAAAUGAUCACACUCUAAGUGAUUAACUUAUAGACUUGAACCAAGCUUGGAGGGCGCCAUCGUAUCUCCUAUCUCCCUUGAGUCGGAUCGAUGACAACUGGUUUCUGAUUUGUAUCUAGCCAUUCAACGAGUUGAGAGACCGUGUUCGGAGGCUCACCGUGCCGUGUUCCAAAGUUGUUCUUGAGUUUAGUAUAGAACAACACGAUUAAAUAGCUACUUAUACUAAGUAUAGACCACGAUAUGGUCACACAUGCAGAUUAUUUAGUUUUAUCAAUAACUACAUUAACUAUUGUCUUUGUAUAGUGACACACACCAAUUAACAUGCCUUAUAUUUGCAACAUUAUACCCAUCUUUUUAGUCUUGUUCCAGUUCGUACGUUGGAAUCCAGUACCAUCCGGUUUAAAUCCAAACCUGACGACCCACCAAACCAAUCCAACUUGAUCCAAAAGAAGACUAAUUAAAAGGUAAGAGAACAGUUAUAUGCUUUUCUACAUUUGAAAUAUAUGUGGUCACGUGUUUACUACAUUCAAUAGUGAGUUGAGCUCAUUCCUAAAAUUAGUUUUUUUAUGAUUUUUUUCAGUGUAGAAUAAGUCAAUAACAUAAUUAAGAGGGCAUUUCUCUGAGAAAUACUAUAAUGCACAUGGCUGUUCGGCUGUAAUUUUCUUGUUUUGGGAACUCCAGAGUUCUAUAUCUUAAAUGCUUGCGUUCGAUUAUUAGUACUAGAACUAAGUACUAUUAAUGAUUAUGGUUAUGAUGACACUCAUCAUUACUGUUGUAUUUAUGGAUUGCAUGGAAAUAACCAAAUGCUUUAAAUAGUCAUGUGACGAAAACCCCUUGCUUCGUGGGCUACGGUAUCUACUGAUUUUACAUUUUAUCUAAAUCCAUAAUGUUAUGUACUUAUGUUCAACUGUUAUCGCAACUUUUUGAUGAAGUCAAAAAUAUCCCGUUAACAUUUGUUUUUUUUUCGUAUUUUAGGUUUGUAGAUCAGAUUAAUCUUCGAGGCCGUCUCAAGUAUUUUGACAAACAACCUUAAGUAAAAUACUAAAAAUGGACCUUUUAUUGUUUACACGAUGUCAAUAAAAAAACCACCAAAGAAGUUAAUAGUUUUUGAUCUCUCAAAUUUCAUUUUCUUUCUCAAACUCAAAUUUUAUCGCAUUUGUUAUAAAAACGUUAUCUUUUGAAAAAAUAUAAUUUUACAUUAAAUUCAAAAAAAAAAAAAAAAAAACCAAACUUUCGUUUUAGAUGUCAUUUUUUAACUUUCUUCUAUCUAAAUAUUUAGAAGGAAAAAAAAAAUUAAAAACUCUCAAAUCAAGGAUGCAUAUGUAACAAUGUAACACAAUUGUUUAGUGAACUCUCAUAUAUCCUCAAUUAUAUCUGCCGCAUUUAAACAACCGUCAUACUUUUUUGUUACUAAAAUUUGUAAUACUAUUGACAAAUUUUGUUUUCCUUUGUAUACAUAAUUAUUUCUUUUCUUAUAUACAUAAAAAAAUGUUCUUCUAUUGUCAAAUCUACGUUUAUUCAUUAUUCAAAAGAUUUUAACCCGCCUCUUCUCUCACCACAAAGUUCCUCUUUAUCUUUAAAUGGCGGACGCAUCUCUCCGUAUCCUUCUUCGUAAUUAAAACCAGAGGACUCGUAGUCGUUGGCAAUGGCCGCAAUGCUAGGACGAGAUGAAGAUCCGGUCGGAGCAUUGAGUGGGAGAGUGAGUUUGGCCUCCACCAGUCACAGGAGUUUGGUCGGAGCUUCCAAAAGCUUUCGAGAUGUGUUCAUGCCUCAAACUGACGAGGUGUUUGGGAGGAGCGAACGUCGGGAGGAAGAUGACAUGGAGCUCCGAUGGGCGGCGAUUGAGAGAUUGCCGACGUUUGAUCGGCUACGUAAAGGGAUGUUGCCGCAAACGUCGGCUAACGGGAAGAUUGAGCUUGAGGAUAUUGACCUAACAAGGCUCGAACCUAAGGAUAAGAAACACCUUAUGGAAAUGAUUUUGAGUUUCGUUGAAGAAGACAAUGAAAAGUUUCUACGUGAUUUGAGAGAAAGAACAGAUAGGUAAGAUAAAAAGCAAACAAAAAUUUAUUAAAUUGUUUUCCAAAAUUUCCAAAAAAGAAGACAAAAAAUCCCUUUAAAUCUUUAUUUUUCUUAAUUUUGUUGUUCCGACAAUUUUGCAAUUUAUUUUGCGAGAACAGAGUGGGAAUUGAAGUUCCAAAAAUUGAAGUAAGGUAUGAGAAUAUUUCAGUGGAAGGAGAUGUGCGUAGUGCAAGUAGAGCGCUUCCUACUCUCUUCAACGUCACCUUGAAUACAUUGGAGGUUGAAUUUUUUUUUUCAUUAUUUUGAUCUUGUUUUGUUUAUUUUUGGUAGCUUUCUUUUGUUCAAUAUCGUCGACAAAAUAAGAUCUAAGUAAAGAAGAUAAAACCUAACUUUGUAAAUAUUCUUUUGUUGUUGUUGAUUUUGAAGCAUAUUAAGCUUUUAUUUAUAUAAACAAUGAUGAAGCUUUACUUAAAGAGUCUUUCUGUUAUUUGUAUAUAGAGCAUUCUUGGAUUCUUCCACCUCCUUCCAUCUAAAAGGAAAAAGAUUCAGAUACUAAAAGAUAUCAGCGGCAUUGUCAAACCAUCAAGGUAAUUAAAGCUAAUGAGACAACGGUGUCUUUGCUAUAUUAUAUCUCAACAUGGAAACUUUUAGAUGAAAGGAGAAUAUAUUUGAGUUUAGUUACAUUGUUGUUGAGCAUUUCCAGGAUGACUUUAUUACUUGGUCCACCAAGCUCAGGAAAAACAACUUUGUUACAAGCUUUGGCUGGGAAGCUCGAUGACACUCUCCAGGUUUGUUUUUUUAUUAGAGUAACAAGUAAGAAUAAUCAUUCAUUAUCUAACCCGAUAAUGGAAAACAGAUGUCGGGGAGGAUAACAUAUUGCGGUCAUGAGUUUCGCGAGUUUGUACCUCAAAAGACGUGUGCAUACAUCAGUCAACAUGACCUUCACUUUGGAGAAAUGACGGUGAGAGAGAUACUGGAUUUUUCGGGACGAUGUCUAGGUGUUGGAAGUCGGUACCAGUUGAUGUCUGAGCUUUCAAGGAGGGAGAAAGAAGAGGGAAUAAAGCCAGACCCUAAAAUUGAUGCAUUCAUGAAAUCCAUUGCUAUAUCAGGGCAAGAAACUAGCUUGGUUACAGAUUAUGUACUUAAGGUACUUUACUUUACUUGUGCUUUUUCUAACAAAGUGAAAGAACAAUGUUUUGAGCUUAUCCCUGGUUAAUUUCACUUGACAGAUACUUGGUCUAGACAUUUGUGCUGACAUACUUGCUGGAGACGUAAUGAGAAGAGGUAUUUCUGGUGGACAGAAGAAGCGUCUAACAACAGGUAAGACUUUGAGUAUUAGUGUAUGUAAUACAUAUCUUCACUUUUCUAGAUGAUUCGUUACACUAUAUGAUCAUGACUCUUAUUUUAACUGAGCAGGAGAGAUGUUGGUAGGACCUGCGAGAGCUCUUUUUAUGGAUGAAAUAUCAACAGGGUUGGAUAGUUCCACAACAUUUCAAAUUUGCAAGUUCAUGAGGCAACUAGUUCAUAUCUCGGAUGUCACGAUGAUUAUUUCGCUUCUACAACCAGCACCAGAGACAUUCGAGCUUUUUGACGACAUUAUCUUGCUUUCCGAGGGCCAAAUUGUCUACCAAGGCCCACGGGACAACGUUCUUGAGUUCUUUGAAUACUUUGGUUUCCAAUGUCCUGAAAGAAAAGGGGUUGCAGACUUUCUACAAGAAGUUACGUCUAAGAAGGACCAAGAACAGUAUUGGAACAAGAGAGAACAACCUUAUAACUAUGUGUCCGUAAGUGAUUUUUCAAGCGGCUUUAGUACUUUCCACACCGGGCAGAAACUUACUUCAGAAUUCAGGGUUCCCUAUGACAAAGCUAAAACUCAUUCUGCUGCACUAGUCACACAAAAGUAUGGUAUAUCAAACUGGGAGCUCUUCAAAGCAUGCUUUGAUAGGGAAUGGUUGCUUAUGAAACGCAACUCCUUUGUGUAUGUGUUCAAGACCGUCCAGAUAACAAUCAUGUCUUUGAUUACCAUGACGGUCUAUCUUAGGACAGAAAUGCAUGUUGGUACCGUGCGAGAUGGUCAAAAGUUUUAUGGUGCUAUGUUUUUCAGCUUGAUCAAUGUUAUGUUUAAUGGACUAGCUGAACUAGCAUUCACAGUGAUGAGGCUCCCGGUGUUCUACAAGCAGAGGGACUUCUUGUUCUACCCUCCAUGGGCUUUUGCCUUACCUGCUUGGCUUCUGAAGAUUCCAUUAUCUCUUAUCGAAUCAGGAAUAUGGAUUGGUCUUACGUAUUAUACUAUCGGUUUUGCUCCUUCCGCUGCAAGGUACAGUUUCUUGCUUCUAGUGAAGAUCACUAAAGAACUUUUCUUAAUCGUCUUCUAUUUUCAUUUUCUUGAACUAACUAAACUUGUGUUACUAGGUUUUUCCGGCAGUUGCUAGCAUACUUCUGUGUGAAUCAGAUGGCCCUUUCUUUGUUUAGAUUCCUUGGAGCCAUUGGAAGAACAGAAGUAAUCUCUAACUCAAUCGGAACGUUCACAUUGCUAAUUGUAUUUACUCUUGGAGGCUUCAUUAUUGCUAAAGGUAAAGCAGAUGAUCCCUUGUUACGCAAGAAAGUUAAAAAAAAAAAAAAACAAUAAUACAUUUUUUCUUAGCUAUGAGAUUGUUAUGUGAAAACAUAUUUUAUAUUUUUGUUUCACAGAUGACAUUCGACCGUGGAUGACUUGGGCUUAUUAUAUGUCCCCUAUGAUGUAUGGACAGACUGCUAUUGUUAUGAAUGAAUUUCUCGAUGAGAGAUGGAGCAGUGUAAGAUUUCACCAAGUCCUUCUCUUGUUGACUUCUCUUUACCAAUUGUGAUGCAAAAUCUGUUAUGUUACAUGAUGCAGCCCAACUAUGAUACCCGCAUCAACGCGAAAACAGUUGGAGAAGUCCUACUAAAGAGCCGGGGCUUCUUUACGGAGCCAUACUGGUUUUGGAUAUGUAUUGUGGCACUACUUGGAUUUUCUUUGUUGUUCAAUCUCUUCUACAUACUAGCCUUGAUGUAUUUGAACCGUAAGUAAUCUUAUUUUUCGGCUAUUCUAGACUUUUGAAGAGAAUCAUUUUUUGUUGACAAGGUCUUGAAAAAAAUAUUUCUUCAGCUCUUGGUAACUCCAAAGCUACAGUUGUGGAAGAAGGUAAAGACAAACAAAAAGGGGAAAACCGUGGAACAGAAGGUGCAAUCUUUUAAUUCUUUUAUCUUUAGUUUAUGUGUCUUAGUUUCUGACUAAGCUUAGAAUUUGCAGGUUCUGUUGUGGAACUUAAUAGUUCUUCAAAUAAAGGGCCAAAGAGAGGAAUGGUUUUACCUUUUCAACCACUUUCUCUUGCAUUCAACAAUGUGAACUACUACGUUGAUAUGCCUUCAGUAAGUAACCAUGUCUCAUACUAUUUAGACUUCACCAAUUACGUAACAAAUGCGUUUUAAGUUUCAUUCGUUGUACCUUAAAAUAUUGCAGGAAAUGAAGGCGCAAGGAGUGGAAGGCGAUCGUCUUCAAUUACUAAGAGACGUUGGUGGAGCUUUCAGGCCAGGCAUAUUGACAGCAUUGGUUGGUGUCAGUGGUGCAGGUAAGACAACAUUAAUGGAUGUCUUAGCCGGUAGGAAAACUGGAGGGUACAUCGAAGGGAGUAUAAGCAUAUCUGGUUACCCAAAGAACCAAACAACAUUUGCUAGAGUCAGUGGUUACUGUGAACAAAAUGACAUCCAUUCUCCACAUGUUACCGUUUAUGAAUCCCUCAUCUAUUCAGCUUGGCUUCGUCUUUCCACCGAUAUAGACAUCAAAACACGAGAGGUAAGUAUAUUACUAUGCAAAACAAUUCACUGUUUUUUUCAUAAUCGCACGCAAGACUUUAUACACAAGUAACUUUUUUUUUUUUUUUUGUGAUUGGCAGCUGUUUGUUGAAGAAGUAAUGGAGUUGGUUGAGCUCAAACCUCUUAGAAACUCUAUAGUUGGCCUUCCUGGAGUAGAUGGUCUUUCAACCGAACAGAGGAAGAGGCUUACUAUUGCGGUUGAAUUGGUAGCUAACCCAUCAAUAAUCUUCAUGGAUGAACCAACAUCUGGUCUUGAUGCAAGAGCUGCCGCUAUUGUUAUGCGUACUGUUAGGAAUACCGUUGAUACAGGGAGGACUGUUGUCUGUACAAUUCACCAGCCUAGCAUCGACAUUUUCGAAUCAUUCGAUGAGGUUUGCCUCCAAAAAAUCACAGUUUUUGUCCCCAAAACAGAAUUUUUUUUUUUUAACAAAUCAUAUUUGGUCAUUGUAGCUUUUGUUGAUGAAACGUGGAGGCCAAGUUAUAUAUGCUGGAAGUCUAGGGCAUCACUCUCAGAAACUAGUUGAAUAUUUUGAGGUGAAUCAUCUGUUUGUUUCAUCUCUUAGUCAUAUAUAUCCGUGGAAUUAUCUAUAUCUAGAACGCUACUUGCAGGCUGUUGAAGGGGUUCCAAAGAUCAAUGACGGAUACAAUCCUGCGACGUGGAUGCUUGACGUUACUACUCCUUCAAUGGAGUCACAAAUGAGCCUGGACUUUGCUCAAAUAUUCUCCAACUCCUCUCUUUAUCGGUAUGCUAAAGAAAAUGCUGCUACUAAACCAGAGUGUUACUCUGUCCUUUUAAUACGAACUUGAUGUUCUUUCUCAGGAGAAAUCAAGAACUCAUCAAAGAUUUAAGUACUCCACCACCUGGAUCAAAGGAUGUCUACUUCAAAACAAAGUACGCGCAAUCGUUUUCUACUCAAACCAAAGCUUGCUUCUGGAAACAGUAUUGGUCAUAUUGGAGACAUCCUCAGUACAAUGCCAUUCGGUUUCUCAUGACAGUGGUCAUUGGCGUCUUGUUUGGUCUAAUUUUCUGGCAAAUAGGAACAAAAACGUAAGCCAUUUUUUUCCUCGCUUUGUUCAAUUUUUAAACCAUCAUCUUAUAGAAACAUGACUUAAACCAAAACAGAGAAAACGAACAAGACCUGAAUAAUUUCUUUGGAGCCAUGUACGCUGCUGUAUUGUUCCUCGGUGCCUUAAACGCUGCAACAGUUCAGCCCGCAAUUGCCAUUGAGCGAACGGUCUUUUACCGCGAAAAAGCCGCUGGAAUGUACUCCGCCAUUCCAUAUGCAAUUUCGCAGGUUAAAACCAUUCUCAUAAUUUUGUAUUUACUUGUUAUAUGAUUCUUUCCUAAAAUAUGGUUAAGCCACAAUCAGAACUAACCAAAAAUGUAUCUAAAAAUGGUGUAGGUAGCAGUGGAAAUCAUGUACAACACGAUACAAACCGGAGUUUACACGCUGAUUCUAUAUUCAAUGAUCGGAUGUAACUGGACUAUGGCCAAAUUCUUGUGGUUCUACUACUACAUGUUAACAAGCUUCAUCUACUUUACGCUAUACGGUAUGAUGCUUAUGGCCUUGACACCAAACUAUCAGAUUGCCGGAAUCUGCAUGUCCUUCUUCCUCAGUCUUUGGAACCUCUUCUCCGGUUUCCUCAUCCCCAGACCGGUAAAUUAAGCAACUUACACUUUGAUAAUAUCAACAAAAGUGUUUUAAGAGCUUAACUUUAGGUUUUUGUUUUGAUUAAAAAUGCAGCAAAUACCUAUAUGGUGGAGAUGGUACUACUGGGCAACACCUGUGGCUUGGACAUUGUAUGGACUCAUCACAUCUCAAGUAGGAGACAAGGAUUCAAUGGUGCACAUUAGUGGAAUCGGAGACAUAGAUCUCAAAACGUUGCUCAAAGAAGGAUUUGGGUUUGAACAUGACUUCUUACCAGUUGUAGCAGUUGUUCACAUCGCUUGGAUCUUACUCUUUCUCUUUGUCUUCGCCUAUGGUAUCAAGUUUCUCAACUUCCAAAGAAGGUGAAGAGAGAACCUUAAUAGAAAGAGUUUAAAUCUUUAUAGAAUAGUGUUGAAAGUUUAUGAAUUCAUGUAAAAUUUCUUUAGAAUGCACUUUUUGUUAAUUGUUUUGUCAUUUGAUUAUUAAUAAAACCAGCUUAAGUUAUUAUGAAAUUAUGAUUUUUCAUUUCCAAAAUUAGUACCCUUGAUAUGUCUAUAUUCCCAAGUGAUUAUUGUUUAUAUCUCUUAAAUAAAACGGCACCAGCUGCGAAUAGUGUGCAUCCAAGUGCAAUGCAUAGAACUCUUGGUUUGAGAUGAAUAAAGAGGUGAUGUUAUUGUUGCAGUGAAGGUCCAGAAAUGGAUGACCGCAAAUUUUGGGAUGAUUCCUACCCGAGAAGAGGAAACUAGUGGUGAUUUUCCAACACUAGAACAGAGCCUUACAACACUCAUGUUCUUUUUUUUACUUGAAUCACAAGAAAGAUGGUGGAAUAUAAAGACUAGAUAAAUAUUGGGAGAUAGUACAUGAUCGGUCCACCGUUGAACCAAUAUUAUCUAAAACGCCAUUCAAAUAUCUAAUACAAUAUUACAACAUUUUGUUUUCAUUUUGGAAUAGUCUAUUGAGAAAGAUAGGGAUCGAAUUGAGAGCCUGGCAAGAUGGAAGACCACCAGCCUACAAGGCAAUACAUUUGUGUGUAUUUAAACUCAAUUUAUAAAGCAAGAGCUAUAGAUCUGCGUGAUGUAUGAACGCAGCUUUCCGGUACUCUGCAAGUGCCCAUGGUGGGAAGAUGUCUUUGUAUGUAGAAUAGUGUAGCAUGCAUGUACUCAUAGACGCUCCUAAUAGUUCCUACACACAAAAAUAAACGGAGAAUAAGCUCAUAAUAUAUAAACACAUCUUUUGCUAAAGCAAGAGCAAAUUAAUUGCUCUUUUGCAAUCACCAAAGGUUCUAACAUUAACAUAUUGAUCAAUGUUUUUAUCAAAGAAGAUGCAUGUCUGAAUUUAAAAUUACCUGUUGAGGAAAAUCUCCGUUUUCCAGUUGCGACGUGAUAAUAAAUUUUGCAGCACUAUGUAGAGGUAUAAGAUCUCUCUUAGCCUGUUGUAUACAUUGCAUACAUAUAUAUUUUUAUAUAUGAACCAGAAGAAAUUAAAUGAUAGGUUUCAAGACACUUUGUUACGUUGUACUUGACAAAAAUGCAAAUGUAAGAUUGAAAAUGUUUGAACCUGUCCAGCGUGAAUCAGAGCCAUCAUAGCCCACGCGGUUUGCACUACGUUUGAUCUAUUCCCCUCUAAUGGUAUGUAUCUCUGCAUACAAAACAUAUUAUAAGGCUUAAAACUUUUUCAAAAUUUAAGAAAAUAAAAUCGAUAUACUAGGAUUUCGCGUUGAUACAUAAAAAUACCUGUUCAGGGCAUGACAUAUAGCUUUCACCCCAACCCCCAUCUUCAUUUUGUAUAUUAAGAAGGAAAUGUACACCGUCGCGCAUAGAUAGACAAUUGUUGUAUGUCUUACCAAUCGCUGCUAGGCCGCAAAGAGCAAACCAUGUCCCAUAAGUGAAACAAAUACCCCAGCUUCCGUACCUACCAUUACUCAAAACAUAUUUGAUUUUGUCAAAGAUUUUAGGAACGACAUUCAUUAAACAUUUCUUAUUUCUUAACCAUAUUAAAGUAGCCUACCAUGAACCAUCUCGCAAUUGUUUGCUUUCUAUGAAUUGCACUGCUUUCUCAAUCGACUUAGUGAUCUCUUUUGUCCUAUGAUCCGGAUAUAGUUGAUUGAAUAUAACCAAAGCUUGUAACACAGCUGAGGUACAUUCUGUAUAUUCACGCUCGGUCAUAGCAUUAGCAAACAAAUCUGUGGGAUUCAUCAACUGCAACACCAGUACUUACAAAGGUUACUUUAAGAUUUUAUAAAGAAUUGUGUUCUAUCUCAACUUCGCAAUAAAAAAAAUAUGUGUUUUAGAUCUUACUUCCAUCCAUUUAUAGGCGCGAACAGGUUCCCAUGCAGUAAAACCUCCAUUUUCACUCUACAUUAGAUAAAGCAAUCGUCAUGAAUGUUAUUUGUAGGUUGUAAUUUCAAGGCUUAAUUAUAUUUAAAAAAAAUUUAACUCACUUGUAGAGAUAACAUGAGAUUAACAGAAUCGUAUAGUUGUUCAAGAUUGAUUUUCUCUCCAGUGAUAUCAGUUGGCAUUGUGGAAAGCAACAUGCAACACUACAAAAGCAAAGGAAGUACAAGUUUACUUGAGGUAAAAAUCUUAUGGAAACUAUAGCUGACUAGUUCACAACUAAUUUGAUUACCUUAGCAGCUUCAGCUGUACAAUCUGAAACUUGCCAUCCAUGAUCUCGAUCAGAAAGAGUCCAUCCUCCUUUGGAGAUGUGGCGGUACAUGCUCUUGAAGUCACCUGAUGGGUUGUCUCUAACCUACAAACUUAUUUGAAUUAGAAACAUUCAAUUGUUCCAUAGCGCAAUGUUAAGAUACUAACAAGGUUAUCAAACCUGUGAUUUCUUUAUGUAAUCGUGUGCUCUCCUGAGCACGUCAUAGGUUUCAUCGCGUGGAUCACUUGCUAGUAAAGCCUGAACUGCAAAUCCCGUCAUCCAAAGUUGACUUCCAAAGCACUGCACAAAUUUUGAUAUCUUAAGUAACUUUUUCUACUAGAGUACGUAAGUAAAACUAUCUAGUGUCUUAUAAAGUCGUUUUUAAUUAAUUAGUACGAAGUUUUGGGCCUAGACCCGUACAUCCUCUCUAAAUUGAGACCGGAUCAUUUAAUAUAAUUUCCUCCCAAGUGCCUUAUAUAGGACUUGUAUAAGAUAUCUUUUGUGGUGACUUGUAGUCAUGAUGAGUAUAGGUUCAUAUCAGAGUAUAAAAUGCAUAUGUUAUGUUAAUAUUUCUAUUAGAACCUGCAUUUUCAUUCCAUCUUCAGCUACCCACAUCAUGUCCGGAAUUCUAGAGAGAUGCUUUUUAAAGUGAUUCCCGUCCGGGUUGUCAAUCCAGCAAGCAAGCAUGCACAAAUUCUGCGUAUAGUUUUCAACAUAUAAACCUCUUUUGAGAGACUACAAAUGUCUAUAAUUUUAAUUAGGUUUGAAAAAUGUUUUACCUUUUCAAUACAUCCAAUGGUGAUAUAGUGACUGUUUUCGUCCUCGUAAUGUAUGUGUUUCAUUGCCACCUGAAGAGCCUUUUUCCUUACAAGUUUGUUUAUCGGCCAACUUGCAAGCAAAGGCUCCACGAAGGUGUGGAGAGCAUCCCAUAUCAAAUCUUGAACUAGAGGAUGGGGAUAGUACUUGUCUUCCUACAUGGGUAAAUGAUGUAAUGGUUGCAUAUUCUUCAAAUGAUAGAGUAAAUUUGAAACCAUACCUUUGCGCAUAGAUGUCGCGCUUUGUUCCAGUUGAUUUCUUCAUAAGGUUGUAAGUGUAGUUCUUCACGUAGUUGCAUAAUAAGAGGUGUAAUUUGACCCACGAAUUUUUUGCCAUAUAGAUAAGAGAUGGGCAUAUAUGUUAUCCGGGUAUAGCUAAAAGCUUUCCCUGUAUAAUAUUUGCGUCAAUGCAUAACAUUUUAAAACAAUAAUACACACUCACACGAAUAGUUCUGUUCUAGUUUCAAGUUGAUUCAUAUAGUAACAAACCUAGGUGAAUUGGUAGGAAAUAAGGUAGCAACCAAAUCUCGGGAGGCAUCGGGUUGACUCCAGACCAAUCAUAGAUUCCAAGUACCUACAUAUAUAAAUAUGAACGUUGAUGGUAAUCCUACAAGUUUCAACAUCUCUAAGCUAUAAAUUAACUUAUGCUCCAAAAGAUUCACCGAGAGCCAAACUUUUCCCCAACAAGGAAUAUAAAUCACACCGCCAUGGCUAAGAAUCCAUUGCCUGGCCCGUUUGCAUGCGUUUUCUAGUCCUCCAUCGGGACCUACUCCAAGUAUACGCAAGCAUAUGUAAUUCAGCGUGGUAGUGAACAUAAUGCUUUUGCUCUCAAUGUGGAAUCCCCAUCCACCAUCUUCGUUCUGAAAAUUAGGGACAUAAACACAUGUAAUUCAUAUGGAGAUCACUAGUCGAAGUUACUCAUUGAUAUCCAAACCGUGUAAUUUGUCAUUUUAAAGUAUACCUGGUGACAAUAGAUAUAUCGAAGCAUCUCUUUGCGAUGCUCUGCAUCGAAUACCUCUUCCAAGUGUCCAGUAAUGUACAAACAAAAUACCUGCACAAAGUUUUAUUCAUUUCGUUAUUUCUCCUUUUUCCUUUUCUUUUUUUUUUUUCAACAACACAGAUUUUAAAACUAACAUACACCAGUAGGCUUAUACAAAUAUAAAUCUCUGAUUUUAUUUUUAUAAAGAAAGUAGAUCUUUGGGCUUUAUAUUUUAUAUGGGUUUCGGGUACCGAGUGAGGUUUAACCCCUUUAAUAUCCCUAUUUGAAAGUAUCCCAGACACAUAAAAUUUUCGAAACUGAUAGUAGCAAAGAAGAAACAUACCAAUGGCGGAAGCAUGCAGAGCGGUCCGGUGAACUCUCCCGGCCAGUGGCCGUCGGAGGCUUGCAAAGCUGAUAAGAAAGCAACUCCUCGCCGUAAUGCAUUUGUCGCUUUUUCAUAAGUUAUGGCUUCCCCACCGUCAAUUUUUACCGGCGGAAUCACUUGCUCAAAUUUUGCCUCUUUUAGAAACUGUGGACAUGAUCACCCAGACGGAAAAGGACCAAUACGAUUAAGUUGAUGAGUUUGAACUUUAAUCUAUUUCUAUAAUAAGAAAGAUUAAAAUUUAUCCUAGUAAAGUUAUUUUAGUCUUAUAGCAUUUUGUCAUAGUGCAUACUAAUUAAACUUCUUAAAUCCUUUAUUUUUUAAACAGCCUGGUUAAGUAACAUUCGCUUUUCUUUUGUGAUAACUUUUAUUUUGAUGAAAAUAUUCAGAAUUUUUUUUUUGAUUUUGAUAAACUAAAAAUGGUGAUAGACUUUAAUGGAACCUACCAAAUUACAAUUUCUGACUCGAAAAAAACAAUAUGGUCUAUACAUUUAAUUAUUAUUUUCAUGUUCGAUAUAUAAAUCUUACUGAUGGAAGAAAACUUACUUGCAUUUUCCACAAUAGAUCACUGGAAGGUUUAACACGAGAACGGUUGUCGAAGAAACUCCGGCGAGCUUCUUCGACUGCGGUUCGUUCCUCCCGUGUGCCGGCUUUGGGGUCAAACUCCCAUGUUUGACGUCCCACGAAGUUGUUGCUGCUGAAUAAAUAAGGAUCUUUUCCUUUUCCUUCUCCUACCUUUAACCUCCACAUGAUGAUUAUCCUAUGAAUUGGUGAGUUUAGAGUUUCAUACAAAUGAUAGCCUGAUGAUAUAUAGAUAAAUUAGUAAAAGAGUUCUUAUCUAACAAAGAUAAAAUAGGGGUGAGAAGGGAAGUACUUUUGCUGGAAAUAUUUCACUUCACGAUUGAUAAUUAUAUACUUUUGAAGAGUUUGAAGCACGUAUGUAUAUAUAGAGACUAAAGACGGAUAAUAAUAAUAAUAUAUGGGAUUUUUAAUUAAUUAAAGAACUUGUGGAAAAACAUUUAAAAAAAAAAAAAAAUAGAACAAUUUUACGGCAGUGUAACGAUUUGGUCAUGUUUUAAGAACCGCAAUAGAACAAUUCACCAAGCCUUUACGAGAGCAGUUACACACGGUUUCAAAUUGUUUCAAAAGUUUUUCUAAACAACUGAAAAUACGGAACUGGUUAAUUUUAUUGAUUUAUACAAUUAUACAUAUGUAAAAUUAUUUGGAGCAUUUGAAGUAUUUGGAACAAUAGUCAAAAUUUGACAAUUAUUUCGUGACAUUGCACUUAUUAGGCUGUACGUACAUUCAUUUUUGUUUCGUUCACCAUUUGUUCCACACCGUUUAUUUGCUUAUCCCGCAGUAAUCAAUUAAUCAUACUAGUCUUUGGUUCUCGGUUCGGCAACCAAUUGGGUUUUCAGUUAUAUUUGUUUCUCAUUUCUUACUCGGUUUCAACCAAAAAAAAAAAUCAAACUGACCGAUCUAACCAGCUAACCAAAAUCCAAAUAAACCGCGAUAACCGAGAUACACCGUUAAUUGGUAAAGAUAUUAUAACCUACAGUCAAAUCAAUUAUUUCAUGCCAUGAAUUGUUUGUAAAUGUUUUCUUUCAAAUUGUUUUGUCUGGUAGUUCGGUUGCAAAUGUAAAUUAUUUGUUCGGUUGCAAAUGUAAAUCCCACCAAAUUGUUUUGUCAGGUUGUUCGGUUGCAAAUGUAAAUUAUUUGUUCGGUUGCAAAUGUUAAGUCCCACCAAUUUAAAGUUGUUCGGUUGCAAAUGUAAAUUAUUAUAUAUUUUUUGGAAAUGUUCUUACUUUGCAAACUGUCUAAAUGGUAAACACUUUUGCAUCUGAUUAUUAAUAAUAUUAAGUACUAAUAAAUGAUUAUGGUUAUGGUAAUAACACUCAUAAUAAAUCUUGUAUUAAUGCAUAGCAUGGGGAAAACAAAAUGCUUUGAAUAGUCAUGUGAUGAAAAUCCCUUUGCUUGAGUGGGCUGGUGCAUUGAUGUGUUUAAACAACUUUUGACUUAGUCUCUAAUGUGUUUUUAGUGAGUUAAUAUGAAUGCAAAACUUUGAAGUACUAUAAAUGAUUAUGGUUAUGGUGACACUUAUCAUUAAUAUUGUGUUAAUGCAUUGCAUGGGAAUAGUAAAAUGCUUUGAAUAGUCACGUGAUGAAAAUGUAUAGUCACGUUCAUCUCUAUUGAUAAAUGAUAUUACUCAAAUUAGUCGUAAAUUUUACUUUUGCUGAAAACUAGUCUUCAAUUUUUUAACUACUAGUUUCAAUCAAAGCUUAUUAAAAGAUGAUAUUAAAUAUAUUAUAUUUUUGUGAUUUACUAAAUUUCUAUAUUUUAAAACUAGUAGUAUUUAAUUGUUAUUUUUUGAAAUUUACAAUUAAACAAUAAUCACUAUUAACUAUUAUUGGCUAUUGCAUAUAAAUUUUUAAAUAUCUAUCUUUUUAAAACAAUUUGUUUUCCUGGAAAUACAAUAAUAAGGAACAAAGGAAGUAUUUAGCAUGUACUCAAUGAGAUUUAAGUUUCUACUAUCUAGUUUUUAUGGGAGUAUUUAGCAUAUACUCAAUGGUUUUCUAGUUUCAGGUUCUUGUUUCAACUACUACUUAAGGUCAUUUUGUAUAUGAAAUUCGAUCUUAAGUAACAAAAAGUAAUGCUCGUUCCCAAAACUGUUGUCAAAUUUACAUAAUGUGUAUUCAUUAUUCAAAAUAUUUCACCUGCCUCCACUAACCUCCAAGUUUUCUUCAUUCACCGUUAUUAAAGCCAGACGACUCAUAGGCAUUGGCUUCUAUGUGGGUAAAUCUCAACACAGUAAAAAGAAAGGGGAAAGAACAAACGUUUAUUGAUCUUUGGAGAUAAACUCGACUAUUACAAGAUGUUUUGGAAACGUGAAAGAUUCAUAUAAAAUAAAAUAAAUAAAAAUAUUAAUAAAGAGAGAAACAAGACCUGAAUAAUUUCUUUGGAGCCAUGUACGCACAAGGAAGGUUGUGGAAUAACGAGAAGAGGAAGAAAAAGACCAGAAAAGAAGUGGAGAGAGAGUACAUGAUUUGUUUGAGAUCUCUGAACAGUAAUAUCUUGCGUUAAGAGGAAACAAAAACAGAGGGAGAGAGUGAUCGUUAAGGUGAAAGUGGUAAUGGUGAAGGACCUAGUCAUGGAAAGAUUAGUAACCGUGGAGUCUUGUAAUCAUGUCUUUAUUAGUUGACCCCCAAAAAUACGAAAUGGAGUGAGAAAUAAAUUUGAUCCUUUUUGUUGGAAACAUACAAUACUAUCUCUUAUCUCGUAAAAAUCUGUGUCUUCAUCUAUUAGAUGACCAAAGAGGGUUUAGGGGACUUGUAAAGUCAAUAAUUUGAUCAACUAAAUUGGUGAAUCACGUAAUCAUAACCUUGUGCGUCAAACAGGUGAAAUCAUACUAUUAUAUAUGGUGCUUAAAUUGAUGAAUCAAAAUAAUUUUGUGAAAAAUUGUAUAGCUUUGGGUAAAUAAAUAUCUUUAAUAUUUGAAGUUAGGUCGGCUUGUAAGGGGUCUAUGUAAGGGUCUCUUAUGAAUUAUGAUCAAUAAGAAACCAACUUCCAAGAAGUAACAUUAAUCUCCAAGAGAGACUAGGGUUAAGAGAUGAAGUUUGCUUACAUAGUUAUCUCUUUUUCAUGUUAAACAACGGCUACUAUUACGAGAUCGAAGUCUAAAGCUUUUUGGCUCAUAUCAACAGUAACCAAAUGACAUAUAUAAAACAAAAAUGUAAACAUGCACACAUAUAAACUCUACUCUCUCUCACACAAGGAAAUCUUUAUGAGGGUGGAAGACAUUAUAAACAGUGAAGAGAUGUGAUAUAGCGUUGAUCAUAGAAGUAGAAGAGAGAGGAAAAAAACAGAGAGGAGAAGAGAUAGCUUAAGUCGGGUUUGUCCGCUAGGUGCUUGAGCAAUGGUUGAGGGAGUUCCAGGGGUUGAGGUUGGAGCUUUUGCUAUAACCGGAGAUAGUGGUGGCUCAGUGACAUCAGCCUCUAUGAAAUCCUGGUUUGGAGCUUGUGCUGGAGGUAAGGACAGAGGACUCAUAACGUUUAAGAGGCCACCGGGGUUAACUGGUAACAUGUAAGGUGGUACUUCUUCUCUACCCAAACAUCGAUUCCCUGCAAAAGAUAAACAAAGUUAGGCAUUGGUAUUGAUCAUUUUGUGUUGUGAGACCUUUUGGUGCAAGGGAACUCUGUGAUGGUUCUAUGAACCACUUACUUUUGUAUCUUGCAGCUGUGAAAGGGAACUCUGUGAUGGUUCCAUUGAUACCAGCUCCAUAGAUAUAUGCGUUUAUCUCUACGGUUGCAUCAGAGAAGAAGUCAUAUGCUUGAGAGACAAACUCAUUCCUAAACAGUUCUACAUAAACCGGGAGCUGAGACUUCUGCAACCUCUCCACAACAUUGGUUUGGCCAGUGAGAAACGAAUCAGAGUUAGGAAAGACUGAAUCUUUGUUGAUGACAACAGCGUUAGCGAACUUCUUUAUGUCUUCGAUGGCCGAGUCACGAAUAUUACCAAUGGUUUCUUCAAUUUUGUACACAGUCUCGUACUUGCUCUGCUUCUUGAAGUCAACUAGAACCGAGCUGUUCGUAGACUGAAUCAUGACCUUUGUUGUGGUUGUUCCAUUGCUGUAACCAGCUUCGGUGAGUGUAUCGAGAACCGCUUGAACCACGUCAAGCCCUUGCUUCUCUCUCAAGUAUGCUGCAUUCUGGGGGAAACAAAAAAAAAAACAUAGAUGAUAUAACGGUCGGAUUGAUAGACUAAGAGGUACACAAGAACUCACCUCUACACUGAUCAAAACACCGGAGAGAGAAGUGUAAGUUUUUGCCAAGUCUAGGAAUUGAGAAAGGGAAAUGAGCUUCCCUGAAUUUUUCUCUCUCGGAUUCCUAAAAAUUCUAUAAACCCUGAAGGGGUUUGAAAUAGCAGCUGCACAAAAAGAUAAGAGAGUAGUUAUUUCAACUCCAAGUUAUGUAAUCUCAAAAGUGGCCAGUAAUUUUGACCACAUCAUAUACAACCUAGGAGAAUGUCAAAUUGUUACUGAUAUGUAACCUCUUUAAGUUAAGUAGGACUAGAAACAAGGUUCUCUGAUUAGUUACUAUAAAUAGUAGCAACAAGAGUGUGCAUUUGUGUGAAGCAAUUUGGAAAAUUUGAAGGGAAACUUACGAGUCAAGCUCUGGAUCUCAGGCCAUGUGAGACUAAAAGUGAAUAUUCCAGGAACUGAGCUAAUCUCAGGAACAGAAGUUGAGCGGUUACUAAAAGUAUUUUGAAGGGCCGCUAUGCUAUUCCGGAGAUCAAUCGAUCUUAAGCAAAAGGGUACACCGUCGCUAGACAUUUGGACUGAGCAAUCGAUAACAUCAGCACCAUCUUUGAUUGCCUUCUCAUAUGCCAAGUCUGUACAUCCAGGAUAGUCCCCACUCGCACCAUCUUUUGAUAUAACAAGAAAAUCCACUGAGACAUGAACCAUUGGUACAUGAUAAAGUUAAUUAUAAGUUUCUUCUUUUUUGUUAGUAAGAGCAGAAACAAAAUGUGAAGUAUUAAUACUCUCAUUACCUUGUUUUGUAGCGUUUCGGCCAAUGUGGGAGAAGCAGUCUGAGGAAAAUAUGAAAAGAAGAUAUUUGAUUUUUAUGUUUUAGAGACAAAUUAAAAUAGUGUUUGUAGAAGAGAUUUUGCUUACCAACGGCCGCAGAUGCAGUGAUAGGAAAAUCAGAGAGCACACCAUCGACAGAGAAAUCUCCAUUGUCCACAAAAGAUAGAUACUCGGACACUGGAUCGGAACUGUAGUUAUAUGCAAUAUCAACGUCAUUUGCGAAACCUGAAACAUAUACUUGUAAUCCUGCUUUGUGAGCAUCUUGAACUAAGGAUGUAUGUGGAACCAAGUACUGUUCGUCAUCAAGUGGCAAUAUGUAAGACUUUGGAACAAGAAUCCCUGAAGCAAACGUCUUGACAAAGGUUAGGUUACUCAAGAUAGAACCGUAUGUUCGGUUUGUUGUCGGCUCGAAAUCUUCUUUCCCAAGAAACUGGAACACAAAAGUCGGUCCGUUACGCCCAAAACUGCCAGUAAUUUUCUUAAAGAAGUUCACUUCAGGGGAAGAUAUGAAGUCAAUGGAAACAGUUCUUGAAACUGAUAACAGAAAACUGCUCAUGCUCAGAUUCUGUUGCUCAUAGAACGCAUCGUGCUGAACAUUUAACCAAAAACCUUCUCGAUUUAGUGUGGUUACUACAUCUUCAAUCGUCGAAAUCAGAUAUCCAUUUCCAUCGAAUCUAUCGGUUCGUGAAAGUAUUCCUCGGAUCACUAUGGUAAAAAGAAAAACUAUAUGUGAGAAGUUACAAGAAAAACAAAACUUAUUUCUGUAAGUUGUAACACACUACAAAGGCACUAACUGAAUCUUGAUUAAACACUUACAUAAAAAAUUCUGGAGCUCUGUCAAGGAGAAAUCAUUGGGGAACCAACCCUUAGUAGUGACUCCAUUAACAGAGUAAGAUUUUUCACGAUUUGGGUAAACACGAUCAAUAGUUGAAGCAUUGGCCAGAUUUAAAUCAGGGAAGCAAAUCCCAAGCCCAUCUUUUGUUAGCUGCAAAUCACACCAUAGAACAACAUCGGCUACACUUGUCAGGGUUGCAAGUUGAUAAGCAGCGAUACUCGAAUCUGGAUACAAUCCAGAGAACCCACCACGAGCAAUCACCAGUGGAGCAUCACCUAGUAAAUAAAUAAAUUAAGUAAUUGGAAGUUGUUUUAAUACUUGUGUAAGUAUAUAUGCUUACAUAAUCAAAGUAAUUAUUGGAGUUUAAUAACUGUUCUCCUGAAAUCAAUGCGAAGUUAAUUAAUUAUGCCAACUUCUACUACACAUAUGGAUAAAGAAAGAAAGUACUACUUGAGUACUACUGAUACAUAAGUUCUCUUGUUUUCUUGGAAACAAUGCACAAAAGAAAGAGAUAAAGUGAGAGCAACUCUCACCAUUGAGCGUCUGCCAUCGACUUGUUGAUCUUUGAGCAUCAAUUUGAGCAGCAAAAAGAUGAAUGAGAACAACACCACAGAAUAAAAGCGUUGAAGAUCGUAUUACGAGCUUUGUCGGAUUACUUGGCCUGGAAUUCAUCGGUAUGUUUUCUGUUUUAUUUUUGAAUGCAUAAGCAUUGAACACGUAGAGGAGAAGUACAGAGAGACUCGAGAGCUUUUUUUUUAUCAACUGGCUUUAUUAGUUGACUCAUAGACUCAUAGUGAACAAAUGGAGAGAGAGUCAAGAACAAUAAUCAUAGUGGACCAAUACAAAGAGAUAAACCAGCCUUUUUCGAAGGAUUUAUCAGCCUUUUUUCUUCGAAGGAUUUAUUAGUUGACUCAGAAAGACUAGUCUCUUCAUUAAGUUAUUUAAUUAUAUGCCAAAACACACAAAAUAGAGAUAGAGAAUGAAGAAAAGGUGGUGAAGAAAAAGAACACAGUAAUAGUAAUGGUCAUUUGCUAGAUCAACUAUGAUAUAUAAUCUUGUCCUUCAUUUUUUUAUCACUGUUUUGUAAAACCUUUGUUUAUAGUAGAAAUUAUCAAGAAUGUGCAGUUUUCACCUAAACGUCUAUUCUCCGAAAAUGAGUUAAAACAUGGAAAAGAAUCUUUAGUGGGCCUUGGGCAUUUGUGGGACUGAGAUAGGUGACUUGCCGGUAAACCAACACCAUACUAUCUCCUACAUCUUUUUAUCUUCAUCCUUUAUAGCUGACCGAAGAGGCUUUAGGAGACUUGAAAAGUCAAUAAAUUUAUCAGCUCUUUACGGCUACAGUUAUUCACUUAUAUAUCAAACGGUCCAGUUUCUCUCCAAACUAAAUUAAACGGUCAACCAAUACCAUACUAUCUCUUAUCUUCUAAAUCAUUUUAUCUUCAUCCUUUAAUGCUGACCAAAGAGGGUUUUGUUAUGGACUUUAAUAGACAAGAAGGAUUUAAGCAAAAACUUCCCUUUAACCCAAGUCUUUCUUAGAGAAUUAGGUUAAUUGUUGGAGCUUCCUAUAUUUUAUAUAGGCCAUGAUACAACUUAUACUCUAACCUAAACGUAAAAAGAAAGCACUUAAACAUUGAAAGGAAAUUAUGAAAACCAAACUCAUAAAAAAACCACAGAAGCUAAUUAAUUAAUUAAAAAAAAAAGUUAAUUAAGCCGUCCUACCGUGGCCUAAUCAAUCUAACAAUAGUCUCAUAUCAGGUUUAAGAGACUUGCAAAGAUAAUGAAGUAAUUUCUCUUAUGGUUUUAAAAGAAAAAUAAAAGUCUAUUGUGAGAGUUAUUUGUAGAUAAAACUUAAAGCCCUGAUCUCAUCUUUGGGUGAAACGCCUCAAAGGUUUUAUCGCGAUAGAAAUCUUUAUUAAAAAGUUUAACAUAGUCAAAAAAACUCAAGCAACUGCUCUGGUUUGGCACAAGAUGAUUUGAUUUUCUUGCUCUGUUUUCUAUUAAGAACUUCAAACAAGGAUGCAUUUUUUGUAAAAAUGUUUUUGGAUGAAUACAAUUUUUUACAUUCAUUAAAAUAUAUAUAUAUAUAUAUAUAUAUGUGAUUUUUGAUAAAUGCGUAGCUAUUUAGUGCUUUGAUAGGUUCAAUGGUAGCUUCUUGGAUCAUCCUUCUGUGUAGACAGAGACAUCCUCUGAAAGAAUAGAAGAUUCAUGAAGAUUUGAUAUGGGGAUUUGCUGCAAAACAGGCCUAGGAGGGACUUCAAGAGCUUCCAAGCUUCCUUCCAUCAUCUCCACAACUCUGUUCAUCGCAGGACGAUCUACCGGAGAAGGCUGAAUACACCACAAACCCACCAAUGUCAUCUUCUUUGCAAGCUCAUCUUCUUCGCUGUUAAUUCCAUCCUCAAUAUGCCUUCCAGACUUGCAUGAUUCAAGAUCCCUAUAUACCCAUUCAGGAAAGUACAUUGAACUUGUGUUAGAAGCACAUGCUUGAUUUGCUUUCUCUUUGUUUCUUGCACCAAUUAUCUCAAGGACUAACAUUCCAUAGCUAUACACAUCUGACUUGUGUGACACAUUCCCAUAAACUCUCGAGAUCAUCUCUGGUGCAAUGUACCCUAUGGUACCUCUUGUGUCCAGCAUAGACAAGAUGCUCUCUUUCUUCUCACAGAGUUUAGCGAGGCCAAAGUCCGAAACUUUGGGACAAAAACUGUCAUCCAAGAGUACAUUUUGUGGUUUAAUGUCGAAAUGUACUAUCCUUGUUUUGCAGCUAUGGUGCAGGUACUCUAAACCAUGAGCAACUCCUAAAGCAAUUCUAUAUAGUGCCGUCCAAUCCAUAUUCACGGAGGUCUUGCCUAAUAUAAACUUAUCAAGUGACCCAUUUUCCAAAAACUCAUAUAUAAUUGCCCUUUUGGAACCUUCAGAGCAGAAACCAAGCAAGGAAACAAUGUUGAGAUGAGAAGUUCUGCUCAUGGUCGCAACUUCAUUGAUGAAGUCUUCACCAUUACCUUUUGUGUCUUUCAAGACCUUCACCGCAACCACCCGGCCAUCACUAAGUGUUCCUUUAUAAACAAUUCCAAAUCCUCCUCUCCCAACAACUUCCGCAAAUGACUUUGUAAUUCUCUUCACUUGUGCAUAAGUAUAGUGUUCGAGUGGAAUAAGAGCCUUCAGCUUCUGUUGUCUCAGCCGUGUUUCUCUCUUUCGGUGAAAACAGAAAACUAAUGUUAAUAAGACCAGGAACAAUACAACUCCGGCUACUGACCAUGAAACUACAAAAAAAAUUGAGAAAUGUUUUAUUAAGUACCUUCGUUUUUAAUCUUGGAAAAAAAAAUCAGUAUAAAAUUUCUCAGGCCAGCAUAACUCACCUAUGCGAAUUACUUUGAGAAAAUUUCCUGUACAACCAUUCAACAAAAAGAAAUUGUCAGAAUGGAACCAAACUUGAUCUAGAAGCAAAAGAAAAGUAAUGAACAAACUUAGAGGUUUUGCAAUGGUUGAUGGUGUUCCAAGAGUUGAGGUUGGGGAUUUUGCUAUAACUGGAGGUAGUGGUGGCUCAGUGACAUCAUCGUGUGUGAAAAUCGGGUUUGGAUCUUGGGCUGGAGGUAAGGAUGAAGUACUUAUGAGCGUUAAGACGCCACCGGGGUUAACAGGUAACAUGUAAGGUGGUACUUCUUCUCUUCCCAAACAUCGAUUCCCUGCAGAUAAUAAACAAAGUUAGUCAUUGAUGUUAAUAAUUUUGUGUUGUGAGACCUUUUGAUGCAAAUUUUCUGUCACUUACUUUUAUAUCUUGCAGCUGUAUAAGGGAACUCUGUGAUGGUUCCAUUGAUACCGGCUCCAAAGAUAUAUGCAUUUAUCUCAACAGUUUCAUCUGCGAAGAAGUCAAAUGGUUGAGAGACAAACUCAUUCUGAAAUAGUUCCACAUAAACCGGGAGCUGAAACUUCUGCAACCUCUCCAAAACAUUUGUUGUUUGUCCAGUGAGAAACGAAUCAGAGUUAGGAAAAACAGAAGCUUUGUUGAUUACAACAGCGUUAGCGAAUUUCUUUAUGUCUUCGAUGGCCGAGUCAGUAAUAUUACCAAUGGUUUCUUUAAUUUUGUAGACAGUCUUGUACGUGCUCUGAUUCUUGAAGUCAACUAGAACCAAUCUGGUCGUAGACUGAAUCAUGACCUUUAAUGUUCCAACGAUGUAACCAGUUUCCGUGAGUCUAUUAAGAACUACUUUAACUACGUCGAGUCCUUUCUUCUCUCUUAGGUAUACUACAUUCUGAAGGACGACACAAUAUAGUAGUGUGGUCAUUAAAAGAUAUUAUAACUGUGUGAUUGAUAAAAUCUCAAGAUUAAGAGGUACAUGAUAACUCACCUCUAGACUGAUCAAAAUACCGGAUAGAGAAGUGGAGUUUUUUGCCAAGUUUAGGAAUUCAUAGAGUGAAAUAAGGUUCCCAGAAUUUCUCUCAUUCGGAUUCCUCGACAUACCGUUCUCCCUAAAAGGGUUUGAAAUCGCAGCUGCACAAAAAGAUGGAAGAAUGGUUAUUGUAACUUUGACCACAACAUAUCAAGCUAGGAGGAUGUAAAUUGUUACUAAACACAUAUUUGUAUCUAUACGUAAAACCUCUUGAAGUUUAGUAGGAGUAGAAACAAAAGCUCUCGUACGAGUUACUAUAAUUAAUGUAAACAAUGAUAUUUUUUUAGUGUGAAUAAAUUUAACAUUCAUUCAAAAUAUAAAAAAAAAAAUAGACUAGCAUUUGUCUGAAGCAAGUGGAAAAUUUGAAGGGAAACUUACGAGUCAAACUCUGGAUCUCAUGCCAUGUGAGACUAAAAGUAAAUAUUCCAGCAACUGAGCUAAUCUCAGGAACGAUUAUGGAACGGUUUCUGAGAUGAGUUUGGCCGACCGUUGUGCUGUUCACGAGAUCUAUCGAACUUGAGCAAAAGGGAAUACCGUCGCUAGACAUUUGAACUGGGCAAUCAAUAACAUCAGAACCAUCUUUGAUUGCCUUCUCAUAUGCCAAUUUUGUACAUCCAGGAUACUCCCCACUUGCACCAUUUUUUGAUAUAACAAGAAAAUCCACUGAGGCACGCACCAUUGGUAGAUGGUAAUGUUUUUGUUCUAUUAGUAAGAACAGAAAAGAAAUGUAAAGCAAAUUACACUCAUUACCUUGUUUUGUAGCGUUUCUGCCAAUGUGGGAGAAGCAGUCUGAAGAAAUACAAAAAUAAAAUGUUUGAUUUUGAGUAUUACAAGUAAUGUAUUAAGAAAUAAUAUUUUGUCUGUAGAAGAUAAUUUUCUUACCAACAGAUGCAGAUGCAGUUAAAGGAAAAUCAGAGAGCAUACCAUCAACAGAAAAAUUGCCAUUGUCAACAAAAGAUAGAUAUUCAGAAACUGGAUCCCAACUGUAGUUAUAUGCAAUAUCAACAUCAUUUGCAAAACCUGACGCAUAUAGUUUUAGCCCUGCUUUGUGAGCAUCUUGAACUAAGGAUGUAUGAGGAAGCAAGUACUGCUUGUCAUCGAGGGGCAAUAUGUAAGAUUUGGGUACAAGAAUCCCUGAAGCAAACGUCUUGACAAAACUUAGGUUACUCAAGAUAGAACCGUAUGUUCGAUUUGUUGUCGGCUCGAAAUCUUCUUUCCCCAUAAACUGGAACACAAAACUCGGUCCAUUAUUCCCGAAACCGCCAGCAAUUUUCCUAAAGAAAUUUACUUCAGGGGAAGAGAUGAAGUCAAUGGAAACAGUUCUUGAAGUUGAUAAAAGAAAACUACUCAUGCUAAGAUUAUGCUGCUCAUAGAACUCAUCAUGCUGAACAUUUAACCAGAAUAAUGCUGGUUUCAUCUGCGUGGCUACAUUUUGAACCGUUGAAAUCGAGUAUCCAUUUUCAUCAAAUUUUCCUGAUCGUGAUAAUAUUCCUCGGAUCACUAAGGUAAGAAACAAAAAAAAAAAAAAUUGUGAGAAGUUACAAGAAAACAAAACUUAUUUCUGUAAUACUCUAUAAAAAGCACUAACUGAAUCGUAAACACUUACAAGAAAACAAAACUUUCUGCAGCUCUGUCAAGGAGAAAUCAAUGGGGAACCAACCCUUAGUAGUGACUCCAUUAACAGGGUAAGAUUUUUGACGAUUUGGGUAAACUUCUUCACUAUUUGAGGCAUUGGCCAGAUUUAAAUCAGGGAAGCAAAUCCCAUGCCCAUCUUUGGUUAGCUGAACAUCACACCAUAGAACAACAUCGGCUACACUUACCACCAUUGCAAAUUGGUAUGCAGCUAAACUCGAAUCUGGAAAAAGUCCAGAAAAUCCACCACGAGCAAUCACAAGUGGAGCAUCACCUUGUUAAAAAAAAAAAAAAAGACAUCCGCUAUUUUAAGACGAAGUAAUUAUUAGAACUGCCCAUUUAUUUGGCUAAGAUCUCCCAAUAAAUCAACUUUCCAUAACUUUUCUUCUAAAGAUUAGAUCUCCCCAAAUGGAAAAAGCAAGUGAAUAAGAAAGAGACAAAGUGAGAGCUAGUACACUCAGUCACUCACCACUGAGCGUCUGCCAUGGACUUGUAGAUCUUUGAGCAUCGACUUGAGCAGCAAACAGCUGUAACAGAACAACACCGCAGAGUAAAUGCGUCGAAGAUUGUUGUAACAUUUGCUUUGUCCGAGUACUUUGCUGGGAAUUCAUUGGUUAGCUUCUGUUUCUUUCAGUCCACAAAAUUAUCUAAUCAAAUGGUUUUAUUAGUUGACUCAUAGUAAACAAAAGCAGAGACUUUAUUUUUGUAAAUCAAAUGGUUUUAUUAGUCUCUUCAUUAAGUUAUCUUAAUCCAAACACACAAAAAUUUGAGACAGAGAAAGAUUAGUUAUUUGAUGUUCCUCUUUUCUUUUCUUUUUUUGGAUAUGAUUAAGAAGGUGGUGAAGAAAAAUUACAUAUGAAUCAUUUGCCAUUCAUUUUGUUUAACUAUAAGAAAUAAUCUUUGCCCGUCGUUUUGUUUUUAUUACUUUUUAAAGCCUUUGUUUAUUGAUAUCCUCCUAAACUCUUUUCAUGAGAAUUUCCUCUGAAAAUGAGAUAAAACAUGGAAAAAACCUUCCGUGGGGAAUGAGAGGGACUUGUUGGUAAACAAAUACCACACCUUAUCCUAGAUAUUUUUGUCUUCGUUUUUUUUUGUUUAAAGAUACUUUUGUCUUCAUACUUUAACGUUAUCGACCAAACACCAAAGAGCAUUUACAAGAAUAUUCUUAAGUGGUCUGCUUUUUUCCCCAAGAAAAGAGGUCUGGGCUAAUGACAAAUGGAGUAAUUUAUAUUUUAAUAGUCUUGAUACCAUGUUUUGGUGUGACGCCUCUAACGUUUUAUCACGAUAGAAAUCUGUAUUAACUAGUAGGUAAUUGGAUCACCCUUCUGUGUAAACAGAGACAUCCUCUGAAAGAAUAGAAGAUUCAUGAAGAUUUGAUGUGGGGAUUUGCUGCAAAACAGGCCUAGGAGGGACUUUAAGAGCUUCCAAGCUUCCUUCCAUCAUCUCUACAACUCUGUUCAUCGCUGGGCGAUCUACCGGAGAAGGCUGAAUACACCACAAACCCACCAAUGUCAUCUUCUUUGCAAGCUCAUUUUCUUCGCUGUUAAUUCCAUCCUCAAUAUGCCUUCCAGACUUGCAUGAUUCAAGAUCCCUAUAUACCCAUUCAAGAAAGUACAUUGAAUUGUGUUAGAAGCACAUGCUUGAUUUGCUUUCUCUUUAUUUCUUGCACCAAUUAUCUCAAGGACUAACAUUCCAUAGCUAUACGCAUCUGAUUUGUCCGACACAUUCCCAUAAACUCUCGAGAUCAUCUCUGGUGCAAUGUACCCUACUGUACCUCUUGUGUCAAGCAUAGACAAGAUGCUCUCUUUCUCCUCACAGAGCUUAGCGAGACCAAAUUCCGAAACUUUGGGACAAAAACUGUCAUCCAAGAGUACGUUUUGUGGUUUAAUGUCGAAAUGUACUAUCCUUGUUUUGCAGCUAAACUGUCAUCUCAUCUCUGUGUGUAUCUCGUCAAAUCUUUAGAGGCAAAUAAUUUGUUUUUCACCUGGCGAGUCUUUGUGACAGCCGUUCUGUUUCAUUCCAUGAUACGAUUAUUGGUGUUUUCUCAAUUCAAAAAGACUAUUGGUGUUUUUCUCAUUAAGUGGUUUGGUGUUUUCCUUUGAUGUUAAGGGUAUAUCAUCAACCAACAUCAUCAUGACCCUUACGUCUACAAUGUGAACAUACUCUGUCUCUGUUUUCUUCUCAUGCACAAGAAGGUGAAGUUUUCACCGCAUAGCUCACUACUUCUGGAAUACUCUCCUGCGAUUUAUUCUCGGUCUUGACAGUCUCUUCGCGUUGCAGAAUGUUGUUAGUCGAGUUUAACGUCGGCAAAGUUAUCACGGGAGAGAAGUACAAAUCUGAACGUUGCCAAGAUAAAUUCAUCGAGUCCAAACUGAAACAGAGUCUCACACCUGACAAACCCUUGUUUACUUGAAGCACAAGGAAGCUAAGGAGAAAGUUUUUUUACUACAAACAGAGUUUUUUUCACACCUGAUAAGAACUACAAAGUUUUUUUAUUUUGUUUUCUAUUGUAGGACGAUCUCAAAGUGAGACACUUAAACAUUUUCUCAGACGGACCCUACUGAAAAUAACAUCCCAACUUAAGAUCCAUUUUUUACAAUAUUUGACUUGACUUUACCAGCGGUAAGUGAUCCGUAAUGAACAUAUUACAGAGAUAUGGAGUGUGGAAAAAGACCAUUUCAUGUAUCUGUCAGUCACUUAUGCUUCCUUGAAUUGGUCCAACACUGAUGCCCUAUUUUUAUUCAACACAGAGGAAAAGAUUCAUGAAGAAACUAUAUCGCAACUUUUGAGUUGGGUUAUUGUAUAUUAAAACAUAUAUGUGUUCUAUUUGUUAUGCAAAUAACAUAUGACCUUCACGACGAUUUUCUAUUCACAAACUUGAAGAUUCCAGCUUUGAGUUUGUGGAGAAAACCAGUAUAUCAGAGGCACUUGAACUCUCCUCUGAAUUCCAAAAAGAGUCGGAAACCGACGAAGCUGAAAUUUGCUGCAAAACAGGUCUAGGUGGCACUUCAAGAGCAUCCAAGCUUCCUUCCAUCAUCUCUACAACUUUGUUCAUCGGUGGACGAUCUGAUGGGGAAGACUGAAUACACCACAAACCCACCAAUGUCAUCUUCCUUGCUAUCUCCUCUUCCUCGCUGCUGAUUCCAUUCUCGAUAAGCCCUCCAUUUUCUGUCUUCUCGAUAUCCUUAAUGUUGGCCUUCUCAAGAUCCUUAUAGAUCCAUUCUGGAAAAUAUAUUGAGCUUCCGUCGGAUCGAGAGUUUUGAUCAAAUCGUUCUUUCUUCCUUGCACCUAUCAUUUCGAGUACCAACAUUCCGUAGCUAUACACAUCCGACUUAUGAGAAACACUCCCAUAAAGUCGAGAGAUCAUCUCUGGUGCAAUGUAUCCUAUUGUACCCCUUGUAUCCAACAAUGAUAAAAUGCUCUCCUUCUUCUCGCAGAGCUUAGCAAGUCCGAAAUCAGAAACUUUAGGGCAAAGAUUAUCAUCUAACAGCACGUUCUGAGGUUUAAUGUCGAAAUGCACGAUCCUCGUUUUGCAUCCAUAGUGCAAGUACUCUAGACCACGAGCAACUCCUAGUGCGAUCCCAUACAGUGUCUUCAAGUCUAAAUUCACCGAGCUCUUGUCCGAUAUGAAUUUAUCGAGUGACCCAUUACCCAAAAAUUCAUAUAUAAUUGCUCUUCUUGAACCUUCACAGCAGAAUCCAAGCAGUGAAACAAUGUUGACAUGAGAAGUUUGGCUCAUGCUGGCAACUUCAUUAAUGAAGUCUUCACCAUCAGUACCCUUUGAAUCUUUCAAGACCUUUACCGCAACCAUACUGCUAUCACUAAGGGUUCCGCUAUAAACAAUUCCAAACCCGCCUCUCCCAACCACCUCCGUGAAUGACUUUGUCAUUUUCUUCACUUCCGCAUAAGUGUAGUGUUUGAGUGGAAUCAGAGCCUUCAGCUUCUGUAGUCUCACUUCAUCUGAUGUUUUUCUCUUUCGGAAAAUUUGGACUCUGAAGCAAGGGCAUAGUAGCACUAGAAAAACUAUAACAACACCUGUUAAUGCACCCAGAGCUGUAAAAAAAAACAUAGAAAAUCUUCUAUUAUAUAUUAACACUUAAAAAUCAAGGAAGAUCGAAAGGAAUUGGAAAUAUGCACCACACUAACCUAUAAAAGUAUACCUGACCAGAGUCGCUGUAAACCAUUAAAAUAAAUAAAAAUUGUUAGCAUAGAACCAAAUUUAAUCUUGAAAAGGAACAAUUAACUCAGAGAAAACAAUGGUUAAGGGUAUUAGAGAUAUUGUCUCACAUCGAAAGUUGAAUAGGGUCUUAAGUGGUAUAUAUAAGAUAUGGGUCUCUUCACCUAUUACCAAUUGAUUUUAGGCUGGAAGCCCACAAUCUAAUAAAAGGGAAGAUAACCAAAAGGAAAGUUUAACUCGAUGAAUGCUUACGCACCAAUAAACCGUCGAUGCCGACGAAAAAAUCCAUCUAUAAAAUGGCACAAGAAAGAAACCUUGGUUAGAGCUGAAGACUGAUUAACUUUGAACUUUGAAAAAAAGUUUCCGCGGCCGCAAUCUUACCAUCGUAUUCGUAUCCGCAUUUACCAUCUUUACAAUAGCACCCGAACCCACUUGAAGUCUGAUUAUAUCCACAAGCACCGCCAGAACCUCGGCACCUCUCACAAUCUGAUGUAAUCAACAUCCGAAAACCUUGAUCAAGAGCCAUCUUCAGAUUAUCUUGAUUUGGCCUUGUCUGGAGAUCGAAUAACGCGGGUCCAGACGCAGGAACACUGACGUUUCUUUUGCACAUUUCCCUCAAGUUGUUCAAAACGCCUCUAGAACUGUCAAGUAAAGGAGAGGACAGGUUUCUCGUGACAUAGUAACUUCUUCCCUCAUCACAACCAAGCUCUCCAACGUAAAUGUUAGCAGGAAUAUCCGAUGAAUUGAAACGGCAGCCGUAGUAUAAAGUUAGAAGCUCUGUCUCACCAGUGAGUUCGAGGACUGGAAGGAAUUUUUCGAUGAAUGGCGCAGUUAGUGGGUUUGCGGGACACAAAUCGCCAAUAUAAUCUGAUCUUGCAAGUCUUAUUAAAGAGCGAUAUGAGUCUAGGAUUCUGAAUUUAACAGAGGCGAUGUUAAUCUCUGCGAAUCCUCCGCUACAGUUGAGCUUGAAGUUGGGGUGGCCACAUUCUUCUCUGCCAGGUUUCCAUAAGGGGUAAUUGAGAUCUCUCUGACUGCCACAGCUAAAACUUUCACUGCAUCGUCUAUAAACCUCAUCAGCUGAAAAAAAAAGAACAAAAUGGGAUCACAAAAAGCAUCUAAGAGAAAUAGACAGAUUGAUCAUUGUGUUUUCAUAAUGAGCAAAGUGGCAAGGAACAGAAAAAAAAAAACUUAGGUCAUGAAUCUUUGAGAUUUUUUAAAUGGUUUUUGGAUUUUAGAUUUUGGUUUUUGGAUUUGAAAAAUCUUAGUAUAUAAUAUGGAAAGGAAACUACGUAAUUAAAUGGUUUUUGAAAAACAAUGGUCAAUCUGCACGCAAAAACUUACCACUAUGUUGAUAUGGUACGCAACUAACUCCUCCUGACGGUGAGGUUGCGUUACAGCAACUCUGUGUGGUACCGUUGAAACUACAGAUUCCACGAGUGGAUGAACAUUGUUGACACGGUAUUUCAUCAAUCACCAGCUUCACCUCAAAACCUUUUCUUAGAGCACUUUCCAAAUUAGUCAAAUUCAACCCUCUCUCUUCUGGAUGGAAACUCGUUGGAACGUUAACUGUGAAACUGUUUUGGCAAGAAUAUUGGUAAUCAACGCUUUGAGACAUUGAAAAAGUACCUAGAGCAGGACAUGUAUAACUCGAGCGGUAAGAAAGCUUUGGAUCACAAUGGUACAAUACGGUUAGGCUCUUGUAAGUUGGGGAAAGCUCAAAGAUUUCGGGAGGCAAGGUUGUGGUAUUGUAUGCAUAGGAGGAGCAAAAAGAACCUAGAAGGUCUGAUCUGGCAAGCGUAAGAGUGUUAGAUGUUUGAUUUAUCUGACGAACAUAGAACUCUUGAUUUGAGAUGUAUAAAGAGGUGAUAUUGUUAUUGUUGCAGUGAAGCUCCAGCAACGGAUGACCGCAAGGUUUGUGACGAUUCCCGCCCCAAAAGGGGAAAUCAGCGGUGAUGUUCCCACACUGAAACAGAGACUCACACCACCCAAGUCCUUGGUUACUUGAAGCACAAGGAAGAUGGUGGAAUAGGGAGAAGAGGAAGAACAAGAUCGAAUAAGAACUGAGGGAAUGGUAGUACAUGAUUUGUUUGAUCAAUGAACAGUGUGUCUGCUGGGUUUGAUUUGUGUUGAGAACAGAUGAGCAAGCGACUUAAAGAGAGACCGUGAGAGAGAGAAAGAAGCAUAAAGACCAAGUCAAGGUGAAAUAGUGGACAAAUACAUAAAGACACUAAAUCUUUUUUGAUUAAAUGGCUUUAUUAAUUAGUUUAAUCAGAAAACGAAAUUGAGACAAACAAAGAAUGGUCAUUGGGUGACGAAGAAGAAGAAAAGUAACAAAAUAAACGUGGUCAUUUGAUAAAUCAACAAAGAUAAACAUUUGUUUAUAUCAUCUAAAUGUCUUUUUGUAAGAAUUUGGAAAACCUAUACCAUACAUUUAUAUUUGUUUGUCUUCAUCCUUUUAACGACCAUAGGGAAUUUAGAAGACUUGAAAAUUCAACUACUUAAUUACCUUUUCACCGGCAACGUCGAAAACAUAAGUUAAAACUCUCAAGUUAUUCACACAAAAUAUGUAUUAUAUGGAUGUCUAUUAUGGGCCCAUUAGGAUAUUCUAGAGGUUUCUACAUUACUUGGGUUCUAAUCUAAACCUUAAGUUGUAUCUCAUAUAUUUCUCCUUAUUACUUACUCAUGAAUAAUAUAUAAGAACAAUCCUUAAACUUAAUUGUUCUACAACACGUUAUCAGAAGCCCUAGCCAACCAAGUUAACACAAAACUUUGCCGUCGUCCAUCUCCGAUCUCACCGUUUCCUAUUCUCUCCCACGUCGAGUAAGUUACCUCAUAUUUAUCAGCAUUCGGUUCAUCAUACUUUAAUAGUCGUGAUUAAAUAUUGCAUCAUAUGACUUGUCUGGUUUAUAUUUUAGUAUCGAUUGUUUAUUUAAUCAUAUCGUUGAAUGAGAUACUGUUGUUUAAUGCUUGAAUAUCAUUACGCGUUAUUGAUUCAUCAGAGUUUCAUAAAAUAUAUUGUUUCAUUACUAAAAGCAUCUAAGUCUAUGUUUUUUUGGUCAAUAAAGUCAUGCUUGUGUACUUAAUUCUCAUAAGGAAACAAUAUUACUUUACACGUUUGAUUCAUAGUCUUAUUAUAUUGUGGGGUCAUACACAAACGUUUAAAUAUUGAGCUUAUUCUUAAUUGAUGAUGAUGGAGCAUAGAUCUAGUAUAUUGAAACUGUUAUCUAAUUCAUCACUUAUAGCUUUAUCACUUAUAAAUAUACAUUUGCAUAAUUGAUUCUCUGUUAUAUACUCUUACAUACUUCAAUACAAGAAGCUCGUUUUGAUGCACAAUUGAUUAAUAUACUUUAUUAUUGAUGGGACAUUAUCACGUCCAAGUCAUCGUUCUAAUAUCUAUACUACUUUAUAAUUGAGUUCGUUAAAUUCUCUGUUUUGAAAACAUUAAAUCCAUACUUUAGUUUACCUUCUUUGUUUUGGUAUAGUCGAGAGUUGUGUUUUGGUACAUUGAGCUUGUGUUAGAUACAGAGACUUCUAUGGAUGUUUUGUUCCUUGCUCCUAGCAUCUCAAGAACUAACAUCCCAUAGCUAUACACAUCUCAUUUGUGGGAGACUCUCCGAUACAUUCUUGAAAACACUUCAGGUGCAAUGUAACAUAUCGUCCUCCUGUGUCUAGUAGUGACAAGAUGCUUUCUUUCUUCUCACAGAGUUUAGCGAGGCCAAAGUCUGAAACUUUGAGGCAAAGAUUGUCAUCUAACAAAACAUUCUGUGGUUUUAUGUCGAAAUGCACAAUCCUUGCUCUGCACCCAUUGUGCAAAUACUCCAGACCACGAGCAACGCCUAGAGCAAUUCCAUAAAGUGCGCUCUGGUCCAUAUUCGAUGACUUUUUGCUUGAGAUAAAUUUAUCCAAUGAUCCAUUCUCCAAAAACUCAUAUAUAAUUGCUCUUUUGGAACCUUCAUAACAAAAUCCAAGCAGGCUAACAAUGUUUACAUGAGAUGUUCUGCUCAUACUCGCAACUUCAUAUCUGAAAAGACUAUACACAAAAGUUUCCUCUAUACACAACCCCAAAUCCUCCUUUCCCAACUUCAUAUCUGAAAGACUUUGUCAUUUUCUUUACUUGUGCAUAACUAUAACGUUUCAGUGGUAUAAGUGCUUCGAGGUUUGUCUUUCUUACACAACAUGUUUUCACUUUCUGUAACAUCAGUGCUAUGAUUACCAAAACAAUCACAAGUCCUCCUCCCAUUGCACCUAAAAUAACAAGAAAACUAGUGAGUUACGAAUUCUCUAUCACGCAAAGUCCACUCUUUGAGAGUCUCUGAGAAGGAAACUAACCAAUGAUAAUCUUUUUUUUUUGCUAAACUGUUAAUAUAUCAUAUAUAAUGAAAAGUUUGGCAGUUACAAAGAAAAGCCUAAGCUUUGAAAACUUGGCAAAAAGAAUAAAAACAAGCUUUCAAGAUUGGGAAGACACAUAAAGUGAAGUCAUGAUAUCCAGAGUUGCAUUAGGUGGCGAAACCUCUUGCGAUGUUGCCUCGCUGUGAUGAUGUUUUUGAUCUCUCUGUUGAUGAGCUUGAAAACAGUGACAUUUGAGAUGAUUAACUGAUUAUGAAUGACAUUGUUUCGCUGCUUCCAAAUGUGAUAUAUUGAGGUUUGGGCUGCGACUUUCCUGAGAGUUGACGGAGCCGAAACAGAGGAGGCACGAAGCCAAGAAAGGAGCUCCGCCCACGAGACGAAUAAGGACCUAUUUGGAUCGAUACGCGCAAGGAUUUGAAGCCACAAUUGCGCAGAAUAAGUGCAAGUGAGGAACAGAUGAUCUCUGGACUCUACAGCCAAGGAGCAAAGAGAGCAGUACCAAUGAUAAUCUUGAUCAUAAUAUUACGACUCCUGACUCUUCUAAUUGAACCUACAGUACGUUACGAGUUUUCUUUAAUACCUUUUUCUCUACUAUGUUUAUUUUCGGUUGUUAAUUUCUCAGAGUUUUACACUUUGUAUAACAGAGAUAUACUUGGAAGGUUUUAAAGAUAACUACAGAGUUGUUUAAAAUUCUCUAUCCACUAUAUGAAGAAUUUACUUCAAGAGGUCAAUAUAGACUGUUGCUACUCACCUUCGUCGGAGCACGAAAAAUUAUGAGGUAAUGUUAAGUUUUCAAUAUCGAUACACCGAUUCCUUAACCAAACCGGUACACACUAACACACCAUACAAGAGAGAGACUAGCACAUCACUAGCUCAGCUCUCAAUACACCAUACGAGAGAGACUAGCACAUCACUAGCUCUGCUCUUAAGUCUCUCAUACCAUUCAACAACAAACAACAUAAACCUCUCUAAACAUUCAGAGCCAUUAUUUAUACUAGAACUCAGUUUGUUCAUGAUAUUUUUAGAUCCUAAAAAUAUCUUCUUCUUCAAGCAAGUUUCUUCUCACGUGCCUCCUCACUUGCACGUGUCUUCUUUUGCUUUCUCUCAUUCACAUUCUUCUUGAUACAUCAAUCGUAUCAAUACUCCCCCCAUUUAGACAAGCUUGUCCUCAAGCUUAGUAAAAGAAAGAAAGAAACUACCAGCUUCUGAAUUAUUUGUGUUGCUUCUGAGUUCUGAUAUGCAGCCAUGUCUCUCUUGUCUACUUUCUGUUUGUACUUGAAUUUCCAUGCUUUGAGAAACUUCCUUUUCUUAAUAUUGUGCAAACUCAUCGAUUGGUCCUUCUUUAAUUUGUGUGUAAGCCUGUGACAACUCUCAAAAACACAUAUAGCACACCCGCUGGAGAAUAGCACAAUCAUCAUACCCGUUAGAGUCAUGCAAGUAAACAGCCUCAUACACAAGAUCAUCACUUUCUCAUAUUGUUGUAAUCCAAUUGCCUCUGAAAAUAUCGAUGUUGCUGCUGCAUCAAUAACUUUAUCACUACUGGCGCCAUUAACUGUCACUAAAGGUCCAUGAGAAAAUCCCAAGAAGCUGAUCACUUCGCUGGAAUGAGAAUGCACCAAACCCCAACUUAGAAAUUCUGAAAUUUCCUGCAAUGUCUCAACUUUGGUUUUCCAACGAUGCCACAAAUGAGAAUCAGUGUUGUUUGCCUCAUGGACAAGACAAUGCCAUGGCCUUUGAGUUUUGUAGAUCCCGGUAUGGAGAUUCUGCAUUCUCACUUUGUAAUGUUUAUAUAUAAAGUGCCAAGACUUGCUACACUUCCUCUUCAGUGCUGAAUUCAUCAAAGUGGCAUCAUCCAAUCUUAGCAACUGUGCAGAAUCUAUCGUAGCAAAAUUAGCUUCCCCUAACCUCCGAAGAUCAGAUUGCAACGCUACCAUAUCUUCAUCACCAAGUGUUUCAACAAUUGGUAAUGCAGGCUGUAACUCCUCGGAAGAUAUAGAUUCUAACUUCUUAAGAUCCCGUGACAUGUGUGCUUGCUUCUUUAGUCUCAGGCUCUGAAAUGAUUUGUUCUUCCUCACCAAUCCAACGUUAGCACUAAAACAAAGAUACAUGUAAUGGAUAUUGCUGAAUUCAAUGGCUUGACAUGGAUCCAUUUUUGACCUAUUUUGCUGUAAAUUCCUGUUUUUGAACUUAAACAUCCAAUUUUUAGGAGACAAACUCAACUUCCUCCUCUGUUUUAGGUUGUGACUUCGAAUGAGAAUUUUGUCGAGCACCUUGUAGGCACCAAACUUCAGCUUACUAUCAGAUGAAUUGUUGGCUUCAUUGUCCUUUGAUUUGUCGUCAAAGAACCAUGUUCCCUCCUGGAAUUCGCCAACUACUAUAGUGGCAACAUUCUGAAACCGUGGAAACGAUUUCUUUUGGGUAAUCAAAACAAUCUCCGGAUUUGAUUUCUUUCUCACACUUGAUUCAUCUUCCUCAAUCAAUUCUUCUGUACAUCUUGAUUCAGUUUCAUGAGCAACCACAUGAAUCAAUGUCGUCGGCAUAAGAACCUCAGGGGAAGAAUGAAUUUUAACUGGAUCAAAUCGAGCCAACAACCUUUGCUCAAAGGAAUUCCAAUCUCUAAACUCCAAUGUCGACAUCUCCCGAAGAAACCAUUUCAACGCAACUCCUUCUAAACUCAACGCUACCAAAUCCAACUUAUCUGAAUCCUGAUACCUCCCUACACGAAAAAAACGUUCUACCUUCGAGAACCAUUCAUACACUCCCGAUCCAUCAAAUACAGGCAUCUCUAUGCGUCUGAUCAAGCUAGAUCUAUUAUCCAACAAGAUCGGAGACUCACCAGCACCGCGUUGAGGCAUAGAGGAAGAAAACGAGUGACGUGGUGACUGACAAGAGUGCUCACCUUGCUCCACCCGUUUACCUUCGCGGAUCUCCAUCCUCUCCAACGUUGCAACCACCUGUCGUAACACGCUAUCCAUAGAUUCAAGCUUCUCUUCAUGUUGAACCUUAUCAGCACACAGACGCUUGAAACCUCCGAACAACACCUUCAUGUUACGCUCUGUUUCAUCGCCGUGACAGUUCUCCGACUCAAACACCUCCGAUUCAUCACCCAAGGCCAUUGCGACUUAAAUCGACCAGUUUCACCGCACCAAUGUUAAGUUUUCAAUAUCGAUACCACCGAUUCCUUAACCAAACCGGUACACACUAACACACCAUACAAGAGAGAGACUAGCACAUCACUAGCUCAGCUCUCAAUACACCAUACGAGAGAGACUAGCACAUCACUAGCUCUGCUCUUAAGUCUCUCAUACCAUUCAACAACAAACAACAUAAACCUCUCUAAACAUUCAGAGCCAUUAUUUAUACUAGAACUCAGUUUGUUCAUGAUAUUUUUAGAUCCUAAAAAUAUCUUCUUCUUCAAGCAAGUUUCUUCUCACGUGCCUCCUCACUUGCACGUGUCUUCUUUUGCUUUCUCUCAUUCACAUUCUUCUUGAUACAUCAAUCGUAUCAGUUUGUCAUAGCAGAGACACUGAAAACUGCCAGAUACUGGCUCGGAACCGCAUACUCCAUGACUAUUUGAACAACCUCUGCAAGAUUGAUCGUCUCUGAUGUUGAACCUUAGAUCAAACCCCUUAACCAAAGCUUCUUUCAAUUUAAGCCUUGACCGCUGAAACUCAUCCAGAAGAGAACUAAGAACUGGAUAUUCUCCCAUCUUUACGCAGUCCGUAACAGAAUCUGAGGGCUUAAACGCGUAAUAUGUUACAAUUUCCCCGUUGCUUUUUCUGCAAGUAAACGCCGAAAGCGGACUUACCAUCUGAGAAGCAGGACAAAUGAAUAGGUCAAUCUUCUCCACUGUAGGAGCGAUUGUGAACUGAUUGGCCCCGGUGAAGUUCAGGGACAUGCUUGGGCAUCGACCCUCGAAUAAACUCUCAUCGACAACGGUUAAAGUUUGAUUCUCCAAAUCAAAAGAGAUUACUUGAAGAGAAAGGUUUGUGAGAACUAAAGUUAGGUUUUGGUUGUUCUUGCAAGUGAGUUGAAACUCUGUUUGGCCGCAAUAAUUGGGUUUAUUGACUCCCCAGAAAGGAUACGUCACGUUUGGCAACAGCCUCGGACCUGCGUACUAAUACGAGAAUUGGGCAAUAAUAAGAGCAGACUAAAAAUGAUAUGGACUUUAUCUAGCAUGGAUUUAAUAAGAGAUUGACAAAAAAAGAUCCAGAGUCAAUCUAAUUGUAGUAGGGCUAUUUUUCUUUUCUUUUUUUUGUCAUACUCAUAUAUAUUGGGUUUCUAAUUUUCAACAAAUGCGUUGAGAAGAAUAGUUCCACAAAUAUUGUUAGUCCAAAUUUUAGGUGUCAGUAUCAACAAUAAACUUUCUUUUUAACUAAUAAAUCCAAGCUAGAGUGAAGAAAUAUCCAUUUUGAUAUUGGAAAUUCAUGAAUUUCAAGGUAGAGGAGAGAAACCAUAAGCAUAUAUAAGUUAACAAUUCAAACUAAAAAGGCUUUAACUUUGCAUUUUUCUAAGAUAGGUAAUCUAAUAAUAAACCUUCUAGCUUGAUAAUUUGAUCACUCAUAUUCUGUACGUGACUUAUACACUUUGAUUUGAUCACUAAGAACUGAAUAUCAGAGAACAAUUACAUGUCAUGCACUAUAUACAUGUUCUGAGUUCGAGAAGAGUUUUGGACCAAAAAUCUGAAAACAGGCCUUCAAAUAAAAUCAAAAUAAUUGCAAAGAUAUUUGUAAAAAUUAAGAUGCUUCUGCAGUGUAGACAAAAAGUGAACAUAAUGGAUGAAAUAAUUAGAGACUAAUGAAGUGUUUGCCUAGAAUAUGAACACCUUUCUUCUCUACUUGAAAUACGUACCUUAGCGAAAGAGACAUAAACAACAAUAAACUUUAAAGUAAAAGAAACCAAAUAUUGAGACAAAAUCUUGUUAGAGUGUAGAUUAGGUAAGAGAUUAUACUACAAGAAGCCAAAUAAGACAUUGCAACGUAAAAGGUCCUGAUAUUUGUUAAUUUCACCACUAUCACAUUCUUUUCCAUGUAUGUACGUUGAACUAAUUUAUAAAUUUCCGACGAUAAAAAUGUUUACUGUAAUUUCAUAAUUUGCGUGAUACAUGAGCAGUAAACUUUAAGUGAAAUUAGUUAAAAUCUAUUGACUAUAUAUUGUCAAUCUGUCAUAUACUCGCAAGUAGCAAAAAUAUAUUUGUGACAAAUUAAUAGCAAACUGAAUUACCAUUUCAUCGCUAACCUAUUGAAAUUAGCUACGAAAAUUUAUCACUACGUAUGUUUUAUUUAUUUUUUUGCGUUUUAACGAUUGUUAACCCCUAUCAAAACGUGGUUGCAUGAGAACCAUCAAAGUCUAAUAUAAUAUUUGGCACAUUUUUAGAAUUCAAAAUAACCAAAAACCGAAAAACCAAACUCCCAUUAGUAAUAUUCAAUACUCCCUCCAUUUCAUGAAGAUAGACUUUUAAGGUUUUGUUCACAUAUUGAUAAACUUUUGCAAAACCUAAUAUACAUUUAUCUAUAUUAAAUAUUAAUUGUUACUUGAUUUAACUCUAGGUAAUAAUUAAGGGUAAAAUCAGAAAUGUUACAUAAGUUUGCAUAGGAAAUACAAAACAUCUAUAUCUUGAUGAAUAUUUUUUCUUAAAUCUCUAUUUAUUUGAACAGGGAGCAUAAUAUAGUGACCAUGAAAUUAAAUAGAUAAGAAAAGAAAAACAAAAUAAGGUAGUUCAGGUGAAUCAAUUAAUGUAUUGAAGGUGUAAAGGAAAGAAAAUGAUUUAGGUUAAUUCAAUUGUCAACGAAACACAAACUCGCAAAGUGUGAAGAAGACAAAGAUGGUGACAAGUAAAGUUUCCAAAUAUCCUAAGAGCAAAGGUCAUGCAUGAGUUCAGGGGGGUAAGGAAGUAUAAGCUUAGUUAAUUAAUCAACUAUUUUACUUAAAUUUCAAAGGGUUUAAUCAAUAUAAAGUAAUAAUAAUAGCAAUUAAAAAGGUUUAAUGAUCAAAUCAGGUUUGUAGUUAGUAAGAUUCGGGAAGAUCUUGCCAUGUCUAAACAAAUACUUAAUUUCAACGUCAAUCACGCCAACACUUUAAACUUGAUGUUAAUCUAUAGUUUAUUAAAGUAUUAUUGGUGGGACCUUAAUUAUAACCUGAUUAAUCAUACACAAAUGCAUAGAUCAUUAUAUUAAGUGGGUAGAUCAAAGAUCUAUUCAAUCAAAUUGUAAUCUAAUAAUUAUUUGUACAAACUAAAAACCAUAUGGUAAGAGAAAAUUCCUUUAUGUCCAAUCAACUAAUUGAAUGGUUCAAAAUACUUCAAAUCCCGUGACAUAGUUGAAAACUUAAACAAUGAUGGGAUUAUGUAUAUGCUUAUCUAUACUUAAAACUAUAUAAUAUACGAUCAAUGCCUUACGAGGUAUGUAGACCUUCCUAGCUUUUAUAUUAUUCUUGUGUUUAUUAUGUGGUACACGUACACAUAUGUAUAUACCAAAUUUUAAGAAUUAUUAAAGAUGUAUUAAAGAACCAUAAAACUCGGAAACUUAACCAUUAACCCUAUUGUAAACUAUGUGGAUGCAUGCCAUAAGCACUCCAUAACAAAGUGAGUGGACCAACCUAGACUCCAUAAUUAUUUUAAAUCUCAUCUUAAUUAUAUAAAUAUAUGCACAUGCAAACUCAAGCUUGAUCUCAUUUUAAGUCUCUAAUCUCAUCUUUCCAUUUUCAAGAAGACUUUUAAAUCUGUCUCUCUCUCUCUCUUUGUAAAUAUACAUAUAUAGAUAAGCUCACAUAUAUGGCGACUGAAACAUCUUCUUUGAAGCUCUUCGGUAUAAACCUACUUGAAACGACGUCGGUUCAAAACCAGUCAUCGGAACCAAGACCCGGAUCCGGAUCAGGAUCCGAGUCACGUAAGUACGAGUGUCAAUACUGUUGUAGAGAGUUUGCUAACUCUCAAGCUCUUGGUGGUCACCAAAACGCUCACAAGAAAGAGCGUCAGCUUCUUAAACGUGCACAGAUGUUAGCUACUCGUGGUUUGCCACGUCAUCAUAAUUUUCACCCUCAUACCAAUCCGCUUCUCUCCGCCUUCGCGCCGCUGCCUCACCUCCUCUCUCAGCCGCAUCCUCCGCCGCAUAUGAUGCUCUCUCCUUCUUCUUCGAGUUCUAAGUGGCUUUACGGUGAACACAUGUCGUCACAAAACGCCGUUGGGUACUUUCAUGGUGGAAGGGGACUUUACGGAGGUGGCAUGGAGUCUAUGGCCGGAGAAGUAAAGACUCAUGGUGGUUCUUUGCCGGAGAUGAGGAGGUUCGCCGGAGAUAGUGAUCGGAGUAGCGGAAUUAAGUUAGAGAAUGGUAUUGGGCUGGACCUCCAUUUAAGCCUUGGGCCAUGAAUGAUUAUAAUUUUGGCCCAGUAAAGAUCUGUAAAAUACUACUAGGAUUUCAUUUUUAUAGAGUAUGUUUUUUUCCUUAAUUUCGGUUGAAAUUGGUGAAUAUUUUUAUCUCUUACUUACCAAAUCUCAUAUUUCUAUGUAUGCGUUUGCUUUCACUUUUUUUUUUUAUAUAAUUCUUCUUGUAAAAAAUGCAAUGUGAGUUUUCUUCCCUAUCAUUCUGUCAAGCUUUGGUUCAAUUAUUUAGUAAUCGAAUAAUAUAGGAAUAGUGUUGAAAGAAGUUGAUUAGCUAGUUUCUGAGAUGCAUACCAAGUCGAUUUCAGUUUUCAAUAGGAACUGGAAGAUAUCAUUACAUGUUGUUAAGGAAAAUAUAAGCAGUAUUAAAAUUACAUGUAGGACAUAUGCUAAAUGAUCAAAUAUACUUGAAAAGAGAUUAUAUAUCUCUUGGCAGUGAGCAAAAGUUGUUUUGCAUCAGCAUUAUUAUUGUUUUCAAUCAAACAGCAAGCAGUAUUAUAAGCCAAUGCUUGAGAAACAUAUCCAGCUGAAAUCAAUGCCGCCACUAAACUGACAUCUAACCACUCAAUCUUGGACUUGCUCAGUUUCUGAUACACAUCCACACAAGCAUCUGCUUUCUCCAAACUGUUUGAUGCUUUGUAAGUUCAAAAGUUAAACCAAAUUUGUAUUUAGUGGAAUUUUUGGUUUAGUCGGUGAAUUUGUUUACUACUGAUUGUCUAAUAAGCGAAGGAGGAUGAAUAAACCAAUAUGCAAAUUCUCUCUUUAACCGGUUUGGUCAACGGUGAAUAAAAUAAGACCGUUAAGAAGGGUAAAAGCGUAAAUACAACAAAAUAUUUAGGAGCCUCUCUUCUUCUCUUUGUGACCGUUACGAAUCCAAAAAACAAAAUUGCAAACUUUGUGAGGAAGAAGAAGACGACACAGUAAUGAAGGAUACAAUCUCAAACCCUAGUUUGGAAUCUCUGCUUUUUCCUGUUAAUCCAAUGUCAGAUACACAACAAAAACUCAAGCUUUUGGUUGAUAACGGUGAUUACGGAUUCGAGAGAGGAUCUAGAUAUGGAGAAUACGCGAGAUUACGAGAAUCAAAACUUCGUAUGAAACGAGACUUCGAGAAGAUUCUAAAGGAAGAACAAGUGAGAUUUGGGUUCACCAGAGAAGAAGAAAUCAGGGUUUUGCCGGAGAAGAAGACGAGAUUCGGAUUUAACCCUAAUCAGAGGAAAACGUCGUCGUCUUCUUCUUCUUCGUUGGCUCAAUCUGUUCCUGAUUUCUCUUCUAUGAUUCGUAAAGAGAAUCGUCGACCACCAGUUAAUUCGAAUUUGCUUCCUCGGAGAACAGAACUUACUCCACCGUCGAUGAAGAGUAGAAACGCCGCCGUUUUCGCUGGAUCUGUGAUUAGAGGAAGUGUUUCAGCGAGUGCUGGUGAGAAGAAAGGUAUUGGGAUGAUGCGUAAAAGCUACGCUGCUGUUGAUGAUCUUAAGAAAAUAUCAAUGGCUGCUGCUUCCGCCAUAAACGGCGGUGGAGGAAAAAGGAGAUCAAUUGGCGGCGGAGGAGGAAGGAAAUCACUUGGCGGCGGUGGUGGUGGUCGGACUAUUCUAGGUUACAGACAAAUUUAUUGAUUCUUUUGUUCUUGUUUGUGUCCAAACUCUAACAUUUGUGUUCAAAGUUUGUUUUUUUGUGUGUUUAAUUGGUUUUGAUUGAUAAAGAUUAGUCCUUUUCAGAUUUUGGUUUUGUGAUUGAUAGAUUUUGUAUACAAGUAACGACUAAAACUUGCAUAGUUGUUAUCAGAAAGCUAAUAAACAUUAUAGUUGAAAUAGCAUAAGAAAUGGUGACAUUGAUUAGUUCUAAAAGAGAUUAGUUUUCACCAGUAAAGAUCGGUUGCUAACUCUCCGAUUAAACACCGAAGAAUCUCAUAAGCAAUCUCUGAACCAACUCCAAACAAAUGCGUUUCAAGAUCCAUUUCGAUACCGAUAACCUCAUCCAUAUUAACCCGAGCCCACUUUGGAACUUCUUCAAUAACACCUCGAAUCAGCUCGUCUUGUUUAGCAGUCAAUGGCUUUAACAAUCCGCAGGAAAUGUUUGUUUCUUCCAAGUGUUCGAUCAUGGCAUCUACUAGGAACCCUCCAGUUAGUCCAGGGAGAUUGACUAGAUUGUCAGAACGAGCUGCGUAGAUCAUGAGUUCGUCGAAGAGUUCUGGUCCAAUGAGGUAGUUCUCUUGUGUAGUAGUGGUACCAACUAAUAGCUCCGUGUGGAUAAUGACUUCUCUAGCAAUUGUGAAUCUCUGCUGCGUUAAUAUGAGACCGGUGUUGCUUAAACAUCGCAGGACGUUCGAGACAUGGCUGAUAAGACUUGCGAUCGCCUGAUAAUUACCAUCACUUGUUGAAUUCUUGAAUGAAGUCGCAUAAUCUUCAAGAAUGUCCCAAUCUGGUUCUAUAGGCUCUAGAGGUAGCCUCAUUUGUCCUGGAACUUUAAAACGUAACAUCAGUUUCAGGUUUCAGAUUUCAAGAACCGGUAUUUAUUUCAGAAAGUAAGUACCUGAGAUAUUGUCGAAGCUGUUCGAAAAGCAGCUCUCAUUGGAGAAAGAUGCAUCGAGUACAGAUCCCGGGCUAGUGUACUCACUGUUUGCAUUUCCAAUGGAACUCCAAAACUCUGUUUUGCCUUUUCUCUGCAAGAAUCAAGAAGCAUAAUGAAUAAAGAGAUGAAGAAAUACGUAAAUGUGAAGUCCUUGCAGAUUAUAAACGUACCCGAUAAGGCAUAUCGAUAUCUCGAACAUAAGGCUGCUGCUGCAAAGCUAAAGAAGAUAGCAAUUCAUGGAGAAUCAAAGAAGCUGGUUUAUUGGGAAAACCACUUUCUCCAUUGGCCUCAUCUUCUUCUUGAGAAGCCAAUUCUUUCAACUUUUGCUGAAUCAACCCGAGAGUGCCUACAUCAAGCAGUGGCCUUUUCGUAAAGGAUGGUCUGGGAACGCGUUGAACUCCUCUUCUCUCUUUGGUUUCUCUACAGCAUUGGCUAUAAUGUCUAUUAGAGGAACCAAGUUUCAGUGAUGAAAAUGCAGUUUCAUUACUACAAGCACAAGAGUAUUCACUAUCCAAUCUUCUUGACACUGGACUCAUAGAACUACUUCCUCGUCCAUGACCACUUUCACAAGCUAGCCUCCUCUUCCGUCCAGGUGUACUUAAUCCUGAUCUAUUACAAGACUCCUCAACUCUAGUAUGAGAUUUUCUCUGCAGAUUCAAAUCAGAGUUUUCAAAUUUAACCGGGGACUUCGAGUGAUGACUCCUACUAGUUGAACCUCUAUUCAUAGCUAUAAAGUCCUUCUCUUUACUGUUGAUAGCAUUAGCAGGUGAAGAACAACUUCUUUUACUCGGUAAGGCGAAAGAUCGAGCUUCCGGAGGAAACCUUUCCUCUCUAUGCAACACCUUCUUAUGAUAUUCGGAUCUGUUUCUAUAACCCGGCAGCGACAUUUCAUCCUUAAAUUGAGCACGGUGUAGAGCUUUCUUCACCAUUUGAUCAGUACUGUCUUUACCAGAAACAGACACAGAUGAAUCUUCAUUUCUCCAAAACACAUUUCUUUUACUCCGUUGAAAAGGCGUUGAUUCAGAAACACACGCCAUGUUGUUUCCAGUGUCUUGAACUACCUGAAUCGAACCAUUCACAUCAACCAAACUACCACAAGAUUUACAAGAAGCAACACUAUUGUUAUAACCACAUUGAAACUCGGGUGAAACAACCGGUUCUUUCGCAGCAUUUUCGAACCUUCUAAUCCCCGUAGAACCAGGAUAAGCAAUAGCGCCUUUCGCAUUUCUCUUCCCCGGCUCAAGAAUCCUAGCAGCAGCAUCAAUCAACCUAGAACUUCUUCUAUUCAUCCUCGGACUUCUAACAGGAGAAGCUAGUUUCUGAUGCUGAUGAUUAUACUGAUGAUGUUUCCUUACUCUAGUCAAAACAUUCUUAAUCUGCAACGCUUCAGAACCAAACUUCUUAACCGCAACACGCCUAUCACAAACUCCUGUCGUUCUCUGCAUCUUCUGUGGUCUUAACUUAUCAACACCACUAUCUUCUUCUUCUUCUUCCACAUCAAACAAGUCACAUUUAUCGGUAUCUUGAAUCUGCGAAAACAACGGUUUCUUCUUCUUGUUCUUCCCUUUGUCUCUAUGAUUAGAUGGCAUUGAUUCAAGUCCCAUUAAACGUGCUACUAAACUAGGAGAUCUCAUUUCAUGCUUUUUAACCUCCAUAACUUCAUUCCGAUUUGGGAAACUUCCUCUGUUCUCAUCAUCAAUCUAUUAAUUCAACACAAAAUACAGAAAAAAUUCAACAAUUACUCUAAUCAAAAACUAAAGAUAUAAACUUCUAACAAAAUGGAGACAUAAUCACCAGAUUAAGCUUAGACUUUAACAUCUUCUCAUUUCCUCCAAACCUCUUCGAAACUUGUUUCCCUGACAAUUCAUUCAUUACAGUCAAGCUCAACAACACUCACUUUCAGACAUAAAAUGAGGCAGAGACAGAGAUAGAGACAGAGACUAACCAGGAAGAAGUGAUUUGCGAGAAAAGAGUUUCUUUUUAGCAAAGCGUCGGUUCCAAUCAAAGAGCUGGAAGAAAACACCGACACAACCACCGAGUCGAUUUGGUCGUUUCUCUGUUAUAGCCGCACACGGCGCCGUCGUCUCCUGUAACUCUCCUGUCAUCACGAAACCCUAACAAACCCCACAAGUUUCAGAGAAAUCUCAAACACUGUAAAAAAGUCUCCUUUAGAGACACAUUGCCUCAAAUUCCAAAACUUUAUCACAUAAUCAAACAACCAGAGAAACAAAACUCUCUCUUUUUGAGUUCUCAGCUUUUGUGAAUUUGGGGAAUCUCUGAGAGAUGAAUGUACAACAAGAUUAGAAAAAAAGCUUAGUGAACACGAAUAAGGAAAGAAAGAAGACAGGUGGAGAAUCAAGAAAACGACAAUGGUACACAACAGUGGAAGAAGAAAGAAAGAAAGAAACAGAGCUUUUUAAGAAGAAUGGAAAAAGUUGAAGUGUCACGAAAUGAGAACUCAACGGGUAAUAUUCGCAAUUGGGAGUUUAAAAAAGUGAAAGGAGACAAAAGCAAAACGAUAGUGACGAGAAGUGAUUGAAAGAGAGAUGAUAAGAGAAGAAGAGAAAUCUUUUUUGUGUAAAAAUUAUUACUGUGAUUCUCUCUGUUGUCACUGACGGUGAAAGGGGCUCGAGAGAGAUUGUUAACAGAAGAAAGAGAAGCAUGCGCACAAAAGGUUAAGUAGCUGAUACAAGUAGACACUAGAGGGAAGAUAAAAAAGAGAAACAAAAAUGGAGAUUAAUUUUGAGAAAUAGAAGUAGUAUAUGUUUAGAGAGUAGAGAUUAGAAGAGUAAAAAUGUGGUUCCGGACAAUAAGGGUUAAAGGUUCGAGGUUUCUGUUUCUCUCGUUUUUGAGGAUUCCAGCUUCAUCUGUAGUCCGUUUCUCAGUUCCAACUUUGUAUUGGUUUUUGUUCCAAACUGAAAAAAAAAAAAAACUAAACUAAAGUGCAUUUUAACUUUUUAUAUGAUAUUAUGAUUUUUGUUGGCCAAUCAAUUAACGACAUGUGGACAAGUCAUGGAUUACAACUAUUUUGUGUCAAAAGAAAGGAAAAACAAGGCUAAACAACGACCUGGCCUUAUGGAUGAUGACCACAGUGAGAUGGGUUUGUGGUACUAGCUUGUCUCCUUGGGCAAUAACAAUAUAAUAUAGGGAUGAGCUAUAAUAAUUUUACAAAUGCAUGAAAUCAGAAUUUCUUUAUAGUCUAGAUUUAGAGUAUGUGAAAACAUGAUCAAUGGACCAUAGUAAUGGAUUUACGUCCAAUUGUUAUAAUGUUCAUGGACAUUAAUUUAUCAUUGUAUCAAAUAAUACUAGUACUCAAGGUGUGGAUUUACAAUUCACCAAUGAAUUAGACGAAGUUUCGACCGAUAUAUUGAAUAAACUAUAAUUUCUUGAAACGCUUUCAAAAGCUUCUCAAACUUUCAAUAAAUUUCUUAAAGUUUUCGUCAAGAACUGUCAUCUUGUUUUUAUAUGAAAAUGAAAGAAAUGGAAUCAUGUAUUCUCAGACAUUAUCUUGCAAAAUUACAAAUGGUUAUGAAAAAAAUAUCAUAAGUUUUAAUCUUUUUGCUAGUUUCUAGUCAUCCAUUAAGGGUAUUUUGUAAGCCAAAGUUAGGAUUUUUUUUUUUUCUUUUUGAAUGUAAGUUUUUACAAACGUUAUUGUUUGGGCAAUGAAAAAUUACCAAAAUGUUAUAUUAGCAAAUUGAAUACAAAAAUACUAUUAUUAGUUUUUACAAACGUCCUUUUAAUCUUAUAGUAUAUCGAUUAUCGAAUAAGCUCUAACUUUGAUCACGAUCUAUAUCCGACGUUGUUGCGACUUUGUGCUAGCACUAAUCAAGACUCAAGAGCUUCAUUGUUUGUAUAGUUUCUAGGGGAAAAAAAGUGAGAAAUUUUAAGGGUUGUAAUAAGACAGAAAAAGCAGAAGUUGCGUCUUUAUCCGAGUCUGACGAAUUCUGAAAUGUCACGGACAAUAACCCAUACACGCUACGAAUCUCAAGCAUUCCCCCACUUCUUUCUAUCUAAACACAGUACUACCAAUUAUUUUUCUUCUAGUAAUAUAUAGUAUACACACAUACUUCCAAAUAUAAAAAUAUUUGGUUAAGCCAAAUAUUGGAAAAAAUUUAGUAACAUACACUGUUUGAAAAUUCCCAACACGAAAUGAUGCUAAAGGAAACAAAAAAAGGAGGGAUCAAAUUUUGUCAAAAAAUGAAGAAAAUAGGAAACCCAGUUUUACUAUUUGCAAAAAGUAACAUUUUGACCAAGAUGAAAAAACAAAUAUUCCUGCUGCUUUCUCUAGAAUACUGUGGUUUGAUCAAAACAUCAUGCAGAAAGUUAAACAGUUUUGGAUGAUUUUCUUAUUGAAAUCUGUAUAUGUGGAUUUGAUGUAUUUUUAUUGCAUAAAUGAUAAGUAUAUUUAAUAUUUAUAUAUUACAAUUACAUGUUUCUAUGCUUAUGAAUGUGUUUCUGUAGCCUUGGGAUACAGUGUCUUCGGGUUAAACCGGUCGAGUUAUUGGGUUUUAAGAAAAUUCGGUUUAUAAAAAAACUCACUUCAAACCGCAAAAAUAACUCAAAUUAAUUUUAGUGUAUUAAACAAUCGUAUUUUCUAUAUUUAUACUUUUACUAAUUUACUCAUUAAUAGACCCAUGUAUUUCUAAUUUAUCUACACCAAUAUUCAACAGAUUAUAAAUUUGAAUUGAAUUUAUCAUUUUGAAAUCAAAUAAGUAGAUGAUAUUUUUCUUGAAUCUCGAACCGUAUCUAAGUUUACAAUGUUUGAAGUUGUUGUUGAUAUUAGUACUCCAGACUGGCUUGUUACGGUCAUUGACACAAAUAUUUUCAACACAUUUUGUAUUUUGCUAGUUUGUAAUACAUUAGUAGUAGUAUGUUUGAGUCAAGAAAAAAAUAUGAUUUCCGAAACGUACAAAUUUGACAACCUACUUUUUUCUUCCUCUUGCUACAUAUGCAAAAGAUCUUGGGCUUUGGUUUUGAACUAGCACUUUUCAAGCCCAUGCAAAAUACUUAUCAUUCAUCUAUAUGUUAUUUAUAAAAGAGAAAUAACAAAUAAAUUUGAUCUCAGUUAUUGCCAUGACAAUCUUAGCUUAAGAAUUACUUUAUCUGAAACUGUCAAAUAUUUAAGAUGAAUAAACAAAUAGCAUAAAACGAUUUUAUCAAUAACUAGAUUGGACCACAUGCUUUUUCCCAGUACGUGCCAUAUGAACAAUUCAAGGUUUCGACCAACCUAACAUUUCUUUUUGGCAUAACCAACCUAGCAUUUUUUUAAUAUUCAAAAGUAUGAUGUCUUUAGUGUUGCAUGAAUUUGAAUAAUAAAGGUUUAUAUAGUAUUAUGUAAUUAUUUCUGGUUUAGUUUGCACGUGGUUUUGGACUAAAUAUAUAAGCGGUUAAGUAUAUGUGCAUGCAUGAAUAUGUGUUAAUUAAUGAUAAUUGAACACAACUAGGCUCUCUAUAUUUGUUAUUUUGUUUUAUUCCUUGCAUGAUUGAGGUUUUAAUUAUUUCUUGAGUGCCGGCAAAAAAAAAAAAAAAAAUCUUGAGCAUAGUAACCAAACCAAACAAGGAUUAGCCGGAGCGAAGUCAAAUCGAAUUUCAGAAUUUAUGGAGUAAACCGAGGAUAAUACAAGAAGUGAGUAAUAAAACCAAACAUUUUAUAUACUAUACUAGUAGUGAGUAAUAAACCAAAAAAUAAUUUAAACUCGGAUGAUGACAGUAACGACACUAAUACUCAUGACCACUAUAAUAUAGUAUGUUUUGGCUACAAGUAAAUUUAGUUUUAAUGUGAGUUUAUAAGUAAACUUUAGUCUAGAGUGAGUGUUAAGGAAACUAACAUAAAUGGUUAUUUUCCAUACAUAUAAAUUAAAACAAACCUAAAAAAAAAUCAACAACCUUCAAACACUUUAACGUACUAAAUUGACAAUAUGUGGAUCUUACUAAAUUUCUUCUUUACCAAUCAAAUCAAUAUUUUAAGAGGUUAAUUUAAUCCCAAAGUAACAUAAGUUAGUAGCAAAUUUUUUCAUGCAUAUGAAUUUUGUUGAAAGGGACACAAAUAAAAUAACUAAUAGAGAUGUGUUUAUCUCAUUAAAAAAAAAAAAAAAUCUAAAAAGAAAAGGGAAAAUUAGUGACAACCAGAAGAGAAUAGGAUUAAAGUGUUUUUAGUGUCCUACAACCAUGUGGCGGUUGACAUCGUCCGGAUUAGAAUCGUCAUCCAUACUUCCUUGUCUUAAAAGUGAUCUAAUAACUGUUUCACAAUGAUAACUUCGUCUUCUUCUUUCUUUGUAUUAUAGGACAAUUGCGAAGAAAAUUUCCAACUUUGUAUAUAUCUCAAGAAUUAGUUUCGAUUUAUAGAAACAAAUUAAAAAGAGUAAAAGACUUUGAAGGGUGAAGUAUUUAAUAUCUGAUCAUCAUCGGUCAGCAGGCUAGAAAUAUAUUAUACUUUUUUUAUAAAAGGAAACUCAAACUUAUGUAAAUUAAUUUUGCAUAUAAACCCUUGCAUGUAGUGAUGUAACUAUGUAAGUAAGGUUUCAAUAAGAAUAAAUUUAGGUGAAUGUCUUAAAAAAAUGAGUUAUUUAAGAUCCUAUUAACUUGUCAGAAACUUAUUUUUUUCAAUCAUGCAAUACAACUAAUAAAGUUAUAAAGAAAAUAUGACUGGAACAUUAGAUAACUAUCAACUUUUUGAAUUAUUGCUAAAUGCUCUAUCCUUAAACAUGAAAAAAAGGAAAAUAAUUUGGGACUACAACUUGUUGAACUCAAUAAUUUGCCGUAUUUUUCCACCAUAUACGUACUUGUUGCAUUCUAGGCUUUCCUGCUUUGUGUUGUAUGAGCUUUUUAUUUUGUAUAUCUUCUAUUUUCCCAAUCGAAGCAGCAAAUUGCCUUCACAUACAUCAUAUCUCUAUCACAUACAUAAAAUUCAAUUUCAAGAGUUCAGAGAUUCAUAACUCAUGACGGAACAUAUUAGAAUUGGUGUUUCUAAAAUUGAGGUUUGUAGAAUUGUCCAUAAAAAUCAGCAAAAUAUCUUAACCUGCUACAAUAUAAUAAAACAGAUUAUGAUAAAUUAUAGUUAUUUAUAAAAAAAAAAAAAAAAGCAAAUUACUUGAUAAAAUGAAUAUAAAAAAGAUACACAUUUGUAUUUAAAACUAACAACUAAUAUGAGUAACUAUAGUAUCACAUUCAUAGGUCGAUCCGUUGUCUACACGCAUUUAGCCUUUGGAAACUCUAUCCACAUUUAGACUAACUUACGAAAUCAUUUUGUAUUUGCAUCUAAAUAAUACUCUCCAACCCUUCUUAUGACGAGAUGGUCUAUUUCAAAUUCGCGGAUUUUCGCCCGAACUAGCACACAUAUAUGAAUUCAAGCAAUGAGUCUCGUUGGGAAAUUUUAAAAAUGCUACCAUAAAGUGAAGGACUACGUACACCCUUUUUUCUUUAGACCAUCCAGCCCACAAACUUCCCUCCAACAUAAAAGCAUAUGGUAUAUCGUAUUGAAAUAGCAGUUGGAUGGUGCCAUCAUUGUUUACUUGACUCUUGACUAUACCUUUCAAAACAUUACUAAGCCUUAGAAAAGUCAGUUUCAUCGCAAUCAGAUUUGGUGUUCAAGACCGACUCAUUUCUAAAACAACCAAAACUCAUUGUCUUGAGAGAUAUAAAUUUAUACAUAGUUGUGUGGUCAACAAAAUUUCUUCGAAUUAUUAAAUUUUUUGAUAGGAACCAUGUGAACUAACUAUGAUUGUUACGGCCGGUAAAGUAUAAACAUUAUAUUCCUUAUUAGCAAAUUUAAACCGUAAAAUAGAAGGAUAAAAAAACGUACAAAACAAUAAAGGAAUAAUUGGCACGACGUUAAGCUUAACUUUACAUAAAUGAUAAGAGAGAAAAGUAGAGAUUUCACAUCAAUUAUUUCUAUUUUUUCCUUUAUCUUUGCAUUGCUUUAGUGAUAAUUCACAUUAAUUGGUAAUACACACCAUGUGAGAAAUAUUCAAAAGGAACAGAAUAGGACAAGCUCCAAAAAUAAUUGUUUACCUGUCACUUGUCUUGUCCCACUUUCUAAUUGUAUUUGUCUAUUUGAUAACUCUCUUAUCAUUGUUUUAUACAGUUUUAUCAUUAGUUAGUCACUAUUCUAUUACCAAAACUAGUUUAGUAAUAGACUAAGUCAAGGUUAUAUAAUCUCAAGUCUCAACUACUAAAAUGUACAAUAUUUGAUUAUUCAAGUAAACGAAUCAAUUUAAGUUCAUUGAUUAAAGACUUGGAAGGACACGGCCGGCUGAAACCUACCCUUACUCGAUCCACAAAUUUUCUAAAUAAGACUAUUUAAAGCCAUUGGAAGAUACUACUUUAAUUUGUUUAUUGUUUUCCUCUGAAAAGAUUAUUGAUCUAAGACUCACAAUCUUUCGUUAUAAGAAAAUUAAUUUAAGGUGGAAAUAAUAAUUAGAAUGAUAGUUAUAACUUAUAAGUUGAAUAAAAACUCAAUAAAAAAUCAAAACAUGAUUCAAAUAACAAAUCUUACUUUAAUUUUUUUUAAUUCUAAAUAACAAAUAAGUUCUUCAUCUCCAAUGCUGCUAAGAAAAUAUGAUUGAAUAUAUGUGUUAGAAAAAAUAAAAUAAAAAUCCGCCGUACUUAAUUGUAUCAUCCGCAUAUACAAACUAAAACCUAUUUUUUGUUGUCUCUAUCACUCUCAUAAUAAAAUAAAUAUGUAGUAAUUAAACAAGAAUUAUUAUAAAAAGAAAAUCAAAUACCUUAAUCACUUUUUUCUGAAAAUACUCCUCAACUGUUUUAAACAAAAACACAGAAAUAUCUUAAUGGUGAUAGUUGAUCAUCCAAGUAUCUGAAAUUAGCAGCCUCUUAUUAAAAAAAAAAUCUAGAUUUAAACAUGAAUAGAACACAAACUAACAAAUCAAACAAAACACAAUUACACCACAAUAGUCUAAAAAAUAAUACUGGCAUGGGAUCCACAAAACACACUGUCAGAAAAUCUUCAGAGUUCAGAGAACAAGAAGAAGAACAAAUCAGAAGAAUAAAACAGUAAAACCAGAAACAUAUCUAUUCUUACAUUUUUUUUAUCUUUUCUUGUUCUUGUCUCUUCCAUUACCAGAAAACAUUGAACCAAAACCAAACAAAUUCCCAGAAGGAACAACGUUUAUAACCGGACUCACUCUAAUCCCACCACCACCAUGGCUACCAUAACUAUAACCUCCAUAGCUUUUCUUCAAUGGUGGUUUCGAAAAACCAUUAUUACUCAAAGAAGACGAAGCAGAAGAAGAAGAAGACAACGAUGAAGAUUGUUGUAACUUAACAUGCUCGUUAUGUUUCCUUGAGCUGCUCUGUUUCUGUUUACUCGACGUUGAACCGGUUGAAUUACUCCGGUUUAGUAAUGGUAACGGACAUAAACUCCGUCCAUAAGUACUUCCACAGUUUAAACUACUGCUUCUCUUAAACCCCCAAAACGACUUCGUAUUGGUUUUCUCCUCCGUCGUGAUUAUCACGUCGUCUUCUUGUUGUUCUUCGUUUGGUUGUUUCCUCUGUUUUCUUGAAUCCGGUUUAGAUUUAACCGGUUUUGGUUCUGGUUCUUUUUUACCCGGUUCUGGUUUUUUCUUGAUUUCCGUUGGUAAGAUUUUGCCGUUAGAGAAGAGUUCAUCGGCGGACCAAGAACCUUGAUCGAAGCUUUCGCCGGAAUUUACGCCGCCGGGAAUGCAGAAAUCGAAAUCUAUGCUUGAAUUGAGGCUUGAUGGUUUCGAGUUUGAUGAUCUUAAGGGACGUUUCUCGAUUGGUAUUGCGUCUGAUUGACAAAAGUCACGUGAAAAUGAGAUUCUUGGACUCAUAUUAGAAUUUUCCGAUAAAAGAUCCACCGCCAUUUUUUCUUGAAGAAGAAGAAUUUAAAGUUUUUUUUUUAAUAAUGAGAAAUUGUGAAAACGAAGAGAUUUUUGGAUAGUUUCUGCAGAAAAAGAGGAGGAAGAAUUUCGAAGAAGAGAGAAAGAGAGAAUUUUGAGGAAGAAGGUGAAUUUAAUUAUUUUUAUAGGUGAUUUUACAAAAUUUAUUUUUUGGAAUAAAAAGGAGAAACAAUAAAAUGAAUUGUUAGAAUUGUUUUUGUGAAAAAGAGAAAAAAGGAAGAAUAAAAUGGGUUAAUAAAAGAGGGGACAGAGAAGCGUGUCGCUUGCAACAUAUUCACAUGCAUGGGCCAAAAAAGGAUAUAUGUUGGUUCUUCACUUUCGUACUUUUUUUUUUUUUGAAUGGUAUAAUUUUUUAAUGUCCAUAUUGAAAUUUCUGUAAAUAUUUUAGUUGAAGUCAAAAGAUAUAUGGUGAUUGCAAUCUUUGAAAUGUUUAGAGAGUAAACGUUUGGAUUCGUGUUGACCAAUUUGAUGAAGCAGAAGCAGUGAAUGUAGACCAAUGGUGAAAAAGUGCCCCGACGCAAGACUUUAAGAAACAAUUAAAUUACUAAAAUUUUGUCAAGAACAUUGUUAAGUAAAGAGAUUACAUUUAUGACAAAAAAAAAAAAAAGAGAGUACAUUUAUGAUAAAAAAAGAGAGAUUAGUUUGUGUUAAGAGGUAAUAGGGAGAGAGAAGAAAAAAAACUAAAUUGUUUCAGUAUUGUUCACGCAAGAUUUUUAAAUUGUCAUCAUGCAAGUUUUUUGUUAAUAAAUAUAGUUUUAAAUCGUAGUCACACAAUAUAUAUAUAUAUAUAUAUAAUUUUUUUCUUUUUUUUAAACGUCGUCACACAAGAUAUUUUUAAAUUGUAAUCACACAAUAUAUAUUUCAUAAUACAAAAAAUAUAACCAGAGUCAUUUCCGAAUACUUUCUGUAUUUUCUAAUUCGUUAAUUUUUUAAUUUAAUUCAUUCCUUUUAGUUUUAUUUGUAUGAGUUUUAUGUGUAAGAAGUCUUUUAUGUCAAAAUUUGGAUUCGGAUUCCCCAUCCUCGUUAGGUUACCACUUGCCACCUAAAGACUGUAGAACACAAUUCAAAACAUGUGUUAGAUAAGUUAAGGUAAUAAUAGCAUCAUUAGUCAUUACUGGUUCGGUGUACAAGAAUGUUGCAUCAUCCCAUCGAACAUUACUUCACGUUAAAUAAGGUCGAGCACUAGCCAGUCUUCGAAUAUGAUGUAUUCAGGAUGAUAUUUACAUAGGAAGUCAGUUACCAGAAAGUCUUUUUGCGGGUCUGACACCCAAUUAUUACAACCCGAAUUGUUUGGUGCUUUUGAUUGAAAUUUACCCCAACAAUAUUGUUACUGCUAAAACUAUUAGUUGAAGUUAGCCAAAAAAAAAAAAUCAACAACCUCAAUUAAUUCGAUUUUAAAACAUUUUGAUCCAAUCAUUUAUUUGCAGUGACUAUACCGACCUUACUGAACCAUACCAACUACAUUUAUCUACGAUGCUUUUCAUGAGUAUUGAAUUAGGAGCUAAACGAUACAUACAUCGUUGUCUUAUUAUUUAUUCAGUUCUUAUAUUAUUAACCGAGGUUUUUGUCUUUACUAAUUUAGAAUAUCCGUUUAUUUUUAAGAUUCUUAGUUUAGGUUUAAUUUAAUGGUUAGAUGAUAUAUUAAUUAAAGUACAAGAAUAAUUUUAAAAAACCAUACGGGUGGCAUUGUUGAUACUUCCAAACUGAUUAAUAAUAAGGGCAGACAAAUGUCAAAUACAUAUCAAGAACAUAGUUUUCUUUAAUAGUAGACCAUAUUACAAAUUCGUUGUUAUCCAUUUUUGUAAAAUAUGAAAUGUAUAUACAAAGAUUUGGUUACGUGUUUUUUUUUAUUGUCGCUAAUUCUACGUCUUUGUUCCUCUCAAAUUUGGAUUAUAUAUUUAUUUAUUUAAUUUGUAUUUAUCUUAUAAGAUGUAUAUAACAAAAUUUUGUUCCGAUAAGAGAAAUGGAUCUUUUGUGAAAGAAAAGUCUAUAACUCUUUAUUUAUUUAAUAUGAUGAGUCAUGCGAGUUUGCUUUUCAUAAAAUUGAAAUCAAUUUUUUCUUAAAUUUGAAGUAAAGAAAUUGUCAUGUGAUAGAAAGAAAGAGAGAGGAAAAGGAGAUUUCACAUUAUCUAGAAAAUGAAAGGGAACUAUGAAUAAUUUGUAAAUUUGUGAAUUAUAUGAAAAAAAAUAGAAGACAAAGUAAGCAUGGCCAUGGGUCCGAUGGCUACGUACUUACCGAAAACGAAGAAUCCCACUAAGAGAAGUGAAGGGUUAAGAGAUGGUCCACGUUUCCUACUAAACAUUUUCCUAUCCAUUUGGAUCGCCCACGAGCCCACCUUGAAACCAACCCGACCCGAUUCGACCCAAUCACGAACUGCCUACUUUGGCUGCUCUCGAUAAUACUAACAGGAACUUGUACAAUUCAGUUAGGGUUUGGUUAUGAUGACGGACCCAAAAAAUAUCGGAUUUUUCUGAUCCUAGUAAACAAUAAAGAUGGUCCAGUCCGACAAAUAGCAUUGGUGAUGUUUUUGCUGACAAUUACCGAACAAUAAAAGUAUAUAUUUACAUUAUCACACCUAUAAAUACACAAAUCACGUAUAAAUUUGAUAUUUCAAUAUUUGUGACAACAUUUUGACUACAUAAACCAUUCAUAUUUCCAAUAAUUAUGAAUUAUGGAAAAAAGAAUGAUCAAAAAUGAACUGAACUAUAUAGAAUGCUCAUGAAUUGGUAUUUUUUGGAAGAAACAAACAUUGAAAGUUAUAUUCUCUUUUGAAACAGUUAUGGUUUUUAUUAUACACCAUAAGAGAAUAUAAUCCGGAUUAGGCUUCGAUGACUUAUAUCACUCUACUUUUUUGUUUUUUUUGUUACAAUCUUAUAUCAUUUUUAUUAAGUUGUCUUACUAAUCAAGUUUGGAAGAUACAUCAGAUACUAACUAAUUUCGUAAACAAAGAUUGACACGGACGCGGACAACUUCUCACGAGGGACGUUGUUAACGGCUAAACAAGGAUCACAAGUCACAUGCAACCAUCUUAUGGUUGAACCUCCCUUCUAAGAGGACGUGGUGUGCAACUUGCGGUGGCUCAAUUUAAUAUAGGCAAUGGUAGAAGCAUCAUAUUGGGUCAGGAUCCAUGGCUCCCAACAAUGAUCUUGACUACUUCGAAUUAAACCAAAUGUUGAUCCGAGCUUACCAGUUCAAGUUCAACUCCACACAAGUACGGAACUCUGGAAAGAGGAGGAUAUAUGCAUGCAAAUCUAUGUCUCCAAUGAACAUAAUGAGGAUAUUUUUCUGUCUUUUUUGGGGACAAACAGGAAUUGCGAAGGUGUUUACUUUCAUUCAGCACUGAAAAGAGACACAACACCCUGAUACCACUUUAUGUGAAUUUGGAGAGUUUCUGAGAAUGUGUUUAAAUCCAUUAUCAGAUUAUAAUUUACACUCACCGAAUCCAUGAUAAGAUGUCUGAGAAACAAUCGAUAUUUGGAAAAUAUAUUAUUCACAUAAAAGAGAGAAAAAAACACAUUGAACAGAAUUUCAGAAUUCAUGUAUUUUGCAUCAUAUUUUCUGGACAAAUAUGUUAACUUAUUGCUUUUUCUAUGUGAGAGAGUCACUAAGAAAGUACUUACCUCUAGUCUAAGAUUUUGAGUUACAUAUGGAAUUGUAUGAUGUGAGCUUGUUCCUUGGCUCUAUUCUCUUAGAGGCCAUUUUCUCUUUGUGUUUUUACUAUAUUCUCUUAGAGGCAAGUGAGUUUUUGUUUUUUUAUGGUGAGUGUUGUGUUAAUUCCUAACCUCCCCCACUCUCUUAUAUGGCUAGUGAAUUAUUUUAACUGGACAUAAUCGGAAAUUCCUCCACAAUGGGUUUUUGUUUAAUACAUAUCACUCACUGGAAAAUGACAUUGGUAGAAUAAUAGGGAAACCCAUAUUUUAAAGUUAUAAAAAAAUAAAAUAAGAAAUUAGGACAUCUCCAAUGGUGAUCUCUAUAUUUUCCUCUAUUUUAGAGGUGACUCUAUUUUAGAGGUGUCUAUUGUAGUACAAUGCCUCUAAAAUAGAGUUUCCUCUAUAACAGAGAAAAAAUAGAGAUCUCUACAAUUCAACUCUAUUUUUUCUUCUAUUUUUGAAGAAACUCUAUUUUAAAGGUGACUAUUGGAUCAUAAUAUUUUUAAAAUAAAGAUGUAGCUAGUGAAUUUUAAAAAAUAAAAUUGUAUGUGCUCGAAAAUCCCUCCACUGCAUGUGUUCUGUUUUAUUUUUUAUCACAAUGAAAUUAUGUAUCCUGAAGAUGAAUGCAUGCAAAAAAAAAAUGAAGAAUCAUAUCUGUACGUGGAAUCCGCCGAGUAAGAAGUGAUAUGGUAUGUACUUUGCAAAUUAAAGAUUAGACAUCAUUAUUAUAGAUACCUCGAUAGGUUUGUUAUAUUAAUAUUGAUUUUCAUUUAUGCAACCAUACCCAAAGAUAAUCCGUAUAUUCAAAACAAAUUACGUUAAGCUAUCAUAUCAAAGUUUUCUAAUUCUUUUUUUUUUCUCAAAUAAUUAACUAAUAAUAAAAUUUUGCACUAAAACUAAAUUUGUGAAAGAAGAAACAACAAAAGUUAAGAAACAGAAGAUAAAGAAUAAGGUCAUCGUGUAAUUUGUUUUUUCCCUUUUUCGUUUGGGAUUAUUAGGUUGUUAGGGUUUUGAUUCAACACAUACGCUUUCUAUUAAAUCUAACUCUCUCACUUUAUCACCUAUCAAAACAAACGAACAGGAAUCUCAGCUUAAAGAGUUUGAAAAACAAUAAGACUUCUGAACCGUGCCGAGAAAUUUUGAUGCCGUAGGCGAAAAAUAUGGUUUAAUAGUUUAAUAAAAUAAUGUACACAUAACAAAAAAAAAAUAAUGUUCAAAAUUUAAUAAUAAAUUAAGAAAAUUUUAAGCAAAACUCAAAAAAUAAUUUAGAACAAAAAUAUGCCAAAAACAAAAUUAGGUUGAUUAUAAUAUGUAAUUUAGUAAAUUGUGUUAGUAUCAUUAUUAUGUAUGAUGCAUGAUGUUAAUAAAAUAAAAACAUAAUUUUGGUAGUUAAUAAAAAUAUAUAUAAUGGUAAUAUCCAAAAUAUAGUAUCUAUAUAUAAAAAUAUAAAAAUAGUUAAUAAAAUUUGAUAAAGAUGAUUAACAAAAAUGAAGCUGGUAAAGAAGUGAGAAAAAAAAAAUUAAUGAUAUAGGAAAAGAAGAAGUGAGAAAAGAAGAAGUGAGAAAAGAAGACUUUAAGUUAUUGCCUUAAGUGUAUUAAAGAUUCCUUGUAUAUAUUGCAUAUUAUACUACUUUCCUUUGUCAUUUGUAUUAAUUUUUGUAACGUUAUUGCUUCCAUAAUACUUAUAUGAUAAACAUAAUUAACAAAUAUAGCCUCUUCGAUUUUUUGUAAACGUAGGCGAGUGUUUCUUUUUUAUCUUAAUAGGCACGACUACAUUGGUUUAUUUUUCAACAAUCUUUUUCUUUUUUUUAACACUCAACAUCAUAUUUUCUCUCCCACACUUAAUCCUUCAACAUCUAUUUAAUUUUUAACUUAGAUAAUGGUUUGUUUAAUAAAAUUAACAUCCUAUCCCACUAUAUUGUAUAAUAUUUUUAUGUUUCUAGUUACAUAUUAAUAACAAUAAUCAAGUAAAAUCAAAUAAAAUAACUGCUUUUUAAAAAAAUAUUUGUCUUUUAUUUUAUAAUUUAUUGUUGAAAUCUAUUUUUCAAAGAUGUUUACAACUUUAAACAAAAGUGUAUGACAAAAUAAUUGAAAUAAUUAUAGUAAAAUAGACUAUGUUUUUUACAAAUCAAAUGAAACAAGUCUCUAUAUGUAAUGAGAGAAAAAUGAUGAAUUUGAUAUAAAAGCCAUUAAAAAAUUAGUUAAUCAUAAUAAUUAAUCUUAAAUAGUUAAAGUGAUAUAAAAUUUUGAAAAAUUCUAACAUCUAGUAAAAAAAACAUAUGGUUCCUGAUUUUUUAUUCAACAUAUUGAAUCUUUAUAAGUGUGUUUAAUCCUAAGAUUGUUUACUUUUUCAACAUCUUUGUUGCAAGAGUUAAUAAGUAGAAGAAGACAAAUGAGUUGGACCCAACGAACACGAAUUUCUUCAUGCCAUAAAUAUAUUCCACUACAUUGUUUGUUUUUCGUAUGAUUCCACUACAUUGUUACUUGUUAGUAUGCAUAUAUAUAUACAAUAGUAUCAUCUUGUUGAUUGACAUCUGUUUGUUGAUUUUAAAUUGAUAACUCAUUAAUUACAUACAUUUAAGGUAGCUGCAUAUUUCAGACUUGAUAUAGACUUUUGGUUUACCACGCUAAGAGACGUCGAUACCCACUAAUAUGCGGAUGUGCGUAAGAAAACUAUAGAGUAAUACAAGACCUUUGUAUUUCACUCAUUAAUUUGAUCAUUUUCUUACAAAUUAGCAAUUGACCGGAAAUAUCCAUAAGUAGAUAGAAUGGAAUUUCACUCUCUUUUUUCUUCAAUCUCCAGAAAGUUGAAUGAAGGACUAAAAACUAUAUCAAUUUGAAUCAUUUCAACUUUUAGAUUGAUAGUAAAUGAGUUAUUUUCGAAUGAUGUUAUAGAAAUAGACACAUAACAUCAUCUAACUAUUCGUCUAAUUGAUCCGUCUAGCUAGUUAACGAUAUUUCUCAAUUUAGUCAUCAACAAAAAUUCGUGAUUAAAUUAAAAAUUAAUAAAAAUUAGACAUUUUAAUUACUAGGUAAGAUGAUGCUUUAAAUCAAUAAAAAUGAUUAAAAUGAUUUUUUUUAAAACAUUAUUUUUCAUUUAUGUGUUAAAUUAAAAAUUAGGAAAAUUAAACGCGUAAGAUCUAGUCAAUGCGGUCAUAGGGAUGGGUCACCUAAUCAAACAUUGUUCUACCAAUUUCCUCGAAGAAGAAGAAGAACAUUAAGAAACUUAAAACAAUGUCAAAAUCUCAUAAACUAAUAAGAAACCAAUCAAAUUCGUCCAUUUUUCCCUCUUUUCUUUUUCUCUUUCUUUCUCCCAAUCACUCUUCAGAUUCCGGGGAAGAGAAAAGAGAGAAAGAAAGAAAGAUUCAAUCUUUAUUAGCCGGAGAUGGAUUCGCCAAACUGGGAACUCCGUGGUUGUUGUAACCGGAAUCAAAAUACUUUCCUCAUCACCAUCGGAGUCUUCACCGUAGUUAUCCUUCUGGUCAGUUUUCCGACCAGAAAGUUUUGACCUUUGCUUGUUUUUUUCGAUUUUGAAAGGGUUUUUGUAAAAUCUAGUCAAAAGGGUUCCAGAUUGACUUAUAAUUUCAACGAAAUUUGGUGAAUUGAGGCAUUUUAUGUUUCUAGGUUAACAUAAUUUUGAUUGAAGUAUCAAAGUUUCUGUUUUUAUGAUCUUUACUGAGAGAUUUCUUUGUGGGUUUUGGUUUGACAGCUAUGGAGGACAUUUCUAUUGACUCCAUUUAAACUCAUUACGGUGUUUUUGCACGAAGCUAGUCAUGCCGUUGCUUGCAAGCUUACAUGUGGAGAUGUAAGGAGCUUUCUCACUUCAACUACUAGUCUUCAAAUGAACUUAAAAGGGUAUAAGAUUGAUUUUAGGUCACUUGAACCCUUGAUUUAGUUUGCAAACAUGAAUGUGUUUCCUUCCAUUUGUAAAAUGUUGCUGUGUAAGAGCAGAGAAGAUCUUCUGGUUUCCUUAGAUAGAAAGAUUUUUACUUUAGCAAUAUGUCAGUUCAUUCUUCUCUCUGGACAUGACUGUUAGUAUAGCCAUAGAUAAGAGGUUGCAGUAUCCUUAUAUGUCUUGCUAUCUGUUUUAUCCGUAAUCAUAUUUUUAGACGAUUCUUGCUUGCUUCCAUUGUUAAUGUGUAAACUACUAGCUUCUGUCAUUAGUUUAAGAACACACAGUGAGUCUACUUGAAUAAGUGCAGCUGCUCAAGCCUUAGCUGUAGGUCUACAUUAACUUCCCUAGGAGUGAAUGUAACAGAUUAUAGCUCUUUUGUGUUGGUUAGAAAGCUUUUAGUGAGGACUGGUUUUAUAAAGAUGUCUCUGCAGAUAGUUAGGGUGUAGAUUUGAUGGCGAUUUUGGUUCUGUAAGAGUAGGAGUGUUCAGCUUCAGGUCUUAGUCUUACUAUACUUCUGCUUGUGUUUCUUCUAGAUUGAUUGAUGCAUAUCACAAUUUUACCUUAUGCAAGUAUUGCAGUGACAAUGUGAGAUCUACAAACUUUCCUUUGCAAGUACUUCCUGUAUGAAACUUAUCUACCAGCUUCUCUCUAUGAGUCUUUAUGUUUUACCCCCUCAUAAGAAUUAUCUUGAAUAGGCUAUGUAAAGGUUGAACAUAAAUACCACCAAAUGUGUGCACCAUCUCUCUGUGAUUCUGCAACUAACAGUCGCAUAUAAUGUGGAUAAUGUGUUUCUACUAACAAAUUGUCACUCGUUUUGGUAAAUCAACUUCUUAUUGAAUCAAAAGGUAGAGGGGAUGGAGGUGAAUGCAAAUGAAGGGGGUUCGACCACAACACGUGGUGGCAUUUAUUGGUUGAUCUUACCUGCUGGCUGUAAUGCACAAUCUAUCGAUAUAUCUUAUACAAAUCCACCAUUUUUCAAAUUUAGAACUAAAAGAGAUAAAGUUUUAACCUUUUUGUUGUUGAAAAUCUAUAGAUCUUGGCUCAUCAUUUUGGGGAAUGGCAUUGAUUCUUGCAUCUACCAAUCUGCUUACAGCAAGAAUAGCUGCUGCUGGUCUUGGUCUUGCUUUAUUCAUCGUUCUCUUCAUUGCCAAAAACGUAAGAAGUCAUUAUUUCCCUUAUAUUAACAAAGUUUUAUUUCCUUGAAAGUCAUCAACAUUAAACAAUAAGAGCUUCAAUUUUGACAGUGGACGCUUCGAGGGCUUUGUAUAGGUGUGUUAUCUUGCAAUUCUUCUUGUUGCAUUUUCUUUUUAAGUACCCAAAAUCCUUACAUAGUUGUAAAAAUCCCAGGUUUCAUAGUUUUCCUCGCUGUCAUAUGGGUUCUACAAGAGUUAACUACAGUCAAAAUUCUCCGUUAUGUCAUUCUGUUUAUUGGUAAGAAUACCAUCAAACUCUUCUCUGUCUUGUUAUCAUAAUUCAGUUUCAUUUAGCCUUAUAUAAAACUCGGAUUCACAUUAUUGCAGGUGUGAUGAAUAGCUUAUUCUCAGUUUACGGUAUGUAGUUCUCUUCUCCCAUUAACUACACUUAGAGUUAUGACUUAUGACCAAUAAUAAUGUGGCUGAAAUGUAUGCCCAUUAGAUAUCUAUGAUGAUUUGAUAUCUCGGAGGGUCCAUUCGAGCGAUGCUGAGAAGUUCGCAGAGAUCUGUCCUUGCUGUACCGGUUGUGGCUGGGGUGUCAUCUGGUUAGAUUCUAAUACAACUCUCAAUAAUCAGAUUCUGAAAGUGAAAGUGAAAUCCUUUUUCUAACAAUUAGUUUUCAUUUCAGGGGAAUGAUAUCAUUUGCGUUUCUUUGUGCAUCGCUCUAUCUCGGGCUAGUGAUCCUAUCAUAAGAGGGUAUUCUUUGUUACUCAGGUUCAGAUUCUUCCCAGUGAAAUGCAUGCAAAGACAAAUAGUUUGACAAAAAGAUUGAUUCUUUAGAUCCCCUUGAUGUGUUUGGGAUUAACAUUGUCCAUUGAAAGUUUAGGUUUUAUUUGAAAGUUUGUAUUCUUUUUAUAUUGGAGCGUGUUGAUUAGAAUUCAUUGGAUAUUUGAUUUGGUCUAUGUUUAAUGUAUUGAAAGUUCGUUGACUUUUUCAAUAGAAGAUGUCCGUUGACUUUUGUUAAGCUUCUCAUUAUUGAAAAUUUGGAACUUAAAGACGUUCAAAGCUUGACGAAGACAUCUUUAGAAACCCUAAAUAAGACUUGGUCAUCCUCAAACCCCAAAAAGGCAAAAACAUUACGUUCCUAUAAGAUUAUGUUCCUAUUAUUUCUUGUAAAGAAAAAAUAGAAUGUUCUGAAAAUAAUUGUCGUAAUUAAAAAUUUAAUAAAGAAGUUAUAAAGUUUCCUGAGUUAUAUAGAUAAUUCAACGAAAAAAAAUCUUUCAACUUUGGCCAAGUCCAUUUUAAUUCCUUCUAUCCACACGAAACGAAUUUAUUAAACCAAAACUUUAAGGAUUUUAAUACACCAAAACUUUAAGGUCUAUUAGGGUGAAAAUAUAACCAAAACUUUAAGGUGAUAUUUUCACUUUAAUACACCAAAAUUGAGAUUUCUUUUUUAUGAAAUAAAAACAGUUUGGACCAAAUUUGAAGAAUUAUUACGGAAAAUCAUUUUCCCACGUUUCAGUGAUGAGUGAACAGCAUAACAACUAAAAUUGGCGCUUACAUGGUUUUUUGGUGGUUCAUAUCUGUUUGUCCUUUCUUUAUUUAUUUUCUGGUUAAAAUGUUACAUAACUUCAUACCAAAAAAAACAAAAAAUGACAAGAUACCAUGUGUAAAGUUAUAUACUACACACAAUUUGGUUUUAGUAGAAAGGGUCGAAUGUUUAUCGGAAUAUCAUUCAAUUUUUUUGUGGUUUUUUUAUGUAGAUAAAGUUGUAUAGGAAAUAACUAUUCUAUCGAUCGAGAUAUAACUAACUUGACCAAAUACUAUAGAAUAUGUUCUUCUUCAUAAAAUAUUGGAGAUGUGCCAUAAAAAGAUGUUGACAAAUAAUUAGGCACAUGCAAGAACCGGGUUCGAUAAGUUGAGGAAUACCAAAACGGAACACAAACUUGGAGAAGAUGACGUAAAGGUCAGAUUUGGAGCAUAACGAACUCAAGGUCACCGCCUAAUUACUUUUUCAUCCAUUGACGACGUCUUCUAACAGUAACCCUUCAUUCUUCAUAUGAUUCCUACGUCUCCACUCACAUGAGAUACUAGAAUUCUAUAAUUUAGGUCUAUAUAUGGUUUUUGGCUAUUUUAUGACAUAAACGAAUUCAAUAACUAAAAUUCACAAUUUAACAUAUUAUAUAUGAUGUCAUGCAUGAUAAUUGCCAACUUGAGGACAGAAGUUUUUAUUUUUGGACGGAAGUUUGUAAAAGCUUGCAUCCACGAUUUAAAAUAGUGUUUGCAUGUUGUAUAGUUGAACACGUGGUAUAAGAAAAACUAAUAUUUUCGAUAUCAAUUGGGGAAAUAUACUUUUUUGGAAGUUUCUCAUCGUUGGAAUGAAGCUCUUUACCCUCCUAGGGUAAAAUUUCUUAUACUACGUACAUUUCUUUACGCGGAAGCUAUAGCUUAUAAAGAAUCGGUCUAUUGACCACCAAAUGGCCCAUUUCUGGACUAUGUCUCGUUUCAUGUAUGAUGGAAGAAUUGGAAUGACGCAUUUGCUCGAUGAUAGGACCGAUUAUGAUGGUUUAGACAAAACACAUCGGCCAAUCAUCAGAUUCCGGGGGUUUUGUUUUUCCAUUAAGCUAAAAUAAAAAUAAAAAAUAGUUUGUGUUUUACUGGUAAACACAAACACGAAAAAUAGUUUUACAUUCGUGUAUAUAUUUUUUAUAUUCCAAGAAAAUGAGGCGUCAUAAAUCAUAGUUCAUACUGUUGGAUUGCUGUUAAUGUUAUUUCUAUAUCAAACCAAGGCAAGUGAUAACAAAAAUAAGAAAUGUAAUAAUGUUGACUUGUAAAUAAAGUAAGAAAAUUAAAUUCUGUCAUUUCAGACGAGGAAGUAUGUCACAUGUAAAAUAGAUCAUUGAUACUUUUCAUGAGAACUUCCAUAAGAAUUAAGAAAGCCAUUGACUUCUACCUUUCUUAAUUUCCAGCUUGACCCAUUUUUUCUCAUGAAAUUAUAAGAACUUUACGUAUUAAAUAUAUAAUUAUUUUAAAUAUGUUUAUAGUUAUUAUGAAUUUUAAAAAAUUUGUAAUGUAUUAACCAAGGUUGAAAUUAUUUGAUUUGACUUUCUAAAUACCAAAAUUCAUGUAAUUUCUUUUAGUUCUUACCAAAAUAUUUGUGUGGUAUGCUAAUAUUCGUUUUAUAUGUAAUUUCUGAGAAAAUUUCAUCCCAACUAAAAUAUUAAGUGGCAAACAAUGUAUAUAGGGAGAGAUUCUACUUUUCAUAUUGUAAAUUAGAGUCAUAUCAUAUCUAUAAUGUUCAUCUAAUAUGUGAUAAGGAGAACAAAAAUAAUGGCAAGUUUGGAAAAAAAUCAUUUUGCAUAUUUUGACUCAUUUGCAUUUUUAAAACCUUUUUCUUGAUCCUUCUCCUUAUCUUAUCUUUUCUCAAAUUCUAUAUUUCCAAAAUAAAACACGCACUUUCUAUUUUAAUUAUAAUAAAAAAAGAGUUCUCAAGUUAUCUUCCAAAACUGGUCUUUACCACUAUAUUUCAGAUUUCUCCUCCACGUCUACUGAUUGUCAUAGAUGAUGCGUUCUCUUCUUGUUCACACGUAAGUACUUCAUUUUUUUGGGUGCAAAUGCAACAAUUCACACGUAAGUAUACUUUUCACAAUUGCUUUUUUUUCUUUGUUAAUAUAUAGUUAUAUACUUUCCAUAAUAUAAUUCAAGGAUUUCUCGUGAACCGAUUUUUUAAAAACAGUUAGCUAAUGCAUAUCUUUAUUUCUACAUAAAGAAACACAUAUUUAGUCUAUUGCUUCUCUAUCAAUAUUCUUCUUUCCAUAUAUAUAUGAUUGAAUUUUAACCCUCUUACAAGGAAUAUAUUUCAUUUAUACAUUAUAUAUAGAUUACAAGAAAACCCCAUCACUCUAUAUUAUCAGAUUCAUCAUCGAAGGAAAAAUAAAAUAAACGGCCAAAAAUGGGAGCAGACGCAAUCCAAACGAAUGGUCACGAUCAAGCCAAGUUAACCGGCGGUGAAGAGAUCCAACGGCUGAGAUGUUUUGUGAAGAACUACGAAUGGGGCAAACUCGGACCGGAGUCAUUGGUGGCGAGACUCCAAGAGGCUAAUACAGGACAACGAGUCGAUUCGGAGAUUCCUUACGCUGAGUUUUGGAUGGGUACUCAUGAGUCUGGACCGAGUCAUGUUGAAUUCGGGUCGGGUCAUGGUGUGUCUGAUAAAUGUAUGGUUACAUUGAAAUCGUGGGUUUUGGAUAAUCCGAAUUUACUCGGGUCUAAAGUCGUGGACAAAUGGGGUUGUGAUCUUCCUUUCCUUUUCAAGGUAAUGAUCAAUUUCUCUGUUUUUUACUCUGUUUUGAAGAUGUUACAUUUGACUAAGUUUUUCUGAUUAACAAAUUUGAUUUUUAUGUGUUUCUAAAAGUUAUAAUAUACAGAUUUGAGUAUAAUCAUAUUAUAAAAACAACUAUAUAUCUAUAUAUAUAUAUAUAUAUCUUAUAAUCAAAAUAUACAUUUUCAGAUUCUGUUUUAUUGUCAAUUUCUCUGUUUUUUUCCUCUGUUUUGAAGAUGUUACAUUUGACUCUGUUUUCAUUAUUAAAAAGGUUGAUUUUUUUUUGUGUUUUUUAAAGUUAAAGCAUACCGACUUGAAUCUAAUGAGAAGUUUUUUCUUGUUGUAAUGCGAAAAUUAUCGAAAUCAUUGUUGAUUUAGGCACAUCCUAAUAAUUUCUCUGUUUUUUUGCUCUGUUUUGUAGAUGUUAACAUUUGACUCUGCUUCUCUAACUAAAAAUGGUGACUAUUUGUGUGAAUUUUUAAUCUAAUCAUAAGUGUUUUGGUUUUUGAAAUGUGAAAAAUUAGGUUUUGUCAGUAACGAAAGCAUUGUCGAUUCAAGCACAUCCAAAUAAGGCCUUAGCAGAGAAAUUGCAUAGAGAAGAUCCUCUUCUUUACAGAGACAAUAACCACAAGCCUGAGAUUGCUCUUGCUGUUACUCCUUUUCAAGCCCUUUGUGGUUUCGUAACUCUUAAGGUACACAACUUCAGAUCUUUCUCUCUGGUAUCUUAUUACAUUCGGGUUUUAAGUUUUGCUUAGAUCUGAUUCGAUCUAAACGGUUUUGUACCUAAAUUGAAUCAGGAACUGAAGGAGGUUAUCACUAAUGUACCAGAGAUCACGGAGCUUGUAGGAAGCAAAGCUGCAGAUCAAAUCUUCAACGUCCACGAACACGAUGAAGACGAGAGAAUCAAAUCCGUUGUUCGAUUGAUCUUCACACAGUUGAUGUCUGCAAGUAACAAUGAGACGAAGCAAGUGGUUUCUCGGAUGAAGAAUCGUCUGCUCUUAGAGACCAAACACCGUGAACUGUCGGAGAAAGAGAAGUUGGUUUUGGAACUGGAGAAACAGUACACUGGUGACAUAGGUGUCAUCUCAGCCUUCUUCUUUAACUAUGUCAAGCUUAAUCCUGGAGAGGCUUUGUAUUUGGACGCUAACGAGCCACACGCAUAUAUAUCCGGUGAUUGUGUUGAGUGUAUGGCGGCUUCAGACAACGUAGUUAGAGCUGGUCUUACUCCUAAACAUCGCGAUGUUCAAACGCUUUGCUCUAUGCUUACCUACAAAUUGGUAACUUUCUUUACACGUUAAAUUUUUGGUAUCUUUCUUUACACGUUAACAAACUGGUUUAGUUGGUAAACCGAUUGUUUUUUCUUCUUUGUCCGGUUUAUUGAUAAAACGUACCGGAUUUGGUUCAGGGUUACCCGGAGAUUCUGAAAGGAUUUCCUCUGACUCCUUACGUUACAAGGUAUCUUCCUCCAUUUGAUGAGUUUGAAGUGGAUCAUUGUGAUCUUCCUAGAGGAAAAUCGACGGUUUUUCCGGCAGUACCAGGUCCUUCGGUUUAUUUGGUUAUUGAAGGAAAAGGGCAAUUGCGAACCGGUUCAUCUAAAGUUUUGGUAAACCGAGGAGAUGUUUUGUUUGUUCCGGCUGAUAUUGAGAUUCACGUAACUGGAGAAAGUGAUGUGAUGAAGCUUUACAGAGCUGGAGUCAGCAGCAGAUUCUUCCAAACAUUGUAGGCUAAAGUUUAAGUAUAUUAAAUUUACUAAUUACUAUAUACUAUAUAUAUUUAUAAGCAAUCAUAGGGACCAAUUCUCCAAAGUGUUAGGAAAUGUGUUCUUUAAAUCCUUGAUGGCCCAUUGCAAAUUCAAGGAGUUGUCAUUUUCCUAUAUUUAAUUUUGAUUUAAACGAACUAUAUAUGUAAAAUGAUUGUAAAACCAUGUUAUCCUAAUUUAAAAUAUAUUUGAGAUGAAAUUAGGAUAAAAUAUCUUUGAUCACGUGUGUUAAUUGAUGAAAUUUCUGAGCAGUCUUCGAGCCUCGAUAUAUGACUAAGUCAUUGUCGAGGGAAGCUUUAAGUUUACUAAGUACUAACAGAUAGUUGUGAUGGCUGUUUCCUCCUCCACCUAGUUAGAGGAGAAGUUGUUAAUUUUCUUUCUAGUGGGGAAAACUAAUUUGGAUUUGGUUUUUGAUAACUUAAUUUGGAUUUGGGCCAUUUAUAUUAAUUUAUGAGGUUUAUAUUGGGCUUGAGACCAAAGAUAGAGUUGGCCUAAAAAUGUGAAGGUUUCAUGCUUUUUGGUAAGUCUGCCUCAUACCUAGCAUUACAUUUCCAUCGAUGCAUAUUCUUGAAUAUGUGUUGUGUAACUUGUGUUGAUUGAUUGGUGUACGGAGCACUUGAUCUGCUGAUGAGGUCAUGACACACCACUCAACUAAAGGGCUCGAGUCGUAGUAGUGUUGUCACAUCAAAACGGAUUUAUUAAACGUUUGACAAAUUUAGUGAACCUAAAUCUGUAGUUUAGUAAAAUAUUUGAAGAGGAGGUUUUCAAGUUGCAAAUUUCUGCAAAAACCUCAUGAGGUAAACUUAUUGACAAAAGAUGAAAACUUGUCUCGAGUUGUUUGGUCUCAUUGAUACUGUCAACAACUUAACCCAUUACAGCUAAUUUAACAUGAGCAAAAGCAUAAUGAAGCAUCAUUCCAAAUCUUUAUAGGCAUUUAAGAAACCAAGAUCAUCAGCUUAUUUGUACUGGUUGUUGAUUAUAGCUUUGGUUACGAAAUGCGAAACGAUUCCAACCGGACAGAAGAGAAGGCAAAGUGAAACCGAAUGCCUCGUCUCGAUCUGGUUCUCUAACCCAUCAUUAUAAACUUGCCUGCAGAGUAAACCCAAAACACGCUUUAUAAGAAACAUGUAGGAUAAUUUCAGAACCCAUUGAGAAGAAGAGAAGUGUAAUAUACCGUGCAGCGAAAAGAUCUACAACAAGAAGAUGAAUCCAAGCAGAAGCAAGAGUCAUUUCACUUGAGAACAUUUUAGCUAUUCCAGACAACUGCAGAUGAAAAAACUAACUUUAGAAACUGCAAUGAUACAAAUAUUGUGGAUGGUUAAGGGAAAGCAAAACCUCUGGCAACAUGUAUUUACUAGAAAACAUGUAUUUGAGCGUCUCGGGUGUCCAAGAAAUGUAUAACAAAUACACAUAUAAUACGCCUAAGAUGAUAUACGGUACGCUACUCUCCAUACACUUCUUGGUCUGCACAAAGAAACAUACUCAAUUUUGAUCAACUUCAUUAGGUCAUCAAGUUGUAAAACUUGCAACAAAAUUAAACUUACAAUUUCAGCUUUUGGUGCUACAACCAUUAGAGUAUAGAAGGGUAAAACCGCGGUAGUUCCAACCGCAAAUACACUGCUUGCAAUCUGAGUAGUAGUUAACCCUACAACAUGAACAUAUAAGAGAUUCUAAUCACACAUAUAAUCUUAGAUCAAAGUCACAAAAUGAGUGACAAAGUUUAAUCUUUAAAUGGUUAUGAGACACAGUACAUGAAGCUCGUACACCGGAGAAUUUCUUGUGAACUACGGUGUAAGAAUUGGACUGAACAGAGAUUCUUGAUCCUCCAAUGAAGCUCCAACGAUGAUCUAAUCUAAUCUUUGAAGAAUCAAGACAAAGUUCCGAUCUUUUAGCAGAAACGUUGCGUUUCAUCACCUGAAUUCACCAACAAAGAAAGAAAGAUUCUUCUUUUACUUCAUAGAAAUUCAGAAACUUUCAUACAAAAACUCACAACAAUCAAGAACAGAGAUUCUGUAACAGUGACUCAGAAAGAAUAAAGUCAACUCAAAAACCCAUUAAAUUCUUCAAUUCUAGUCAAAAGAUAAAAAGACUUUAAGGUUAUCCAUAACUAUAGUUUAACUCAACACAGAAUCUAAUCCAACAACUGUACAUAUAUGUAUAGUGAAAUUAAAGAAGAAGAAGAUACCGAGAGAGAUGAAGACAAAGGCUGAGAAAUGAAAGAAGAAAAACCCAUCUCUGAUUCAAAUCUUCACCACUAAUUGCCAAAAAUUGAUCUUUCAUCACCUUCUUCAACAAACUCUCUGCAUAUAUAUAAUGGGAAUGGUUGCGAGAUUUCCACUGGAUAAAAAAAAACGAAAGUGGAAGGGAAAAAAGUUGUCUUUCACUCUUUCUUUGCUCAGUGUCGACAAUUAUAUACAACACUUUUUGCUCAUCCUUCCAUCUUUAUAAAGUUUUCAUCUUUUUUACUUCAAUAUUUGUUUAAACUUUGAAUUCCGGUUUAGUUUAUUAUAAUUAUUUGGAUUUUGUUUGUUUAUUUAAUUAACUUCUAAUUUAAUAUGGAUCAAUUAGUAGAUUUAAGUAACAUUUUUGGUUUACUUCAAUCAAUGAUAUAUUUUUACUAUUACCAUAUAAGUUUUUAUUAAACCAAUUAUACAUAAAAAAAAAAGUUCAAUACAAUUCAAUAUAAAAUUUUGAAUAUAUUGAUAAAAAGUUAAAUAUAUAUAUUUUAUUUUUGUGUGAAAAAAGUUAUAUGUGUAUGUUAAUGGAGAUUUAAGUGAAUUUAGGUGGACAAGACACAAGUCUAGUUUCAGGAAAGAAAAAGACAAUGGUUAGUGUUUCCCCCCAUUAAUUCGGUUGUUUACUUUUAUUACAUUUAUAUAUUUUUAGUUUUAUAUUCACAACCUGGUUAUUGCAUUAAGAAUUGACUGAAAAAAAGAUUUAAAAAAUACGUUAGGACAAGAAAAAGAUAGACAUGUGGCUAAUACUCAUUGUUGGAGAAAUUGGAUGGAGUAGGAAGAUAACUUGGGUGGGCUAUUUGGUAUGAUAACUUAUUUGCUUUGGUAUUAAUGGGCCUUUUGACCCACCCACUUUGUUUUUUUGCUUUAUCACUCCCACCUAAUUUGUUUAUUUAACAAAAAAACAACACAUGAAAACAAAAACAAAUUGUGAAAAAAAGAAAAAAAAGACAAAUCUUUGGUAUCUCCUAUCUUUCAAUCUUUCUGUGGUAUUUGAGCAUUUCGAUGUUUUCGAUGGUGACCAAAACCUUUUGGUAAACAAUAUGUAUAAUUCUUGAGAUUAAAUGGUACAAAAAUUAUUAAAAAGGGGUAAAAAUCGUUUAAAAUAUUUCAAAACUUUACACUAUAUCAGUAACUAAUUAGGAAAAAAUUAAAAAAAAAAAUGAAAGAAAAUUUUGAGUUUUUACGACCCACACAUAGCUUAUCCUAUUUCGAAAGUACCUAAACAAACGACUCCAAAAUAUCUUUAUGUGAAUUUGGGUCAAGUCCCUUUGAUUGAGGAAAUAUAUGAUCCACAAGAUCCUUGAAUAUACUUGGUAAAAAUGAAUAUUCGAGACUCUUAUCCAGAAUCCUAUCCUAAACAAGGCACGUCCACUUAUGUAUCCAUCACUAGAUUUCAAGUGGGUCAUCUUUUGCUUCAAGAUAUUGUUACUCUAAACCUCUCAAGCUCGUUAAUCAUGUGACAAGAAUUGAAUGUGAAACUAAUUUUCUUAAUGAUUUCUUUAGCGACUCAUGGUUCUUAAACUUGUAAAUUUCAUAUUUGUAGCCGCAUUGUCCUAUUUUCUUUUUGUUGAUAUGCAUAUCAAAUUGAAAGACUUAUAGAACAUUACAUAUUUAUUUCAUCAGACAGUUGAGAAUCCGAUAGAAUAUGUCUCGCAAACCGGAAAACAAACGUUAAGUCCGGAAAUUAAAACCCAAGAAAGAAGAAAAAAGCAGAAAAACAAGGGAUAAAAUCAAAGAUGGGGGAUAAAGUUUUGAGGUUUACACAAAAGCAAAGGGAAAUUAACCGGUGAAGCUUGGUGGCUUGUAGGCAAUGAAACUGAUGCACUGGACUUGACGGGUGUUGUCGAAUCCGAUGAUCCUAAUGAAGGCAUUGGGGUACUCCUUCUUGCACUCUUCCACUUCCUUCAACACUUGAGCGGAGUCGGUGCAACCGAACAAGGGAAGCUUCCACAUUGUCCAGUACCGUCCAUCAUAGUAUCCGGGUGAGUUACCGUGCUCACGGUACACAAAUCCGUGCUAUACAAACCACAUGUUACAAACCACUCAGAUAACAUUUUGAACAUGUUUAUAUAAAUCAAGAUCCUAAUAUAUUAAACCAAAUUUUCCUAAGAUCUAGCUAGUUUAUAUAGAUGUUUAAAUUUUGUUUAAUUACCUCCAACUCGAAUUCAACACAAGGAAUCCACUUGUUGCGGAUAAGGUAGUCAACUUCCUUAGCCAAUUCGGAAUCGGUAAGGUCAGGAAGGUAAGAGAGAGUCUCAAACUUCUUCUUUCCAAUCGGAGGCCACACCUAUUUUUUCGAUUUUUCCAAUGAUAUUAGUUUAUGUAGAUUCGAAGAAAGAACCGAAAAAAAUCAUAUGGAAUAAUAAAAAAGUGAAAGAAGAAAUAUAAAUGACCUGCAUGCAGUUAACUCUUCCGCCGUUGCUUGUGAUGGAAGUAAUGUCGUUGUUAGCCUUGCGGGUGGCUGGGAAGGCAGCGGAGGACUUAAGUCCGUUGAAAGGAGCGACCAUAGUGGCCUGAGCCGGAGAGGCAACCAUAGUAGCGGAAGAGAGCAUAGAGGAAGCCAUUGUUCUUCUUUACUCUUUGUGUGACUGAGGUUUGGUCUAGUGCUUUGGUCAUCUAUAUAUAAUGAUAACAACAAUGAGAACAAGCUUUGGAGUGAUCGGAGGGUCUAGGAUACAUGAGAUUCAAGUGGACUAGGAUCUACACCGUUGGAUUUUGAGUGUGGAUAUGUGUGAGGUUAAUUUUACUUGGUAACGGCCACAAAGGCCUAAGGAGAGGUGUUGAGACCCUUAUCGGCUUGAACCGCUGGAAUAAUGCCACGUGGAAGAUAAUUCCAUGAAUCUUAUCGUUAUCUAUGAGUGAAAUUGUGUGAUGGUGGAGUGGUGCUUGCUCAUUUUACUUGCCUGGUGGACUUGGCCCUUUCCUUAUGGGGAAUUUAUAUUUUACUUACUAUAGAGCUUUCAUACCUUUUUUUUACCUUGGAUUUAGUUAAUAUAUAAUGGUAUGAUUCAUGAAUAAAAAUGGGAAAUUUUUGAAUUUGUACUGCUAAAUGCAUAAGAUUAGGUGAAACUGUGGAAUAUAUAUUUUUUUCAUUUAAAAGCAAAAUUUGCCUUUUACUAGAAUUAUAAAUAUAGAAAAAUAUAUAACAUUCAAAUAAAAAUGAAAAUAAGAACUUUCAAAAAACAGAACUAUGUUUAAUGUGUAAAGAUUAGUCGCACAUCAAGUCAUCUGUUACAAUAUGUUACAACAAGUCAUAAGCCCAACAAAGUUAGCACGUCUAAAUAAACUAAAGAGUCCACGAAAAUAUUACAAAUCAUAAGCCCAACAAAGUUAUUGAUCAAAAAAAAAAAACGCCCAACAAAGCUAAACAAAGUCCAAAAAAAACUUCUCAAGUCUCCAUCUUCCUUUAUGAACAUUGAAAACUAUACACAAAACAAGUCAGAUAAAUCUCUUUCUGGGCCUGUCUUCCCAACCUCCUACAUCACUUCCCUAUCGGAUUGAAUGUUUUACUUGUACCUUUUCCGUUGCAAUGAUAUUGAUAGUAUGUUUGUGAAAACUAAUAGGGUUAACAAUCGAAGUCAUGGAAUAUGGAUUUGGUCCAAGAUUUUCCGAGAGCUUUCUAGUAGAAAGCCCAUCACCAGAAAUUUACUAGUAAAAUAAAUCACCAAUUAGGUUUCUUAUUAUGUGCCAAAUUCAAUAUAAUUAUAGAGGAUAUUUCAAAUGAAAACGUAUGAAUGUUAUUAGUAAAUGGUCAGGUAAGACAUUAAAAAAAUCCUACGUCAGAUAUUCAACUUUAAAAAUUCGAUCAGUGUGGAAUUGUACAAAAAUUUGGGAUCUACUAUAUAUAUAUAAUGCUUUACAACACUUGGAUUUUUUUUUGGAGGCUGGAAUUUUUAAUCUACAUAUUUGUUUUGGCCAUGCACCAACUCAUUGUUUAGUGUAAUACUUUGAUUUUGUCAAAUAUAUGUGUUCGUGUAUAUUUGUAUAAGAAUUUCUUUGACCAUAUACACACACACAUAUAUAUAUAUAUAUAUAUAUUAUAUAUCAUGCACUUUUAAUUGAAAAAAUAAUAUAUAUAUAUAUAGUGCAUUUUUUCUAACAACCAUAUAUGUUGCGAUUGAUCUGCAAAAAUACUGCUAGAGUAAUGAAAAAUAUAAUCUAUUGCUGAAAUUAUCUCAGAUGUUAAGAUUUUCUUAAAGUAAAUUCUUUCAAAUUUUAGCUAAAAGUCUUGUAAUAACUAAAGAAUAAUACACAAUCUCGACCACGGAAAAAAAACACAUAAUAAAUUUGAAUUCUGACAGUGAACUCUACUUUUGAAUUCUAAUUAUAGAGUGAAGAAUCUUGAUAGAUGAAAGCCAUAAACAUGUUUGUCGAAACUAGAAAGUACCCACAUAUCAUAAUAAGAUGUUUCUAAUUCCACUUUGAGACUCAGUCAAACAGUUAAUAUCUUGGACAAUAAGAAUUUGUUGACCAAUAAUCCUAUAUUACAAGAAGCCUUCUAUUAUUUUAAUCAAAACAUUGAAGCUCAAGCUCCUCGUAAGGUAAAGAGCCCACAAAAUUCCGAAAACCAUGGAAAACGCGAGUCCCUGGGUUUGCAUUAUAUUUUCUAUAUUUGUUUUUCUUUUCUCCUAAAAUUAUGGAAGUGAUUGGAAGAUACAAGAGGUUUUGUCCAAACAAUUUAAACUCGACGACUAAAAACGUAGGAUGACGCGAUACACACGCGCGGCCAUAUGCAUGCAAACCCCUAUAUUUCUUUUUAAAGUUUUUGGCUCUUUCCACAUUUUUAAAAAUAAAAAUAUUUUUGGACAUUUUUGCAUGGCAUCUUCACCUAUCUCUCCUCCAUUUGUCUUUCUUUUUUCAGUUCAGUGUAUCAUCAACAAGAGUUCACAAACUUUUAUUUUUUACACAUUCAUGGCUUGUUUCUAGUUCUAGAUUUGGAUUUUUCUAGCUUCACUUUUGAUAGAAUUCGGGGGAAAUAGAAAUUGUUAAACCAAAAGGAAGAGUUAACGUUCGAUUCUGUAUCAGAUAAAUCUCUAUAAAGGAUUAUAUCAUUGUAUUAUUCCAGCUAGCACAUAUCCAUUUUCGUAUUUGUCAAUUAAGAGAAUUUGUAUUUAUUUGUUUAUUAUAAGACGACAAUAAGAAAGACGACAAAAAAUUUUAUUCGUAUGCUUAUAUUUUGUAUGCAUCUAUUUUUCUACCUCUUACCUAUGCAUUUUUAUUUUAAUGAAUUAUCAUAUCUGUUUGUCAAUCACUUCUAUAGCAAUAUGAUAAUUUGGUUGAAACUGUAUUUAUCCAUACGUCUAUCUAAACAUGUAUAUAUACCAUUUGAAUUUUUCAAAAACAUAAUAUAUAUACAUAUAGGAAUUAGGUUAUUGACUUAUUGUUUAUCUUACAAUAUGUUAAGUUAUUUGAUAUAGAAAAUUAUUGUACAACUUUAUACAGGUCUUCUAAAUUACCUGAAACGACAACAAAUUUAUUUCAUACUAGUAUAUAUCAUAUAGCAUAUAUAGCUUUCACAUUCGUCUGUAACUGGUCUUUCAGAAAAAUUGACUCUAUAGAGUCUACUAGCUAUAGUUAUGAUUGUUCGCAUGAUUAUAUUAUUAGUUAAAGUGGAGACAAUCGUAUUAAUCGUGUGAUAGCCGGCAGAAGAAAAAAUAAAUCGUUUUAUCCGUUAAAAUUAUAUAUAUUUUGUUUUACUGUAUUUUUCUAGUUUUUAACUAAGUUUUAUCUUUAUAUAAAUAAUUAUAAAUGUUUAUAUAAUGUUUGAUAUACUUAAAUAAAUAUUUUAUCUAAACUUUGUUUGCGAUUUGACAUUUUUAACAUUUUUGAUAGAUAUUUAUAUAUUUUCUAUAAUUUUAAUUUUUAACUGUUUCUAAACCUUAAUAAUAAUUAAUAGAUUGUGUGUGCGUUUUUUUCUUUAUUUUAUUAAAGAAGUAAUAGAAAUAAUUCAAACAUCACCAUUCAAUGAUGGGUGUUUCAAUGGAAGAAACUACCAAAUCUAACCAAUAAACGUUGGCAUCUAUUCACCUAAAAGUAAAAAUUGUAGAGCCUAUAUUAGUCAAAGUGAUCCAUGCAGAUAAUUUAUUAGUAGGUCUUUCGAUAUUAAUGUUGAUAUAUACUAGAGCCUAUAGAAGUCAAAGUGAUUCCAUUAAGAUAAUUUAUUAAGUAGGUAUUUGGAUAUUAAUAUUAAUUAUCAGAAUUAUGUAUGGAGCUACAUAAUGUGUAACCGCUCAGAAAACGCGGCGAUUCGACCAAACUCUGUUACCACAAUGUCUCCGCCACGCGAUCACACUUUUGCGCUUGCAUGCGAACGUUGAAAUUCGAACCUCUCAUCUCUCUAUUUACCAUUUUACCCUCUAGUAAUUUCGUUUUCAAAAUUUACUAUCUCCAAAUAUUUUGGCAGUCCAUUAUUAAUUGCCGAACAUUAAACUGCGGUCUAGACAAAAACAAACGGCGGUCAGAUAUAAACAACUAACCAAAAAAAUAAAAUACUUGACUGGUUUUGGACAUUUUCGUCGAUGAUGAUCACGCGCUACGAAUGAGAGCCAAAGACAAAGCUCAACGGGCUUCCAUAUAUAUUUCAUAUUUAUUAGUAACUAUUUUCCCCAAAAAAAAAAAUAUAUAUUAUUAGUAACUACAAACAAACAAACAAAAUGUAUAAACCAUGAAAAUUAAAGAUUUUAAAAUUUUAUAACUAUACAAAUAGUAUGAGAAGCUUUGUUUAUUUUUAUAAACACAUAAUAACAGUUUGAAAAAAUUACUUACCUAAAUAAAGGUAAUAUUCUCGUAAUUUACUAAAAUAAUUCAUACAAAAUAUAAAAACAAUUACAAAACUCUUCUUUUUUGGGCUCUUUACAUCUUAUUUAUACUUUGAAAAUUACGAUAUCCAUUUAGAGAAAAAUAUAACAUGCACGUCACAAAUUUAUUUAUUUUUUGAAAAAAAUUACACACAAAGAAAACGACAACUUCGUUCCUUGUUAAUUGUUAUGAUCUCUCCGACCAAACCCAAGCAGCUUCUCCCUCUUAAAUACCUCUUCCUUCUUCUAAGAUCUCUGGACCAUUCUGUACUUUCCCUCAAACCCAAAACACAUUUUGUUUUUUGUUUCCCAUCUAAAAUGCGUAUGAGUUGUAACGGAUGUCGAGUUCUACGAAAAGGCUGCAGUGAAAACUGUAGCAUAAGACCUUGUCUUCAAUGGAUCAAAUCCGCUGAAUCUCAAGCCAACGCCACCGUCUUCCUCGCCAAGUUUUAUGGCCGUGCGGGGCUCAUGAACCUCCUCAACACCGGUCCUGACCACCUCCGUCCUGGUAUUCAAACUUCCCAUGCAUGUUAUGUUUUUUGUUUGUUAUGGUUAAUUGCGAAGUUCUGGACGGAAUCUCUCAUACAUCUUUUUAGGAAACGUAGGAUCCUGUUUAUUUUUCUAACAUGCAUCUAAUAAUUUGGUAAUUUUGUUUGUUUUUGCAGCGAUAUUUAGAUCAUUGUUGUACGAAGCAUGCGGGAGGAUUGUGAAUCCGAUAUACGGAUCCGUGGGGUUAUUGUGGUCAGGAAACUGGCAUCUUUGUCAAGCGGCCGUUGAGGCAGUAAUGAGAGGCUCACCCGUGACUCCGAUCGCAUGCGACGCAGCGGUUACUGGUCAAGCACCUCCUUUUAACAACAAGCUUUGCGACAUAAGACACGUGUCAAGCAGGGACGAGAACGUUAAGAGACGGAGCCGUGGUGCAUGCAAGGAAGAGAGAAACGUGAGGUCUUUGAGUCAUGAGUCGUCACUGAGUCACGAGUCACCGGUGUCUUCUGAGGAGACGACGACGGAGGAACCAAAGACUUGGAUCGGGCUUGAGCUGACUUUGGGGUUGGAGCCUUUAGCACGUGGAAAUCACGUGGUGGUACCGAUGAAGAAAAGAAAGUUAGAGAGGUGUGGCACGUCUGAGGAUGAGGACACGUGUAAGAUUGAGCUUGGACUGGUGUGCAGUGAGUGAAUGGUUCUUUUUUUGUGGCUGGUCUUAAUUACAAGUUUUGGUGUUGAGUUUUAGGUGUACAAAUAGAGAUUAACGAAUCUCUCUUUUUUCUCUUUUUGAGUUUUAUGUUUUGUUUUGUUUUCUUUUGCAUGUUCGGUGUUCUUCAUAAAUAUGUAUGAUGAAUGAUAAAGAGGUCUUAACUUAACAAAUCUUGGUUCGGAUCGACAUAACAAACAUUUCUUCUUUCCAUUCUAAAUUCUUGAUUUUACUCAUGUACUUAAACAAACGAUGCAAUUGAUGUAAACACGUUUAUCCCAAUAAAUUUUGUAUUUUAUUUAUAUAAAAAAAAACUUAACAAAUCUUCUAUUUCAGAAAUAUCUGGGGUUAGAUUACAAAGAAUCUAAGUUGCUUAAUGAUGAAAUCUCCAUAUGAUGAUUAGUCAUUCAUUUAUAAAUAUUUUGUCUCAAAAAGCCCUUUUGUAUGUGAACCGUGUUACCAAAUGACUCAGCAGCUAACAUGCAUGUGUGUUAGAUUUUUGUUCUCGAAGGAUAUGUGUAGGAACUUAAUUAGCUAGAGAAAACGAAAAGGAUGAAUUAUUUUAACUAAUUGGGUCGAAAUGUGUAUUCAGCAGAAAACAUAGCCCAACUCUUUCGGACUUGAAUCCUGUUUUGUCCAUCUAUCUUCCCCCCCUAUACACUCAAUUCUCAUACUAUCAGAUAUGCUAAAAUAAUUAAUGCAGUUUCUAGCCUACAGAUAUUUUGGGCUGUUGUGACUUACUUUUUGAUAAAUAAGAAGAUACUUUUGUUUCCAUAAAUUUUGAUUUCAGAAACUAAAAGUAUUAUAAGCCAAAAAAAUCAAUAAUAUAUGUAAAAUUAUUUGUAUGGUGAGUCUGUUUUAAUUGUAAAGCUAUUCAGUAAAAUGCAGUUUGCCAAAGUUAAAUCAUUAAUUAAUAUAUAUUUUUUCGGUUAACGGAUAAAAUAUAUAUUAAACUGCAUUUUAUACUUUUGUUUUUCCGUUAAUUGCCAAAGUAUAAAAAUCAUUCAAACUUUUGUUUUUCCGUUAAAUCUAGAGAAACUAAUUAAUAUAUAUUUUUUCGGCAAAAUGAUCGAUUUGUCUCUUUCUUCUUUCAAUAUUAAAAAUGAAGAUGAUGUAGAGAGAAAGUGUAGAAGUAGAACCAACAUUUAUCAAUACAGAAUGAUUUUUUUGGUUAAAGGAUAUCAAUACAGAAUAUAAUACGUUCAUAUACGGUGAACGUCCAUGCAUAUUUUACGAUUAUUAAUUCAUAUUUCUAAUUUGAUGGUACUUUUUUUUUUUUUUUUUUUGUAUGAAUGUAAAAUUUAGUCAUUAAAAAAACCCAUGGUUACAUGCAAUAUAUGCUUUUCUGAGCAAAAUUUUAAAAAUGAAAACAGGAGAAUAAGUGUUGAGAGAGAAACUGAAGUUUAGUGAUCGAGAAUGCAAACAGACCUCAUGCCCUCGUCCUAAACCAUUCACGCAGGCAAUCAUUGAACUUGCCCUGACGUUGUAACGUUGAUAGGCGAUUCCAAACAGUACUGUCAAUGUCCUUAGAUGGUAGCUAAAAUUAGAUCUUUAUCUGUAUUCUGCUUUUAAACUACGUGGAGAAAUAAUUGAAUGAAAUCGUUGAAACAUUUGUUUUGAUUAUACGAAUUUUUAAAGUGAUUUUUGUUUUGAAAUCUGAUAACUCGAAAAUAUGAGUUGGAUAGUUCUACUGCUACAUGAUUUCAGAAUGUAAACUCAUAGUCCGAAUGGUGACGACGUAUUUGAAAAGUGGUUUGAUAGUGCGAUAUGGUCCAACUGCGGUACAUGUGGGAAAAAUAUAUUUGCGGAAUAAGUACGGUUUUUAUAAAAUAAGCGGUACGAAAUAAUGUUUGAUUGGUGAAGAAUAGUAUUUAGGAUACAUAUAUAUAUAUUUUUAUAAUAUUUUAUUUUAUAAAAAUUAUUAUUAUUUUAAAUAAAAUGAUGUUAUUUGGUAAACUUAAUACAUACUAGAAAUUUCAGAAUUUUUUAAAUUUAAAAAUAUAUAUGUAUUAUAUGUAUAUAUACACAUAUAUAGACAAAACAAAAAACGCAUCAUAAUUGGUGAUACACAAAACAUGUGCGGUAUUGAGAUAAAACAGACCAAACAAAAAGAAUUUGAUGAGUGCGGUCUAAAAGUUAAAAUACACGAUGUGUGACUUGAAUGGUAACAAGUUAAAAAUACCGCAUGUAAAAACGCUAUAACGCGUCGCACAAUCACACCCUCAAUCAAAAUUUUUAACUUGUGCGGAAUUUGAUUCUUUGCUAUGGGCAAUGGAAUGCAUGAUCUCUAUUGGCGAUACUUCUGGCGCUUUUGCUUCCGAUUGUUCAGACCUGAUUUCUAUCAUUGACAACCAAGACGAUUGGCCGACAUUCGCAGCGGAAUUGGCAUCCUAUCGCUCUUUAGUUUGUUUUUUUCCUUUUUUUGUAUUAGAUUUCUUCCUCGUAGUUCUAAUACUCGAACAGAUUGUUUAGCUAAGAAAGUUCGGGCUCGUAAUAGCCUUUUCUUCCAUGUAAGCAUAUUGGUUCCUGAAUGGCUCUCUCUACCAGAAAGUAUCUUUCCGAUAACUUAAUAUAAAUGGUGUUUGAGGAAAAAAAAAUAUAAAAAAAUCACACCCUCAAUCUGUGUGCUUUAAUGGGUGGGGUGACAUCAGCCGCAUGAUUUCAGAGCUAAAGAUCUCUACAAUGUGAUGUGACAACAAACUACUUUACUUUAUUUUUCAUAACCAAUUUAUGCAUUAUAAAAUCAAUCAUAUUAUUUCAAUAUCAACGUCAAGUCAUCGAUUUACCCUGUAAAAGAUAGACCUGUAGUUUACGAGUUGGAGUUAAGUGGUUUCAAAUUUCUUUUUCUCGUCAGUGGUUACAAACUUACAAUUUAAAAUUUUUAUCUUAAGCUCUCCUCUCUUCUCUCUCCAAAAUCUUUCAGAGAGGAGAGCUUGAUAAUCGUUUUGUCUCCAGUUUGAUCCGGAUUUGUUUAUAUUCUCGUCUCUAUGCGAGAUCAAUAAUUUCCGAUUACAUAUCGGAUCUUCUGUUACCGACUAUGACCGGUCUUUUCUCCGUUUUUAACGGAACUUGAUCUUUAUCUCCAUUGUUGCUCACCCAUCGAUCUCAACGUUUUCUUCCAAGAUCUUUGUUGUCUCCAUUUCUUCGUGGAUUAACAUCUUCGUCACCUCCGAUUGCUCAAGACGCAAGAGCAAAAAUGGACUUUAGACUACAUCAAGAUAGAUGUAAUCGGUGGUGGAGUCUCCCGAAACUGGUGAUUCCAAAGAAUUUGUGAAGCAGCUCUACCUUUUAAUCCGGUAAAUGAUUUCGAUGCUUCUUUUGAUUGGAGUGGAGAUCGGCAGGAAGGAACAGUCUACCCAUCGCACUGAUCGGCGGUGGUUGAUCGGAGACGGCGGUGUUUAGCAACGUGAAGACGGCAGCGCUCGAUUCCUGACGCGUGGAUAGGUAGGGUACACGUCUCCAACACGUGUCAGAAGCUAGAAUUAUAAUUUUUAUGGACCGUUCUUCUCGCAUGUACUUGUUAUUGGGUUUUUCCUUACUGUACUUGUCCUAUGGGCUUUUUAAUAUAAUCUUUCGCCGGAAAAAAAAAAAAAAAAAAAAUCUUAUCUUAAAACAAUAAUAUUAUAUAUAACAGAAUGAGGAUUUUUGCGUCUAAUCAUUUUGAAAGGAUAUAUCAUAUGCAGGCGUCAAAAAGGUGACCCAUGUACACAAACACAACUGCAAAAUUGAUAUUUUAGUCAUUUAUGCCAUGUAGACAAUGAUUAUUUCGUAAGAAAAAAGUGUGUACAUUGCAUACAAAUUGCAACACACCUCCACCACGAAUUACUUCUACAAUUAUAAUGUCAAUAUAUAGUAUCGCAUCCUGUAAUGUUGGUGUAACAUGGUAAAUUCGGUACAUUCACUCUUUUAUGUAGCUGAGAAAUUUUGUACCUUGGAUUUGUUGUCUUUGGAAUCAUGGAAUAGAAGAUUAAUGUAUACUUGGAUAAACUAUCAAUUUUUUGUUACAGUUAAGUUAUUAGUCACACAAAAUAAUAUUGCUUUCCAUCAUUUACACAAUUUGUUUGUGUCUACUGUUUACUUACGUAGAAUUGUGUUAUAUAUUAAAUGAAAAUGUGCGUAACAUCUUUUGUAUCAAAUGAAAGGUUGUAGAUGUGACACAAAAAAAAAGAAUAUUGUUUACAAAAGUUUUCUUUCAACAUAAAGUAACUGGGUUAUUGCUAUUUUAAAAAAAAAACUAUAUAUCAUUUUCUCGCAAAGUUUGUGAGAAAAUUACUAUGAAAUACUCGGUUAUAAUUAAUAUGUUUUCUUGCAGUUUACUUUUAAACUUAUCAUUGCUCUUUAUAAGUGUAUUUAAUUUUAUAUUUUAUAAAUACUAAGAUUGAAUGAUUGAUUAGCACGUAAUGUACUAAUGGCUUUAAUAUAUGUGCACCUUUAAUUUAGUCUUUUCCUACCAGCAAUUUAAGCACUAGAGGUAAUCUAGUUUCCAUUACCUGCUAAUCAAUGUCACGGUUACCUGCUAAUAAAUCGUACUCUUGAAAACAUAUAGAUUAUUAUUGACAACCAUUAUUUUCACCAUGUCACGCACGGUUCAUUUAAUCAAAUUUCAUGUAGUAUCUUCAUUAUUUAUCCCAUGUGCUAAGUUUUUACUGAUUAUACGUACAUACUUAAUACUCUUUGUUUUUUGAGCAAAGACGCACAUACUUAAUACUUUGAUACGGAGAAAACGCUUAUUACUAAAAUUUGACUCUCUAUAGAACUUCAGUUGGGUGAUAUUCAAAUUAGCUCUCAUUAAUUAAUAUAUAUGGUGCAAAACAUAUAAAAACCAACAAGAAAAUCAAUAAGAUAAAAAUCAAUAACUUUUUUGUAGAAAAUAUAAAUGAGGAAUGGACAUAUAAGAGUUAAAAGUUGGCAUUAAUUAUAUAGAAUUACAAGUUGACAUUCUUCUCCGUUAUGAAAUAAUGUGCUUUAUUGAUUCAGACACUUAAAAUAUUGGAAGAUAAGAUGCAAAAAUCAAGCUUAUAAUCAUUAUAAGUGCUGACCUAAAACAAAAACAAAAUAAAUUUAAUUAAAAAAGAUCAACUAGCUAGUUACCCCCAUCACUUAUCAUUCCUAUUAUUUGUCAUGUUUCUUUAUUAUUUAAAGGCCUAUCUAGAUUGAACCCAUUUUACUAUAUAAUUAUGAGUUUCUUUAUUCUUAUAUUAAAAAUUCACCUUUUUACUCUAUAGAGUCCAAAAAAAUAAGAUUAAGACCAACUGUUUUUGGCUUAGGUCAGAGAACAUAAUGUGACCUUGAAGCCAAAUAUAUAAACAUAAUGUGACCUUACACAGAUACAACCGUCAAAACCCUUCAUGCGUUUUUUUAAAUUUAUUUUAUGAAAAGAUAUUUUCUUUCCAUAUAUCUCCAACUAAAGUAAUAGAAAUUAGGGAGAGGAACUUCUUUUUAUACUUUAAUUUGACAUUGGAGCACCAUUUUAUUUUUGGUUUAGGAAACAAUCUUCUUAAAUCUUACGAGUGCACUGUCCAAAUCGAUUAUAUAUAAUUGUAAUACUCGACAUUUCUCUGUUUCUGCUGGAAUAAUGUUGUUAAUUUUAGUUUAAGUUUUUAUGAUUUAGUGACUAAAUUAACAUAUUGAAUUUAAGAUGUUGGAAUUAUGAUUUAUUAAUGCAUUAGAGUUCAGAUAUAUAAAACAAAUCAAAAUUGGCAAUUGAAAAUGAAAACAGUAAACAGUGUUUUACAGAGAAUACUUAUAGAAACAAAAUAUAUUACAAACAACAACGUUGAUUUUUAAAGUUUCUGAUUUUUUUAUGAAGUUCUGAAAAUAUGUGAAAAUUUAUAAAAAUAUGUGAAAGUUUCCCAAAAGACGUGAAAUUUUCAAUAUCUUUUGAAAUUUCUUUUCUUCUCCUCAAAAUGUCCAAACAUGCUGUAAAAUAUGGUAACCAAUACUCAUAAAAAUCAAAUGUUUUAGCACACGAUGAAAGUUCCAAAAGAGAAAAGUUAAUUACUAUGAAUUCAUGAUGGUUUCUGUUAACAAAAAUGUGAGUUAUUUGAGUACAUUAAAUUUCCAAACGAGGCUAUCUAAUGAAAUAAGCAUGUCGACAAAAAAGUACAUAGAUAAAAGCUCCUUGACCUAAAAUAUAUACAUAAGUCUGUGGACAAAAGAAAGUAUACAUAUAAACUGUUUAAAAACUGGUAGCCAUCAACCCACUUUUCACCCUCUUUCCUAUGAAUUGCAAUGUGGCUUUCUAUUAGACUCACGAUAAAAUCAUUCGUCUUGGUAAAUGGUUUAAAAAAAAAUAGUUCUAACGUUAAAUGUUGAUUGAUGCAGUGCAUUUCCACUUCGUUUUGAGUUUGUAUCUUACCAUUAUUUUUUUAGAAGUUGACUUUGAUUUCCAUGCAUAUUUUGGAGUUCAUGAGUCUCGAUAGAUUCUUUUUUUUCUUUCUCUCAAAUGUUAUUAAUUAGCACCAAAGGUUUUCUCCUCAAAUAGAGAGUAAUUAAAGGUUACAGAUUAAUCCCCAAUGGAGUAAGACCAAAAAUUACAGAUUAGUAAUCAAAUAGAAUUUCAAUAGAGACAUUGGGGGAGAAGAACUUUAAGCAAUCGCUCUUCUCAAGCAAAGAUCAAAUUCAAUGGAAACAAGAUCAUCUCUAAUUAAAAAAAGAAAAGAAAGACAAUCUCUAAUUAAAAGUAAGAAGUAAACUUCAUGUAUAUGAGACAAAGAAAGAGUAUCAUUUUGUUUUUGUUCUUGUAGAUGAGUCAAAGAAAGAGUAUCAUUUGGUGUCAUGCAUGGCGAAAGGAGACCGACCAGAGUGUCAUCUGCUUUCAGAGUGCACGUUGGAUAGAGGAAUUAUAAAUUUAUAAUCAUGCAUGUUGUACAAUAUUACUACAAAUUAUCCAAAUAUUGUAGUUAAAAGAUAUUUUGUUGUUUUGAAGAAUAUAUAGUUUUGAAAUGAAGAUAAUGGAUAUGUUGUUAUAUAAUUAAUUACGAACGCACAACUCAAAAUGUCUCGCUAUGUUUUAAUUAACUUGCAAUCUAUUUCAAUUUACAAUUAUAUAUAUAAAAAAACUCUUUAUUAUACUCAUUUCAAAAUCGUUUCAGUUACAAAUCCCUCAUGUCACUCAAAAAUAAGUACUCUCUCAGGAAGCUUAACUAGAUAAUUCUCCCUUCAUAGAUCAAGUGGCUUCAAAACUAAUUGAACUCCAUACUUAGGUUUUAUAGUAAGCACAACUAUAGGAGCAUGUCUAUAGUUCUCCGAUAUUGCAAAACUGAAUUUGGAAACAAGCAUUGCUAAUAUUAUCUUCGCCUCCAUCAUGGCAAAAGUCUGGCCAAUGCAGUUCCUAGGUCCAGCCGCAAAAGGCAUAAAAUGGCGACUAGAUGCAAAACUUCUAGUAGUAAAUCGUUCAGGGUUGAACUCGUUCGCAUCUUCGCCCCAUAAUUCAUUACUAUGAUGGAUCGCAAGGACAGGGAUCCAAAUAGAUAAACCUUUAGGGAUGAUUAGGUCACCUAGUUUUAUGUCUUCAAAUGCCAUUCUUGGUAAAAGUGUGGCAGGAGGGUAAAGUCUUAAUGACUCGUUUAUCACUUUGUUUAACUGUUGAAAGAAGAAAAAUAAAGAAAGAGAGAUAAGUUAGUUGAAUAUUAAAUUACAUAAAACCCUUUUAAGAUAUCAUAUCUAACAAUCUUGUGAAGUGCCUUAUGACUCUUUCACAAAGAUCCCUUACUUGGUUUUAAGAAUUGCCUUUCAAGCUGUCCAAAUCGUUUAAUGAAUGAUUUCUUUUAGUAUUUUAUGCAAAGCAUGUUGUAGUGCUAAUUUUUUCAACAAGUGGAAUAUUUUACUUAUCUCAUUAUUAAAAUAUGCCUUAGUUCGAUUUUAAAUGUAGAAAGCCAAUUCAUCAUGAGUCUCUCUAUUGGUCUAUCUAAUCAAAUGUCGAAGCAAUGGUAAUGUAAAUUUCACUUUAGUCUAAUAAUUAAAUACCUGAAUUUGUUAUAUGUCAUACAUUUGAAAUGAAUUAUCUGACUUGAAACUACAUAUCAUAAUUAAUGGGAUAACAUAUUAAGAAGAUUUUCUAGAUAUAUCAUAUUAAAGUUGACCGGAUAUGUACUAAUUGAGAUUUAGUUACGGAAGAAGCACUACGACUUAGUGGCAUUGCCUGUAAGUGUGUUGAAUGAACGUAGUACCCCACCCGCACCCAUAACAAUUGGCGUUACCAUCAAAUUUUUAUUUUAUUUUUCAAAUGAAAGAUAUAAUUGUGAUUCUAUCCUAAUUCUCGACCAAAGUCAAAACUUUACUAGACAUGUGUAUAUGCAUAACAACGCAUAAGACAUUAACACAUAGUAUGUUUCAAUUUUUUAAAAUGUUAUACUAUUGUCUUCACUUCUUUUAAAAUCUCAGAUUUUUUUUAUAAGAUUCUUAUCUUUUGUAAAACUGUAAUGGAAACGUGAAACUCGUAUGAUCUUUCUCUUUCCGUUUGCUUUUAAAACAUUCAAAAAGAGUUCGGAGUUUUUGUUUUGGUCAACUAGAUCACCUUUACUCAUUUAUUUUAUUAUUUACAUAGGUUUGAAAGCGAACCAAAAAAAUAAAAAAAUAUAGAUAACGAAUUCUAACUUUACUAGCGAGAAAAUUACCUACCUCACGAUUAGAGAAGGAAAGAUAUAUAACAAUGUGGAAAUAAGAAAGACUCUAAAAGCUACGAUUUUACGUUCGAGAAGGACAUAACGCCUAAUUAACGAUUAAUUGAAAUUUUAUUUUUUUAUUAUUGAUUUUUAAUAUUUUGUUGAUAAAAUUUAAAUAUGAUGUUAAAAAAUUUCUAGAUAUAUUUUCCAUAUUCUAAGUAUUUUAUUAAAACCAAUUAGAAAUAUAAUAUAAGGAUGUCUAAGCUAAAAAAACAAUAGUUGAAUUUAUAGGUUUCUAAGCGGCCGAUAGAAAGGUGAUAAGAAUUAACCAUUGUUCCAUUGAAAAAACAACGAAGAAAGGUGAUAAUGUGAGUGAAAAUUAAGAACGUACCGAAGUAAGACUUGAGAGCUGUUCAACGGAAGGGACACCAUCUUGGCCACAAACUUGCCGGACCUCAUCGCGGACAUUGUCCUGCCAAGUGGGAUUAUGAGCAAGGAGCAUGAGAGUCCACGUGAGGAGAAGAGAGGUUGUCUCAUGACCGGUAAAGAAGAAAGUCUUGCACUCAUCCAUUAUCAUUUGAACAUUAAGGUUGUUCUUGUUGCUAUCCAUCUGGUUCAAAAGAAGCCCUAAGAGGUCAUCCCCGUAUGAGCUACUCCGACCGAUCUCUACACUGUCUUUUCGGCUGUCUAUAAUCUCCAUCAAAAGACGUUCCACUUCCGUUUUCAGAGACUUUAUUUCUCUAUUGUAUUUGCUAGGUAGAAACCUUUGAGACACAAAAGAUUAUAUAGUUACACGUUAAGUCAUCAAUUAGAUCCAUGCAAAUAGUAACCAUGUCAAAUAUUUUUAUCUUUCCAAUUUAAUAUGUUAGUGGAUAGUUUAUAUUAUCAACGUUUCAUUAAAUUAAGUACCACUAUAUAUAGAAUCGUGAAAACCAAAACAAAAUAUAUUAUUAACGUUUUAUUAUUCUUUUAGGAAAAUUUAUUUAAUUAAAAAACCGCAAAAUGACAAAAAGUUAGUAGAAUCAUAGAAUGAUUUAAUAUAAUUACUUGCAGUUCGUAACACAAAACAAUCAAAAGAAAGAUUUGUGAAAAAAGAAAAAAACUUACCGGCUACCGGGAAAACAGAGGUGGCGAGUGGCUUGAGCACAAAGACGUUGAAGUACAGUGAGUAGACUAAAAAGCUCCUUUCCUUUAUCACAACUACUUCCAAAUUCCGUCCUCGAUAUUAUAUCCGCCGUGAGCCGCCGCAUCUCCUCACCAAUUUCCACCUCUUCUCCAACCUCCUUUCUCAGCCUCUCAGCCAUCAUCUUCGUGCAUUCCACCAUAUGCUUAGCGUAUCCUUUGAGCCUAUCACGUGUGAAAGCCGGAGCUGCCAUGUGACGUUGGUGGUGCCAAGCCUCGCCGUUGGCCAUGAGAAGCCCACGCCCUAUAAACCCUUUAGUUCCUUGUUGUUGCAGCCAUGAUUUCCCGGUGACCGGAUUGUGCUUCGUUAGCAAUUCUUUAAUCAUCUCGGUCUCCGUUAGGCAUAGUCUCGGUUCUGUCCCGUUCCACAUUAUAAAUCUCUUCCCUGCAAAAGGCCAUUUCAGUCAUUUUUGAAGUGUGUAAUAAAAUAGAAAAUGCAUUGUAGGCAUGUCCGGUCCAAAGCAUAAGCAAAGGAAAGAAACUAUAAUUAUCCGCUUCAUAUUUUACGUUAAUAUUUGGGGAAAACAGAUUUUAUGUAGCAUAAGAAGAGACGUUUAAGAAAAAAAUUAAAUGGACAUCCGAAAACGUUGAACUGGUCAUGGGUACAUACCAUAUUGUUUGGACCAAGAGACGUAAUGAGGAAGAAGGCGUGGGACGAUGUUGUGGUGGAUGGAAGAGCAGUCGUUAGAAGCGGAGUGAGAGAGCAUUUUGGAGAUAUCAAUGAUGUUUCCGGUGAGGAGACGGGGUUUAGGCCCCGUGAUGCCUUGACGUUCCAUAAACUUCUUGAUUCGUCUUGGUGUGAGGAAGUAGCAACAAAUGGAGUCGUAUAGGACUCUUAAUAUCAAGGUCAUGACUAUCACGAGGACGUACUUUAGUACUAAUGUAACCAUCAUCUUUUUAAUUUCUUUGUUUUAUUAAAAAAAUAAACAAGAUUUUGAGAAAGAGAGAAAGAGAUGGUUUGGUGAGAGAUACGGAACAACCUUGCAGAGUACCAAAGCAUAUAUUUAUAGUGCUGCAGAGGAAGCAGUGGAGUUAAAACGAUAAUUCUUAUUCUUGUUAUUUUAUUUAGUCAUUUUUACUUUUUCAAAAAUGUUUUCAGCUUUUUCAAAACAAAUACUUAUUUAUUUGUAUUCUUAACACGACUUCCAUUUUAACAUAGAAACGAAUAUUCAAGAAAAUUCGUCGACUAAUGGCAGAUCCUAAAUUCAAUUAUUAUUAUUUUAACAGAUACUGUGGCUUCUAGUUUAUGAUUUAAAGAUUUUAUUUGUAAGUAAUUCCUCAAAUUAAGUAUGAUUGGUGAAAGUUGGUUGCUAUCUAGAAAACUGUGAAAUUUCUUUAAAAUCAGAUUUUCUUGUAAAGAGAGUAUAGUUGAGAAAGUAGUAGAUUUUUAAUAAUAACUUUUUAAAUAUACAUAUAUGUACAUACAUAUAUACAUAUAUUUUUAGUAACGAGAAUAUAGCAUAUACAAGCUGGAAAUAUUAUUUAUAUAGAAAAUGAUAAUAAAUUGCAACAUAGAAAUAUUUAUCCACUAAAAAUGUUGGGGACAAAAAUUUGCGGUUCACACCAAGCAUUAAAAAUAUUUAUACUUUCAAGAAAAUAAGAUCUGUUCAAUCAUUUAUGGUAUGAUAUAUUUUAUUUUGGUCUAUAUGGGAAUUUUGUUCCAUAGUUACUUUUUCUUUUCUUUGGGUAGAGUAUUACAUAAGAACUAUUUAAACGGCUUUCUUGUUUUUUCAAAAAUGCCUAACUUUAUUCUUGCAAAACGUAUCUGAGUCAGAUCCGAAAAUUCAUUCUUUUUCAUAUUGGCAAUAACCAGAUUUAUGUUUACGUGCUUAUCUACUUGGGUGAUUGAAAUCAACUAAUCAAGGGCACUUGUUUGAGUGCAUUGAGCUGCUCCAUUUCCUCAUUUAAGAUUUAUAACACUUUCUAAACUUUCAUAAUUGUUAGGUUUAAACGUUUCUGUAAUCUUUUACUGUUAUUAUGUUACAUAUGAAGGACCAUAAAAGUAAGAUUUAAUAAGUAUAUUAAAGUUUUAAGCGUACAUGCAAUUUGUUAAAAUUAAUAUUUUGGUGAAACAAAGAAAAUCUUGUUUGAUAUUUUGUUUGUUUGAUUGAAGUUUUAACAAUGCGUAAAUAUUGUUUCAUUGACAUUUUCAUUUUUUGCAACAAUUUUGUGUCUACAUUAUCGCUAUUACCACAUUCUUUUCGCUAUAUCGCCGAUUAAUUGUAUCAAAAACAUCAUAUAUUUCGUUUCUACAAUUGUAAAGUAUGUAACCAACAAAUCCAUUUUUUCAUGUCUAAUAGAUGGUACAUCUCAGACUUGAAUUUUACUAUUAUUAUUAUUAUUAUUAAAUAUCUCAAUCUAAAGCGAUUCAGAGAGAUAUUCAAACUCAGUUUUAGGAAGAUUUGUUAGUUACAUUGCAGCUCUCUUCUUCUUCAUUUUUUUUCCCUGUGAUUGGCUUUGUUCAUCUUCGAUGAUGGGAGUGGGAUUGACAAGUCGUGUUCUUUAGAAAUCGUAUGCUUCUUUCAUAAUUUUAAUCAAAACAAACAGUAAAAAAUUGACUGAAAAAUAACAUAUUACUUGUGUUUGUAAAAUUCUAAAAAUGGUUUUCAAAAUUUUCCCCAAAAAUGGUUUUCAAGAAAUUGGAUAUAUCAUACUUUUGGAUCAACUGUAGAGAAAGCAAUAAAGAAGGAAAGGACACAAGAGAGAUUGGGUGGAGUUUAGACAAAUUUAAGGGUCUCCAAAACAUUAGGCUGAACACAAUAGAUAUGGUGAUGCCUACUGUUUGAAAAACGACUAGAUAAGGGAUUAUGGACUUGGAUGACUUAUUUGGAAUGAAUUUAGCCGGCUUGGGCAUUGUGGAAAGACGACGGAUCAGGUUCAAUGCUCUCCCGAAGAAAGCAGAAUGUGCCAGCUAAACAAACUGUAAUGUGACUGUUGUUCCAAAUCAAUGUUAAAAUAUAAUAAAAAAUGACAUUAAGAAAAAAUACUGUUUCAUUCGCACUUUUAAUAUAGAAAUGUAUUUACUUAUAGCAUUUUUAACUUGUACUCUAGUAAUUUGUAAUUGUAAUAUUGAUGUUUAAAAAAUAUUAAUUUGAUCUAAACAAUUGAUGUCGUUACAGGUAUGUCGAUUUAUAUACUUUUUAUGAUUAGAAAGAAGAUUUGCCGUCAAUUACAAAAGCAAAAGCAGUGAUGGGUAAAGAUUGCGUAUCUUGGGAAAUGAAUAUGAAAAGCAAAGAAAACUUAUACACAUCAUAAUAAUCUCGAGAAAACAAGCUUGCCAAGAUUUCAACAAUCCACUUAAAAUAUUUAAAGAGAAUUAAAAGAUAAACAUAUCUGAAUAUUCUUUCUAAUAUUAUCUCCACUGUUUUAUUUACUUUUCUCGUCACUUUCUUCUUUGAAGAACAUGUUUGGUGACAAAGUCAUUCCGUAACAACCGGUUAUAUGGAUAUAUUGUACACGUUAUAAAUAAGAAAGAGUAUGUUUCCUUCACUUUGAAUAUACAUAUUGAGCUUAAUUCGUGCUAUUUACUAACCAGUGUUGUACAAAAUGAUUUGGAUGACUGUUUGUCUAGACGGACGGACAUUCUAGACAAACAGUUUUGUGACGGUUGUGUAUACGAUACCUAUAUAUUCGAUCCUGGUAACUGUUAUAUAGAUGUUAACUUUACUAAAAAUAAAAAAGUGAUUCAAAAGUUCAUGAUAUACUUUUAUUUUAUUUUGAGUAUAUUUUUUUCCUUAUGACUGCAUAGUUUUCUUAAUUUUCAUGUGAACAAGUUAGUGUGUGAGAAUUCUGUCUGAAAACUUCUUAAUACAACCAAAAGAUAUUUCAAGAUACUACUAUGCGAAUAUGUCACUAGAGUAACUCAUUUAAUAGUUUAUCAAAUGGACAUAUCUAAUAAAGAAUCUAGCGGAUCCUUCUCACAGUGAGUGACAUCCAAAUAGAUAUCGUUGAAUUAGAUACAUAAAGAUUCCAUUUAAAGAAGAUCAGAAUGUAAUUAAUAUACAAUUAGUAUUAUUUAGUCAAAGAUUGUAGAAUCAACAAAGAGGAUCAGAAAACCUUAUUUCAACUUUUAAAUGAGACUGAACAUUCUUUUUCCUACAACGUGCAACACAAUCCCAUGGCAUGCCAAGUAAAAAAGUGGAAACUUGUAGAACAAUCAAUCCCCAUAUUAUCAUGAAGUUUCAAAAGAAACCUCAGAAUUUUAUUUCUUCUGAAUACAUACCCAUUUUGUUUGGUCAAGUCAACAAAUGAUCAUUCUCUUUUCUAUGCCAUGAUAAAAUUAGUCGGCAAGUACUUAAUUUAAUCCUCCAAUUAGUGUACCAACUACUAAUGCAUAUAUAUAGUAUGCCGACUGUUUUCAUAGACUUAACCUUUAAUUGUUAGAUUUUUUUUGGAUCCCAAAAACAAAGAACGACUAACUUUGUUUCUAUUAUGCUGCUAACAGAUUUGCCUUGUUCAUAUUCAUGAACAUUUCUGUGUUACCUUUUGUUGUCAAUGUAACAUACGAAUUUGAAUGAGAUCGACUCCGAUCAAAUAUUAAAUUUACAUUAAACGUAUAUUUAGAUGUUGAAAAAACUUGUAGCACAGUUAAUCACCCGAUUCAGCAUUUACAUUGCCCCUGUAGUGACUAACUUUGUUACUGAAAAUUUUUAAAUCUGGUUAAAGUAAUUUCUUAGUCCACUGAAUUUUUGAAAUUUGUAAUUAAAAUAAGGUCGAGUUUUUAACUCAGGAAAACUGGGUGACCGAAAGUAUUCAGAUGAAGAAGUCAUAUAUCACUGUUAAUGAUUAAAGGGCUGCUGACCCAAAAAAGUGAUUCAUGUGACUUUAUUACAUUUUAAAUUGUUUACGAGAAUUUUCUUCUUCGGGUCAAAAGAAAAAAAAACAAAAGUGAUGAAAAAAGGUGAGCGAUAAUAUAAGAUUGUUGAUAAAAAUUAACAAACUGAAGUAACAUAUAAAUAUUCGACCUUUUGUUUUACUUAUAACGAGCUUUUUACUUAUGUAGUAAUGUAUACGAAAACCGAAUUGCAGACUUAAACUAAGAAAUGUUUGAAUGGGAGAGUAUUAACAGUUGUGAGAAUUCGAAAGAGAAGAGAAGAGACUUUUUUUAUCAGAUAUGUAUAUACUAAAGAGAUUGUAGCAAUAACAGUAUUUGUGGUCUGAUGUGAUUAACUAAGGUUAUUGCAUAUAAUGUGUACAAGUCUAAUUCACAAACUAAGCUAAGCUAAGUUUUUGUAGGCCUCGACCCUUUCUCUUCCAACAAGUGUUCAGUCCCGCGAGCUUUGCAUCAGCUCGAACCACUGCAAAAACAAAAACAAAACUUGUCAGAUAUCUAAGUAUUUUGACAGUGUAGAAAACAGAGAAUGGAUAGUGAAAAGUUACCUGUCUCAACACAUCACCAAGUGUUCUGGGUAAGGCUUCGAUGUCUCUUAGCACAAUGUAGUAUGGGAAGGGGAAGGAAUCCAAGUAAUUCAUUUUCUUAUAAGGUCUCCUUUCACCAUCAUAUACAUAGUCCUGAUUAGAGAACAAAAAAAAGAUGUAGUUUUUUUAGAAUCAUUCAUGAUAACUACUCGUUUCAAUCUUAUAAAUAUGUAUAGGAAGUAAUAGAAUUGGACAUACCGCUAAAUCAAAAACAGAUUGCUCUGCGUCAUCGAGAAGCAGAUAUACCACCAUACGUUUUUGCUGGAGAAAGCUUCUAACAGUUCGUUUCAACUUCUCUCGCUCAUGGAACUUCCCAUCGCCGAUGAUUAGUACAAGUUGUUGAAGCGGGUUGCUCCCGUAAGACUGUCGUCUUGUGCUGGCCAAAUUCUCUAGCAUUUCAUUCAUGUUUCUCAGCAGAUUGACGACUGGUUGAUCUUCAAUGAGAUUUUCUUGUUUAAAUGUCAAAUUUGAGAUCAUCUGCAUCACAGAAACGAGAAAAGAUGUGUUUUGUAAGCAAUCAGAAGACAAUCCACAGUGAACACAUGGGAAAUGAAAGAUUUAAGGCCACUAACCUUAAUGCCGGAUUCUGUGGUGAAAGACUGACCAAAAUCAUGUAACAUCUUUAUGCUCCCUUGCUUCCCGAAACUUGCCACAGCCAAACUUCCCAGCUCAAGCUGUGACAUAGCUCGGCAUACCGUUGCCAAAGCUCUAAUUGCAAAAUCACCACAUCCACUUUCUGACAUGCUACGCGAGUCAUCCACAGCGAUAACAACUUGGUAAUCACGCUUGUUUGGUUUUGUCCUCCUCAACCAAAUUUUAUCUUUCCGAUAGUGACUUGCUAUGUAUGGAAUAACCUUCUUCAUGUUGAUCCUUUUACCCGUUCUGUAGUCACCACUGAGCUUGCUAGCAAGCGUGGGUUCUAAGAUAAGACGUAGUUGCUCAGCCAGCUCCUGAGACGGUUUUGCAGUAAGCAAUUCACAUCUCCUCCAAAGAACAACAGCAUUGCUUCUGGCAUCUGGAUCUUCCUGAUUAUCCUGAUUGCUUUCCGAGUCAUUAUCAGUCACUUGCAUCCGGUCCAGAUUACAUGCCUCUUCCCCCAAGAAAGUAUUGUCGACAGAGACCAUAGAGUCCAUCCUACUGUUACCAUCACCAAAAUUAUGAAUAGGAGAGUUCUCUUGGUGGGUCCUAUCUGUAUCUGGUUCUUGGACCUGUUCCGCGAUGCUAUUACUGAUCGAUGGUUUGGAUUGGACAGCAGGUUUGUUUUCUGGGUUCAAGUCAUCAAUAUCCAUUGGAGAGACAUCAUCCUGAUUACCUGCAAGUUUUUCUUCUUCGGAUUCCCCUUCUCUCAUAUCUGUGUUCACUUGCUCAGGCAACGCAGGUCCUAGAGCUUGGGAAGUUCCUGCAUCAAACUGAGAAGCAAAUCCAUAUUCACUAGCAUCAGGGUCUUCCAUCUCAUUUUCAGCCUCUUGCUUUUCUCCAAGGUCAGAGGAGAUUCUAACUCUUUCUUUCCACUCCUUCAAGGCAUCACCAACGUUCCUAUAAGGAUUGACCUUGGUUUGUUGAGCAGUAGAUGACUGGUUUUGAGGAAAUUCCAUCUUUGGUAAGUUGUCUGUCAAUGUCUCACCGUUGGCCAUGUUGGUCAUCAUGAGGUUCAUUUCCGUGUUACUACUCGAAGGCAGAUCCAUUGAAUCAGUGAGUUCAUCCGUAACAUCAGUAGCAGACAAAUUUUCUUGUGGUGCUGUACUUCCUGCACCCAGCACAUUAGACCCAUGGGGAUUUUGUGAACCAGACUCUACGCCAGAAAUAUUAUCAUUACGGAAGUUCGGUUUCAUCAUGUCUUCUGACAUAACUUCUUUUCCUUCUAUUGGUUCCGUUUCUGGUUCCUGUUCAAGAUCAUUUCCAGGUUCUUCUUUUUGGGGUGAUCCACACCUAUCUUCAGCCUCAGCCUCCAUAUUUUCCUCAGAUGGCUCUUGAGUUUCUUCUUGAUCAUUUUCACCUUCUUCAGGAUGCUUUUGAUCUUCUGAACAAGGUUCUUCCUGCUGAUUUGCAUCUUCCUUUUCGACCUCCUCUGUUUUGUCCAUCUCCAUGUCAUCAUCAAUUUGUUCAUUAUCGACAUCAGGAGUUAGUCCACCAAGUGCUUCUUCCUUGGUCUGGAUUUUUUCUUCUAAAUUAUCUGUAUCAUCAAAAUCAUCCUGCUCCACAUUCUCAUCGUUUCCUUCUUCCGGUUUGUCAGAAGUAUUGGACUCCUCAGGCUCAUCAGCAGUUUCAACACCAUCAUCCUUGGCUCUUAGCUCCCUUGAUCUUGUGUCCUUGUCGACUAUAGAUGGUCCAGAUUCAUUCUUCUCAUUCAUAUUUUCUUCCUCAUCUUCUUCAUCCUUGUUCCAUGGCUUUUCAUCGGCUUUUUCGGCAUCAGAUCCCACAUCUCCUAUUCCAUUAUCCAACGGCUCAUCCUCACUUCCUUCGUCUUCCUUGUCUUCUUCUUCAUCCUCACUAACGCUGUAUUCUUUGCCAUCAAAUUCGUCACUCAUCUCAAUGCCUUUGUUUUUACCCAGCACAUCAUCUUGCUCUUUCUCUUCCUCUUCCUGCAAAGACAACAGAAGAAAACUCGAUUGGUAAAAUCCCAUAGAAAAUUCAGGAUGAGUGGCAGGCAAUAAGGAAAGAGGCAGUAUAAACCUUCUUAUCUGUGCCAUGCAGUUGGUCUUCAUCUUCUAUUUGGUCACUUACAUCUUUUGCCCCCACACCAUCUCCCAUACCAGUACCUUCUGCAGCUUCCGAUUUGUCAACUUUAGAGUCAUCAUCUUCUUCAUUUUUGGAGAUGCCAAAUCCUUUUGUAAAUAGAUCGGCAAGAACACUUGCAAGGACAUGGGUUAUCAGUGAAACCUACAGACCAAAAGCACAGAUGUUGUUGUCUUAUUGGAAUAAAAUAGUAGAAGGUGUGUAAAUGCCGAGAUCUCUUCACACUAACUAACAUGCUUGACAUUCAGGAGGUUGUUUAAAGAAAAUUUAUCAAUUAACAGGAUCAGUUUAAAGAGAUGAUUGUCCCGAAUGACUUUGAAAGAACAACAUAAGAUAAACACAUACCGUUUUGCUUAUCGCCAAAAACUCUUUAAGGUAACAAUCCCCAAAGCUCAAUAAAAGAUCCAAAAAUGCUUGAAGUUGCUUCAACUGGUCUCCAACACCAGCUGAAAGGACGCCUGAUGAGUUCAACAGUUGUUCCUAUGAAGAUAAAAGCCUCAGUUCAACAUAAGCUUGAAAAUAAAAGGAAAAUAGCAUCCGCAUACAUCAAAAGACAAUCCAACUUACAAUGGAACCAAAUGAUUCGGACAGGAGUUUACACAGGUUAUCAAGGUUCAAGUCAUUUUCUGCCUUCUUAAACAGACCAUCCCAUGUAGUAAUAUUCAUUUCCUCUUCUUGAGAAAGACUUCCAUCUUUAUAAGAGCAAAGCUUUCCAAUCACAUCCUUAACAUUUGCAAAUAUACUUGCAAGAUUUUCUUCAAGAAAUAGUCGUUCCUUGGGUUCCAUUCCAGUUGACUGGUCUCUCACGUUAAGUAAGCAGUUCAGAUUUUCAGCCAACAAUUUCCCCUGCAUCAAAUAAAGUUCUUCAAUAUGACUCUAAGAAUCCUAAACGCAAUUUAUUUGCUAGGCUUGCAUCUGGAAAAAGAUAAAACUAAUCCACCAAGGCUGAAUAAAUACCUCUUUAAACACAGGGGAAAAUUGACUGAGAAGAACGUCUCUGCAAUAGCUUUUCUCAUUGUUUUCACAGAAACUUGAAAUUUGGUUCUCAAGGUCCGUAAGUUGAUCAAAGUUCUGGCGUAGCACCUGAACCAUAUGCUGAGUGACAAACUGCUUAAGACUGCUACUUGGUGUGAUGAUAAAACCGUUGCAAUCAAGUAGAAGCCUAUCCAGCGAAGCCUGAUGACAACAACACAUUCAGACUCUUGCAAGAAAUAACAGAGCAGAAAGAUUUAAAAGAAGCCCAAGGAUACCUUGGAAUUUUGAGCGAUGGGAAUUAGUAUUUCAAUAAAGCUGAGCAAACUCCGUGAUGAGGUUUUCACAGCUUGACAGGAAUCCAAGUGUGUACUUCCAACUGUUCUCAGUAAGGCCGACUCCUCAAGAAGCAUUGCAGUAAUGUUAUCAAAGAGUUGCUGUCAUAUCACAAAAAAGCAAAAGCUUAAUCCAGUGUUGUUGCAACAGACAUUCAGUGCACAUCAUUCAAGUUAGAAAGCUGAAAUACCUUCUGUAGCCACAAGCAAUUGAAGACAGCAUGUUGAUUUUGGGGGAAACUGAACACAGAAUCAUCCUUUCUAUCCGCACCAACUGAAUCACCCAGUAAUCUCGCUAGAGAUAAAACACAUUGGCGAAAGCGGUUGAAAAGUUCGGCAAAGGCAUACGCAGAUUUCCUUUGUUGCCGUUGUAUUUCCACAAGAUGAUUGAGAAAUGAGAUUGCCCGUUUAACCUGUUAACAUAGGAUGGUUUGCAGAAACAACUGGUUUAAAAUUGAGACUCGGUGAAGCCCAGAUAUAAAUUACAAGCUUCAAAGUCUACCUGCUCAGCUGUUACAUCGGAGUGUUUUCGGUCAAUAUUUAACAUGAGUUGCACUGAAGCCAAGCUCUUAAAGUAAAACUCAUUUGCCACUCUCCACUCAACUAGUGAAUUUUCCUUGUUUUGAUCUUCUACACCCAUGGAAGGAUGUAUGUUACUUUUGGUAUGUGUUAGCAGUAACAGAUGCUUUGGAUCGUAUGCUGGCUGAUAAAGCAACCCUUUAAAGUGAUUUGACAUCUACAUAAGAAGAUGAUCAGAGAAUAUAUAUGAUUAAUAAACAGAGCAUGACUAGAAGAAACAUACACAGAAGUAUCGACAAGCAAAAGUAUAUUACCUCUAUAUUUUCAAACUUGUGUUUCUGCAAACCACUACUUUCUAAUAACUUGAGAAGUUCAAACAGGGCCCUCUUCUUUGCAACAUCUCUAUCACUGUUUCUCCAUAGAUCUGAACAGCCAGCUAUGGUUUCACCAAUCCUAGCAACCGUACUCCACAAAUUUUUCCAAUCACCCUGAUAGACAGGGGACGAAUACUGAUGCUCUGCAAAUAUAUUAUGCAAGCUUAAGAAUAUGCAGACUCCCCAAAAAUAAAGGAAAAUCACCAAAUAGAACCAAGAGAGAAUGGAGUUAGUGUACAAACGAACCUGCACCCAUCAGCAAUGUUUUAUAGUGCAUUUCUUGGUGAAAGCGUCCUACCGAUUCCUUUAAUUUAUUCCACCAGACAACAUACCAUGAAGACCUACCAAGAAAGUUUAAAGCAUAUAUGAUGGAGGGUUCAACUUCCAUAAACUUCUCACAAUGCAUGCAGAAAGGCACAGGAUGCAAAUGUAUACCUGUCCCUCAAUUGCUCUGCAUCUAAAGCACUAACUAGGACCUCGAUCCUCAUGUCGGAUGCUCCAUCCAUAAGAUCUGGAUCUAGUAGAGGGAGAAAUUGAGCUCGUUCCUUCGUCAGGUCUGGCUUAACAAGCAUUACAGGGAGGCGUAGCAUGUCCUGCUCAACAAAAAAGAUGCCAAUUAGAAAACUUUUUAAUAAGGUCCCAUCAUUCAGACUCAUAUAAGCCAACAUAGAUAACUGAGAGUCGUGUGUUUAUAUAAUAGUCCCCCAGAAAAAUGAAGAACCAAUAACUUACCGUAAACUUCUGUAUCAGUUUCUUGACCUUUUGCCUGGUCCUUUUAGUGGUCUCAUUGUACAAAUAAUUAUCUGGCCUCUCCCACCGACAAAGUUUAAGAACCUCCUUUAACUCAGUUUCAACAUUUUUUCUAUUCAAAUCUAACUGCUCCAUUACACUGGUAAGAGAAAUUUAAAUUGAGAACAUUACCCUGGCAAAAUAAUCGUGAACUAAUAAUCUUAAGACAGAAUUGGAAAGGAGCUUACACCGGUAGAAAUUGAAUAUAGAAUCCAAAAAUAUUGUAGCACAUUUCCACCCUCCUCUUGUGUGAAUCACUGUCAAAGUAAAAGCGGGAGUCAAAGACAGUCAAGUUAGAAGUCAACUGUAAAAACAGCGGAGGAGCAAUCAACUGUGAAGACUUAAGUAUAUAAUGCUGAAGGCCCUUUAAAUCCUUCAAGAAUGAUACUGACGAGGAAAGAGGAAAAGAAGAA